CCCCCGCCGCCGCACACACAGCCGCGGAUGCUGCUGUCGCUGCUGCUGCUGGACGAUCUUCGUAAUCAUCCUCUUGAUCCUCCUCGUCGCCGCCGCGUCCGCCGUCGUGUACCUGAUCUACCGUCCUCAGCGUCCGAGCUUCACCGUCUCUUCCCUCAAAGUCUCCUCUCUCAACCUCACCUCCUCCACGCACCUCGCCACCGCCAUAUCCCUCUCCGUCGUGGCCAAGAACCCGAACAAAAACGUCGGGUUCAGCUACGACGCCGCCGACGUCACGGUCUACAGAGUCUCCCCCGGAGACGAUGACGUUGUAAUCGGUAAAGGCUCGAUCGCGUCGUUUGUGCACGGUAAGAAGAACACGACUCUGCUUAAGUCUACUGUCGGGAGUCCUCCGGGAGAUCUUGACGAGCUGUCUGCUGGUAAGCUAAAGGGAGAUUUGAAGGCGAAGAGAGGAGUGGCGGUUAAGAUUGUUCUGAACACGAAGGUGACGGUGAAGAUGGGAGCUGUGAAAACGCCUAAGUCAGGGAUCAGGGUUACUUGUGAAGGGAUUAGAGCGGUGGCUCCGACGGGGAAGAAGGCGACGGCGGCUGUUACCACCGCUGCUAAGUGUAAGGUUGAUCUCAGGUUCAAGGUCUUGAAAUUCACUUUUUAAAACAUUGGGGAAGGAAAAUGAAAAUCUUACAUUCCAUUUUUUUUUUGUUAUAUAAAUCCAUUGUUUCAUUUCUUUUUUAUUUGAUUUCAUAUACAGUUUUUUCGAUUCUGGUAAGACUUUAUUUUUUUGUUUAUGUAAAUGAAGAUAUAUACACAGUGUUCGGUCCGAAUAUUGUUGUUUGUGGUUAUUCGAGAAAAAAAUGUUUGAUCUGCUUAUACAAAAAAAAAAAUGUUAAAUCAUUUGAUUAAAUGUUAAAACAUUUGAUUAUAGUAACAAUUCUUCAUUUAACAGUGAUGAAAAAUCUGACAAUGAUAAUAAAACGCAUUUAAUAAUAUUGUGGAAGUAAUGGGUGUGACCGUGUGAGGUUGACCACUAGUAGUGCAAGUGCUUUGGUCAAUUAAUCUAUAACUAGACAAUUAAGCUAGCUACCCUUUUUUUCUUUGAUAGCUGUAUCAAUUAAUUAAGCUACCAUGUGGUACAUACCCUAAGAACCUAUGAAUUAUUAUGAAUGUUACUUACAUAUUAAUCUAAUGGUCUGCUGCCUGCUGGCAAAUGACAAAGUCUUCGGGUAUUGUAAUUUUUUUUUUAGUGGUAGUGUUUUUUUUUUUUUGCUAACCGAGUAUCCUGGCCCCACCCAGACUAGAGACCGAAGUGAGCAUGGACGCUGUCAGGGCGUCACCAUGUGGCUCACCGAGUAACGGUCUUCGGUCUCGGGUGCUGCAUUCUACAUGUAAAUUUUCGCAGUGGCUAAGGCUCGAACCCAAGGGCGGACACCCCAGCUGAAGCUCUUAUGCCACUAGACGAAAGCAACUUGGUUGGAUAUUGUAAUUUGUUAAAGAAAAAUUAUUAACAAAGUUUGGGUUCGAAUUUGCGUCGGCUUAAGGAGUAUAGAAGGUGUCGGUGAAAUGUUUAUAAUAUUUUCUUUUCUACAUUUCGAUUCAACUUAAACAAGAAAAAGCAAAGCCACAAAUGAUUCAAAAUCAGGUGUCAUGUAAUCAACGACAAAAAGAAGAUUAGGUGUUAUGGUGUGAAACGAUGACUAACAUGUGAUGGAAUUUGUUCCUUUUCAACAAAUUAAUAUAAAAAUGAAGCACUAGAAAAUCUUCUUAUUUGGUUGGUUGGUUUGUUUAUACAACAGAAAUAAUUCUUUAAAUCUAUAAGAAACUAAAAAAUCUCCCACACAGAAAUAGAGCAACAAAAAUAAAGUAUUGAAAUGGUUAGAUAGCAAGAUGCUGGAUAAGUGAUAAGUAAAAUCAAAUAGGUUUAUGUAAAUCCUUAUUUAACCAGAAACUAAAAAAUCUCGGUUAAAAUCUCCACACAGAAAUAGAGCAACAAAAAUAAAGUAUUGAAAUGGUUAGAUAGCAAGAUGAUGGAUAAGUGAUAAGUAAAAUCAAAUAGGUUUAUCUAAAUCCUUAUUUAUAGAAAAAAAUAUAGUGUUGAUGGGGUCAAUAGGUGUUUGGAAUCAAAAUGAUAGUUGCCACACAGCCACAGAACUUUCAGAACCAUGUGACCACCACCACAUGUUAUUAGAUGUCCAAGCUGACUUUUGAGUUAGUCAGUCACAAAGGCUUGGUGUUUCUGUACACGUAAAUUCGUUCCACACUAAGGUAUUGUAAAUAUAUGUAAUAGAUAUGAUAAAUAGAGCUUCAUUAUGAAGGGCUGGUUGAAUUAAACAUAUAUGCAACGUCAAGGGUGAACCAUCAAGUUACAUGGAAUAAACGUAUAUGCAACGUUAAGAGUUAAGACUAAUGUAGACGUCAAAAGCUCCAAAACCAAUAUACUCCCCAUUACCCGAAUACAUAAUGUUAUCUUCAUUUGCUUUCCCACCAUAACAAUCUUCCUGAUCAUACUUUCCACUAGCACCAUAGGAGCUAAAGCUAUUAUCUCCUCCGGUUUUCUUUGGUUCAGCCCUUUUUAUAUCGACCGAUUGAGUCACUGUAAGUGCUUGAGAUAUACUACGGUUCUGUAGCUUAAACUUGAAAACAUAAGUAAAAGAAAGGGUUACCUGUUUGUUACUGAACUCAUGAACUUUUCCAUCAGAGAAAAGUUUGUCCACAGAAUCUUCAGUCAGAUAGGUUACAAAACCAAACCCUCUUGACUUUCCAGUGUGGUGAUCAUACAUAAUCUGAUUUUCAAUUAUGUCACCAUUUACACAGAAAUAAUUCUUUAGCUCAUCUACAAAUAUGGAAAGACACAUUAUAAUCAACAGCAAUAACCACGUACAGAACAGAACCUUAGAGAAACUCCCGUUACUGAGAAAAAUGUAAACGUCUGAUUAGCAAACAACAAGGUCGUUGUAGUAUAGUGGUUAGUAUUCCCGCCUGUCACGCGGGUGACCCGGGUUCGAUCCCCGGCAACGGCGAUUAUUUUUGUUAAUAAGAAAUUUGAGUAUUUUCGUUUUGUUAAAGAAAAAUAGAAUAAUGGCUUCGUCCAGGUUCGAACUGGAGACCUUCAGUGUGUUAGACUGACGUGAUAACCAACUACACCACGAAACCCUUGUGUGAUUGAUUAGUAAAUGCAAGUAACUAGAUCGUUUGACGUCAGAGAGAGACCACCUCUUCUUUUUCCGGAGCUGCUUUAAUCUAACUUAGCUCUCGGUUUCCGACUCAAGAGCUCAAGGCUUUGCAUGUCUAUACAACAAUCUCAGAAUCUGCAGUAACAGUCUUGUAUAACGUUGCUCAGGAGUAUCAUCACGUAGGACUUGUGCUUCGUGCUACGAGAAGGUUAUAGCGGUUUUAUGAGAAAGAAUAUCCAAUGCCGAAACUUCCGAAUGAAGAUCCAAAUGUUGCAGAAGAGCGUAAACCUGUUAAUUGUGACCUACGUAAAGAGGCUGCUCACAAUAUGUAUUUGAUCUAUAAUAACAGUGGAGCGUUUGAUAUCGCGAGGCAGGUAUUGAAGGAUCACUGCACUUUUCUAACGUUUAUGCAUAAAACCAACAAUUAUUACUGACUUAAGAUUUUGAUUAGUUGUUUAAUUUUACCUUUAAUACUUCAUUAACUGAACCUAUUUCGAGCUUAUAAUUAUAAUUACCAAGAUUAUUACUUCUUAUCUUCUCACCAUUUAACCUCAAACUGAAGAAGUUCAAAUGAAAAAAGAGGUCUAAUAUUGAUUAUAAAAAUCGAUUUAAACACAAUAGAAUCGGUUUAAAUCGGUUCACUGUGUAUCUGACCAUAGAACCAAAACUGGGGAGUUUGAUAUGAGCAAAAUAUAUAGCAACAUUGUCUUCAUGCCAAUAAACCAUUUGAAUUAUAAAAAAAAGGCUUGGGAUGCUUGAACAUUCUCGACUCCUCAACAGAAAGCAAAGAUGCUCUUAUCAGAACUGAUCAUUCUUUUUGCGGAAGCAGUCCCAACGAUCCUUUCCAUCUGCAUAUAACAUCACAAUACUUCUAUUACAACUCACUCAUCACAUUGGUGCUACUGAGAGAGUUAACCUCUUAUUAGGGUUAAAAACAAUUAAUGUGUUUCAGCAUUUAUAUAUCUCAGAAACUGAAAGCAACCCAGUUAGAGUUUUACUUAAUAAAAUACAGAACCGGACUUCAUAAAAUUCCUCUGUGAUAGACCUCUAAGCAUUGUUAUGCAUAUAUAUAUACCACUUCCUAGUUCUAGUUGAGGAACUAGUACUAUUUGAAAUCGACGGAGUGAUAGAAAACGACUAGGUAUGACGACUCCAGUGUGUAAAAACCAUCGCAGGAUUGAAAAUUAGAAUUGGGCAAGUACCUUGAGCAGAUCAAAACGAGAAAAAAGUGCAGUGGACAUCAUGUCAUACGAUCCUUCAUCAAGCAUGUUCAUUAUCUGCAUUUAAAGCUACAAUGAUGAGCAUCCGACUGUCUUUCUCCUCUUAAAAAUUGUGUUGCAAUUAGAUCGAUUAAGAUGCUCUUACCUCAGGGUAAAACUCCUUUCGUUCCGGAAGAGAAUAGAAUAUCAAGUUCUUUAUGCCACGGAUCUGAAACACCAUAAGCCGACAUUGAUCAGAAUUGAAUUCGUAUCAUAGAACGUAAUCAGAGAUCAAAGAUAUAUAUUGAGGAGAAGAAAAAAAACCUUGUAUCUACGAUAGAAGUAUGCCCUCUCAGUGUAGAGCAUGAUCUUUCGGCUCCCUGCAAAAAACCAUUCUCGUGCACGGGAUAUAUCCGCAUUCUUUGUAUAGCUGAAAACAAGAGUCAGGAUUAGGCUACCAUCCGAUGAAAGAAAUCCAGAUAACAAUGAAACAGCAACUUCAGUACAGGGAAGGAAAUGGUCUCACUCUCCAAGAAGACAGAAAGAGGCAUUCUGCGACUUCAGAUAGUUUCUAACCCUGACGAAAUCGUAGUAAGAAGGAAUAAAGAUCAUGACUCCUCCCUACAAACAGGAUUAAAAUACGACAAUCAGGCUCCCAAAUUUAAGUGAUAAGAACAAGGUCUUUGUUCUGACCAACUGUAAUUUAAACUAGGUCAGCCUUUGAAUGAUGAGAGUACCUGAACAGAAUCUUUGAUCUUUGGGAAUAUCUGAACCAAACAGAACAUAAUCAGAAGAUAUUGUAUUUAGGAUUCAACACAAAAAUACAAGUAUAGUCUGUGUAGUGACCCUACUUUCAGUGGUAUAAAAACAAAAACUGAACAAAGAAAUGCGGCAAUGCACAAUAUCAUCCCUUUAAUAUAUCCAUGAAAAAUUAGUUAAUAAGCAAAUUAAAAGCUAGACCUUUUUGGUAAAAUAUUCAAGGCGGGCGUUGUCUGCUUGGGUCAUGGAGUCUGCAUCAAAUCUUUCAUAAAUCUGCAACACAGAAAUAAAGAGAUAAGAUGUCUAGAACCUUUAUAUUUAAGCAUGAUGAUAUUAUACCUGACGGACAGGGAGCAACACUUUCUCGAGAACACCUUUGUAUUCACACGCCAGCUUUAUCUGCAUUGAUUCAUCUAAAAAGUGUGAUGUGACAGUUUUAAUUCAAAGCUAAAACUGAAAGACAAGUUAAUUAAUAUCUACAAUCUUUGUUUGAAAAGACUUGAUAAUUCAAUUCAAAUCGUAGUAGUAGUCUUAGCCUAUAGCAAUUCAUCAAUCAUCUAAUACCCUCAUAACACUAGCAACGAAAAGAUACCGGAGAUGCAUGAAAACGAAUGCCUACCUUUCCUUUAUAGUUCAAGCAUUGGCGAUUGAAUAGACCAUUCAUCUCUGAGAUUAAAUAUUCUUUGGGUUAGUAAGAGUUUUGAAACUUCAAUAAUCACCACUGCCUUCUUUCACAGUGGGCAGAGCAAUACCUGGAGUUAAAUAGGAACUUAGAAUUAUCGACUGUCGAUAGAACCGUGCCUGUCCGUCCAAAUACCUGAACAUAGGACAAUAUUAUUUAAGAUUCUGCCAGAUUUGGGCUCUGCGACACACAAACCGUAUUAGAGAGAAAAAACUUGAAGUCGGAAGAACUACAUACAACGGCCGGAUCCGCAUGACAUUGGUACCAUGUUGCUUUGUUGGCAAUCUAUUUAUGUGGUCGACGACUGUAGCAAGGAACGACCAAUUCUGAAACAUUAUAAUAAAGCACAUAAGGAAUGAAGACAUGAUACUCCACCUUUGCAAAAUCUAUACAUUUACCACAAAACCUACCUGCAUAGAUAUUAUAUCUGCAUGAUCAAUAAUCAAAACCUAUCCACAUGGAAAUUAAAGAAAUAUUAGUAAGUUCAAUAAGGAGAUACAGAAUACGAUUUCAAAUAUUUGCAACAUCAUAGACCAGGUUUAAGAGAUAAAACAAUAGUAGACUAUGUAACUGAAAAAUAUUGGCAUCAAUCGUCUGCUAUCUAUAUAAUAUAUGUUCUCCACGCAAUGAUAAACGAAAUUACCUCAAUGGAGGACAGAUAAUCAACAUCCCUUUCCUUGUUUUCUUCUGCUUGGCCAAUUGCCUAGAAAGAGUAAAAAUGAUAAAGAGAUUGAAUCAAGAAGAUUUACACUAGUAAGUCAUCUUACAAUAUGAUAGGUAAGGGUACCUACCAUAUGUAACUUGAGAGGGGAAGCAAUAAUCAUGUCCGAGGAAUAGAAGUCACCAUACAGUCUAAUGCUCUUCCUGGAAUCAACAAGAAAAUUCAAGUCUCAGGCACCUACCAAAUUAUUUACAAACAGGAGAACGCACUGCAAUGUUAAGGAUGAUGUAAGGAUAUACCUUGUAUGCUUAAUGCCUAACAUAAACUCAUCAUCACUGUUCUUCUCACCAAAAAGGGCUUGCCAAUCAGAAGGUUUUGAAGACUUGUGGGUUGUCGACUUUCCAUUUUUGGAUGUCUUCUCAUCAUCGUCAUCAGAUUCGUCUUCACAUCCAAACUCAGCAUUAAACCGGUCAAGGUGGUCUACAUUAACCUGAAAUCAAUGAACGAUAUUUGAAGAGAACAUAGGCGACUCAAGACGUAAUCAGCAACCGAGAAAAUAUCAAUGCAGAGCAUUUACCCCGUACACAAACAACAUAACACAAUUCUUUUUACAUCAUAUGCUUAAAAUCAAGCUCGUACGCAUCCAUGAGAUGUCAAGUAUCAUAGAAUAACGCAACAUAGUCACAUAGCUGAUGUCAGUUAAAAACAAAGAACUAAAUUUCAUAAUUUAUGUACCCUUUGAGAUUCUGGAGUUAGUUGUAGGAGUCUCUUAACAACGCGAAAGGCAAUACUCCUCAUCGGUAGUAGAAUCAAUACCUGGAUAUACAAGAAACGAAAGGCCAACUGUCAAAUACGAGCAACAACAUAUUUACACACACAAAGCAUCUGCAGAAGGAAAAUAGAAGGGGUCACCUUUGGACGAGUAAAUCCUUGGUCAAGGAAUCCAUCAUCAGAAAGAAUUUCCUCUUCAGACGUCUCUCGAUGCUUUGCAAUUUUACUUUCAUUCUUCUUCACAAGAUCUCUCGUUUUAAAAAUGUGAUUCAGCUGCAUAAGACAAAUUAACUUCAAUAAAACUUGGAGAAAUGUUACGUGUAUUGAAAAGCAACAGAUCCCUCAUAAAAUGAUUUUUAGAAAAAGGAAUAGAAGUAUGCACGCACAGAAUGCAUAAGAUAAGCGUCCAUUGCACUUGAGUCUUCUUCACGGCCUUUAUUGUAAAAGGGUCUCUUGUUUGAAUGCAAAAUAUCCAGGUAGCUGUUGCCUAGAAAAUCAAAUACUAUAAUCAACGACAGAGCCAUAUAAGAAACAUGAAUAAGAUACAUUAUAAAUGAAAAAUGUAAUACGUACAGAUGGAGAAGAAUCUUCUUCUUUUAGAUGAGUCAAAAUCCUUCCCACCAGAUUUCUGGUAUAAUUGAAGCCAGUGCUUAAAUAACUUCGGCUUGAGGCCAUAAGGUGCAUCGUUCUGAAUAGCCUGCAAAAACAAGUUUUUAGAUGUACUGGUAACUCUAAGUUUGGAAGGCGAAUACUGCAACCAUAUCUUUCUGUGAACACAUACAUAGAAGAAAUUUUGUCUGGUUCCUUUCCACCUGCAAUUUGGCAUGUCAAUGGUCGGUGCUUCCCAUUUAAAUUUCCACUUGCCUUCGGGUAAGGUUUUCAAUUCUUCACUUGAUAAUAUGUGACUAAGGUGCUCGCUAAAUGCACUGAACAACAACAAAUGUAUGAAUUUUAAAAUUGCAUUGGAUUAAGCACGUACGCCAAACUGUAAGAAACUUUUAGACAAAGCACAAUCUAAAAUUAAAUUUACCUAGCAGAUGAAGAAGCAUCUACUAAUGGUUGACCAUUGGUAGUCAACUCAAGCUCCUCAUCCGUUUCAUAACCGUCAGAAUCUUCUUCCUCGCUAUGAUUAUCAUUGUUCUCCUUCUCUGUAUUCUCAGUAAUACCUGCGAGACUUUCCUGAUCGUCCCCUUUAUGUAACAAGACAAAGAGAAAUAUGAUUGAGAUGAAUUUGCCAGAGACGAGUAACUACAAGUGAGUUGAAACAAUAUUCAAGUUUACAGGACUAUUAAAAACCGAGUUGCAAGUGGGCAUAAAUGAGAGAAACAAACAACAAUUUUCAAGAAAAGUUAAGGAAAAAAUUACCUUGAAUCUCAUCGUCCUCUUCGUCUGUAGAGAUUUGAUCCUCAGACCCACUGUCAUCAUCAUCUUCCUCGUCCUCAUCAUCUCCUUCUGAUUCGCUUUUACCUUCCUCCUCUCUCUGCCUGUUAAAAGGAUUUGGAAACAUAUAAAAGAUAAAAACUUUAAGAGAGUAAAGGACAGAGGAACAAGAAUGUGGAAUAUAAAUGCUUCGAUCUUCAAACUACCAGUUCACAUAAACACUGAUACGAAUAGUACCAAAUCAACCCAACAGCUUAAGAGUUUGAUAUAAAGGUACCUUCUUUUAUUCAUAUCAGCAACAGCUUUGUUAGAUGAACCGAGAGACGCCAGCAAAUUAUCGUACGUUGUCGGUUUCCUGUAAACCACUGCUUCGGAUUCUUCCUCAAUAGGCUCCUCUUCUUCAGAUGAAUCUACAAAUACAACACACAGACUAGUUUGUUUGAGUUGUUGACAUAACACGAGAUAUGGAACUACUUGUAAGAGCUAAAACAUUACCUAGAUCCUCAUCCUCUGUUGGGUGAUUCGGAACAACUUCCUUCUCAGCAACUUUAGCCUUCUUCGUAUCCCGUUUCUUAUCGAAUUUCUCGUGUGGUCUGUGUCUCUUCGACACUAAUUUGGAGUUUUUCGGAGCCAUUUGAGAUUACAGGAGAAGCUGAGAGUUCUCUCGCUUUGCUUUGAAUCGUCAGAUUGAUGAUUGCCGCCGAUAUUAGGGUUUCGAGGAGAGGCGGUGAGAUAUCGAAGAGGACGACGGAGUUUUUCCUUGGGGGAAACAACUUUAACUAACGCCGUUUAAAAGCUCUUUUGGGUUUAGGGUUUAUCGAUUUUUAUACUAGGAGUAAAAAUGUUAAAACGCUUUUUACUGCUUACUGGUAACUUACUUAGGUGACCGGGACCACCCUGACCAGUCCAAAUAAAUUUAAGGUUUGGAACAACAAACCAAAUAUAUAUUUUGCUUGGUAUGUCACACUCACUCGAUUGUGUCUUUGGCCCAAAAAGAAUUUCACUCAAAAUAGUUAUGAAAAUCUCGUUGUUAAUUUCAACAUUCAUUCACUGUUUUCAUGAUAUUCUCUAAUCUCUAUCCAUUUAUCAAUAUAGUUUAAUCUUUUUUAAUAUUUUAAAUAAACUUAAUUAUUUAUUAUAUAUCUACCUUUUUUAUAAUAUUCCAUAACCAUCAUCUUUGAUUUUUUUUUUUUUUUCUUCUCGUAGGUUCAAGAUUUCUCCAUCCUUGGAACGUUUUUUGUUCUGUGAUUUGGUAUAAAAUGUAACUAACCCCACUAUAUAUUUUGGGCUUAGAGAAUGAUCAUCUCCACCAUAAAUAUAAAACUAAUAUUAAGAUUCCGAAGCAAGGCCUGUAAGGGCAUGAUUAACUCCGGUCUCUUAGCAGCGGUUCUUAACUCAUGAUUUGAUUUUUUUUUGUUUUUUUUUUUUUACAAUUUUCGGCUAAAAACCAUCUCUUAUCCGAAGUUAAGAACCUCAGUUAAGAGGCUGGGGUUAAUGAUGGUCUUAAGCUUGCAAAUAAAAUUACUUGCAUUACAUCACUUGAGAAUCAAAAAUAACACACUUACGUGCAUGAUUCACUAUAAUCAACUUUAGGUGUAUGUAUAUAUCUUAUACAUUUUUGAGAAAAAGACAAAAAUAGCACUAAAUCAAGUUUUUGUUCCCAAACUAGCAUUCAAGGUCAAAAGUCACAAAAAUAGCACUUAAUGUUUAGAGUUAAAGGGUGGGAUUUAGGAUUUAGGGUUUAGAGUUUAGGGUUUAGAGUUUAGGGUUUAGGGUUUAGAGUCGAGAAAUGAAGUUUUGGGGAUAAGAUUUCAAAUUUUGAAAAAUAAAAAAAUUAAAAUUUUCAAAUGAUAAACUUAGAAAGGUGCUAUUUUGGUCAUUUUAGUUUUUGAGUGUUAUUUUUGUGAUAUAAACUUAGAAAUGUGUUAUUUUGGAGAUUUGCCCUACAUUUUUUCCUCGAUUACAUUAAGAAUAUUAUUAUAUUUCAAAACAAAAAAAAAUCUUCGAUUCUUUUGUUCUCUUCAUCAGUCACUUGACGAGAUGUAGAGGAACCGGAAGAGAAAGAGGCAACAAAGGUUCGUGAACAAUCCCAACCGAUAUCUUGCAAUGAUCAGAGCUCACCAUCUUCUCCAUCUCCAUAAUCUCGUUGAUAAGUCCCAUUAAUAUCCUCUCCAUAGCUUCACCAUCGGUCCAAUCUCUAACCGUGGCCUUAACCAAUGCCGGAUUUUGACUAAUCAAAUCCCAAACCGGGAAAUUCUUCCUUGGCAUCAUGUAAUCUUCAGCUUUGAGUCUAAGACUAGGACAAUAAUCACCAGCACCAUCUCCUAGGUAGAUCAUCUUCAUAUUCUUUCCUUCUUGGGUAAAAGAAGCUUGAAUCCUCUCAAUAAUCAAACUCUAUUACAAUUAUAAAAUAAAAUUAUUAAUUAUAACAGUAGAAACACAAACCCGAAUCCCUAUAGAUUCAGCACAUGACAUGUGUUGAUAGUAUAUAACAAAAAAUUCAUGUAUACCUUGCACAUGUUAGGAGGGCAACGAGAGCAACCAUGGGAAGAUUUGGUGAAGUCAUUGUAAGGAGAGAUUCUUAACCUUCCUUGUUCAUCUACAAGUCCAGGGUUUGUGUUAAUCUCUGAGAAAUACUCACUAAUCCCGAGAUGUUCAACGAUGGUUUCGAUGAAGAACGUGUUGGCAUCACUCACUAUUCUCAGCUCGCACCUGAAAUAUUACCAGGAUUAUAAUGGAUUAUUCAUUACUAUAAAGUCUUAAUCUUUAAUCAAUAAAAAAUCUCUAAUCAAAUAAAUUAAUUUAAAAUUUUGAUUUACCCUAAAGCAUGAGCGGACUUGAUGGCAGGGAUGACACGAGGAUGAAUAGGGAUCCUUCUCAAUACUUGUUUGAUUUCUUCAAUGGUUUUACCAUGAUCAUGAAGCUCCUUCAUCAUCCGAUCCUGUUACGUAAAAAAAAAGACAAAUAUGUUUUAGCUUAAAUUUCGAGAAUCUUGACGAACACGGAAAAAAAGCCCUAACAGAGAAGAGAGAGAGAUGGAUGAUGAACAAACCAUGAGAGAGUUCCAAGGCAUUGUGGGGAGAAGCUGUUCGAACAACUCGGUGAAGCCAAGCUCAUCGACGACCCAGUUAUCACUGUCCACGUCGAUGAUCGUCUUGUCGAAAUCGAAUACGAUGACAAUGUUGUUCUUGUUAGCCAUUGUUCCGACAAAACAGAGAAAGACUUGCGGGAAACCUUAAAGUUUGUUAGGUAUCUGUGUGAUUAUUAUAAUGAAUGUGGAGGAGAUGAAUGUGGUUUAUAUACAAGUGGAGAAGAGAGAAACGAAUAUGGAUUUUUUCAGAAGAUGCCAUUGGAAUAUUACUUUGAGAGUAUGCUAAGAAAGAAUUGGUAUUUGGUUCUUAUUUUUUUUAAACCGUUGGAUCUAAUGAUGGUUUUGGUCAGAUGUUGACUAGGUGUGCUGAUCCGACGGUGUUUGACGCCUCUUGGUUUAUUUUCUGGGGUAUUAUUAUUAUUUAACUCAGUUUGGCUUGUUAAUAGUUUGUUUAAAGUGGGAUUUUAGGCAGCUGAGAAGACACGUGAAUGAGAUAAAAGAAUAUUCCACCUAUUAAUCCGUUCCAAUUAUUUAUUUAUUUAUUAGAAUAAAUUCUUACCAAAUAAAAAAAGAUUUUGUCUUAAAAAAAUACUAAACCAAAAAAAAGUAUAUGCAAUGUAUAUUGAUUUUUUUUUUCAAACAGUUAUUCUAUUACUCAAACGCAAUAUAUUUUGAUUUCUUUCUUCUUUUUGCAUGGGAUAUAUAUGGAUGAUAUUUUACUACCGAGUGACACAUUUGCUCUUGCUUAUGUAUAUUAGCUUAUGAUAUUUCUCAAUUAAAUUACAUUUUAUUUCGUGUUUUCGGCAUCACAUUCUUUUAUACGGAGAAUAAUUUUGUUCGAAUGAAACAAAAAUUAUGCAUGGUUAGUGGUUUUAUCUAAUAGGUUACACGCUUUGUCGACAAAGCUAAGGCCACAAACCUAUCACUCGGUUGGACUAAACCUUAAAACGUAGCAUUUAUCAAAAUUUAAAGUGUGAAACACAUGUGGGGAUUGCAUCAGAAGGCACUAGCGAGUUGAGGAGGAAAGUUGAAAGGAAUAUUCUUUGAGUUAAGGAUCAUCAUAUUUCUUUGGUGGCCACAUCUUUCAAUCAAUAUUCAUCCAUUUGAUUUCUUCAAUUAUUUUUUUUUCUAAAAUUGAAAGCAAUUUCAGCCGAUCACCAAGUCUUAGUAUGACAACACAACACUGUAUGUGUAUAUCUCUAUUUAUAAAAUAUUCAUAAUAUAUCUGGAAUUUAUCUGACUAUAUCAGAAAGAUCCCCAUCAAAACAUUGUUCUUUUAUUCCUCUUCCUCACGUCUUUAGACAACUAUUGUAAUAUUAGACAACUAUUGUAAUAUCAAAGGAAGUAUUUUUUUAGUUGUAAAUCUGUAGAGCCACGAAAAUCCAUCGAUUCGUCACUCUAGAACAACUAGUUGAAUCGUUUUUUUUUUUUUGGAAUAUAUGUUAAAUUUAUUCAAAAAAAUAAAUAACAUUCUUACAACUAGUGCAUCAGUUUUUUUUUAAAAAACUAUGGAACUUCUAUGUAAAUGAUAGAAAAUUGUGUGUCAUCUUGUGGCAGGCCACAGAUAUAUAUAGACCUGCUGUCAGUUUGAAGUUUCCCUGUUGGCGAAAAGCUAAGCAUCGAUCCCGAACUUGUCGAUCCACCAUUCUCGCAAGUGUUACUGCUGUAAUAGGUGUAGCCCCAUGUCUCAUGUCAUUCCUUUCUUUCCACAGUGAGUAUAUUGUGGCUUGGAUGGUGUACCUUGAGAGGUAAAACCACAGUUCUGUCUAACGUCGCAUGGCCAUAUUAUGUUAUGGAUAUAUAUAUUCUCCAUAUUAUCCUCUAUACUUAAAGCCAUUUUUAGUAUAAUUAGAGUUCUGUGUGCAUCAUCUACUAAGCUCAAUAAUCAGCAAUGACAAUGGCAGAGCGUGAUAAUAUGUAGUCAAAGAUGAUACUGUUCUCAACAUUGAAGAUAUGAGGACUUGAGGAUACAAGUAAUUUUUAUUGUGGGUAGCAGUAAAAAUUACAAAAGGGUGUCUGGAAAUACAAUUGAAAAGAGAGACAUGACAUAUAGGGAGCAUACGGAGUGUUCAAGAAGAAAAAGAUAUGACAAAAGAAUCAAUUAACAAAUUGCAACACAAACCCUUCCCAACGUCUCAUACUUGAAAAAAAAAAUCCCACACAACAUAAGCUGUUUCUUCUUAAAAGAGUAAUAGAAUCGAAGCUAAAAGAAAGAGGACAACCUAAGUAGGAAGGGUGGUUCAGAUAUUUCAGAAAAUUACCCUUAUGGUAAAAAAGAUUUCUCCUUUACUUCCCCAACCCAACAUUUUUUACCGUCUAACUCCUGAAAGAUUAUACUGUUUCUUCUUCCAUGGACAGCGUUGCAGUGACUGGUCAGGCUUUGGUCUUGGUCACAGCAUAACUCUGUUACUACUACACCUUUUUUCUGGUUACAUAAUCACUUUGGUAGAGCUAAAAAAGAGCGAGAGAGAGUCUGGAAAAAUGAGAAAAGGAAAGUUAAAUUGGAGCAAGCUGGUUCCAUGUUUUUUUUCUUCCAUCUCUCUCACCAGUUCAUGCAUAGUACAUGUACAAGCUGUUCGCUGCUGCACAAGCAAUUGAGUUCUCUGUUGGGUGCCAAGCCAUGUGCAGCAACUUAUUUGUGAAGUCAUAUCCGUUCCCAUUCGCCUCUGCUCCUGGACUCUCUGAUCCUGCGUCCAAACACAAUUUUUUUCACUCCACAAGAAAACAGUAAAAGCUUGAAUGAGUAUAGUGUUAGCUACUACCAACUAACCUCGUCUAACCAUACGCGUCAUGCUGCUAAUAGUUCUGGAAGGUCUUGCAGGUGUCUGGAUUUGCCUCCUAAUAUAAAGAAUUGAUGCAAAAAAUUGCAAUUGAUCAAUAUAAAUCUAUAACUUGGGGUUAAACUAUCAAUGUUCUCUGUUUUUUUUUUAUUUACCUCAUAGGGUUUUUGCUAGCUUCCAAAGUUGCAGCUUCAGUACUUCCUUGAGACGCUCCAAAUACUCGGAAUAGAUUGCUGGUUUUAAGCACAAUAAGUUUAGUCAUUUCUUCAUCCCUUAUAUAAGAUAGAAUAGUAUUGGAAUUGACCAAAACACAAGCAAGCAAGAACCUGUAAGAGCCUGUUGCUACCCUCAAUCCAUCACCACUUAGACAACACUCGAAUUUAUCAAAGAUGGAGUCAUUUUCAUAUAGAUCGCACAGCUGCAACCCCGGUAAAAACAUAAUGUGGUUAGUUUUCAAGACAUAAUCAUCAAAUGAGAGAUGCCUACAGAACGAAGCGCUUACUUUGGGUCUCAGAUGUUCAUGAACCUGGUACGAUGCAACCGGACCAGAAUCCAUGUUUAUGUCCCACAGCUGAAACGUCAGAAUGGGCAAAUAUCAGAAACUACUAAAGGUUACACUUAUGUUGGCCAAAAAUUAGAAAAUGUGAAUCAGAUGAUUUCCAAACCUUGAGGGUCAUGUAAUCGCGGCUAAGUAUGUAUCUCCCAUCUUUUGAAAAUUUAAUAUCUGAAAUGGAGGCAAUUAUCUCUGUGAAAAAUGAUCUGGAACCAGGCGCUUCCGGUUCUUCAAACCUGUGAUAUGAAGUAGCAAAGGUCAGUGGUCUGAAACUUUAGUCUAAUAAUCUUCACUUCCAAGUCAUUUCUGACAAGAUAAGAGACUUGUCUACUUGUUUAUAUCCCUUCUUACUUAGAAUUUUACCCUUUUCGAUGAAGGAUGAGGAUAACAGAACUUACAAUUUAGUAUGAGAAUCACACAGAGCUGAUUGCCUCAUAUCAAUCAAACGGAUGGAGCCUUUUGAGCUGCUAUAUGCGAGCAUAUUACAAUGGAUUGGAUGAAACUCGGCAGAUGUAAUAACCUCUGCAGACACCAUGUAGUAUUCAAAACAUGCUCGACGAGCAUAUAUCUUAUAUAGUAAACGCGAAAAUAAGAGAAUUUCAAAAUAUGGAGGUGAAAACAUAUGCGUCAUGUUAAGACAAUACAAAACAUAACUGAUAAAAAGGGAAGGAAGCAUACCAGUUAAGUCCUCCAUGUUUGUAGGCUUAACAUCAACAAUGUUGAAGCUCUGGUUGCUGAUUUCCAAAUUCCAGAGAUUUACGCGCAGAUCAUCGGCCGAAAUAAAGGUUUCUCCAUCGCUUCAAAGUUUAGAAAAACAGACAUCAGUGCAAUGGAGAAAACAAUGCACUGUAAGGCAUGUACGUACUAGUUGUGAAAUUUAAUAUUAACUAAAUUCGUUAAUGAGAAUGGUAGCACAACAAGACGUGAAAAGACAUGUAUAAUAAAAUUCUAAAAGUGUAUUUAAAUAUUUACUGAGAUGGAAAAUCAAGGAGAAAGACAGUAAAAAUGUGGUUAUAAACAUAUCACGAGGGAAACAUAUAAAAACUUAGGAAAAAGAAUACCUGCUGUUUGAGAUUGAAUUAAUAUGGUAAUCAUGUGCAUGAGCAUACACUCUUCGGCAUCUUGCCACAAGGCUUGUCUCCAGGCUAGUCACCUAGAUAUGCAGAACGACCCAUUAUUCCAAGCGAAGUAUCAAUUGACUAAUGCUUGUCACAAGCUUUAUUUACAGCAAAGGGAAGAUGGACAACUAGUAAACUCCCUACAUUUUACAACUAGAGUAGUAGGAAACAUGCACACCUUCCAGUCUCAAAGUACAAGGCAAUCAAAUAGAUCACUGGAUCAACUCUUUAUACUGGAAUCAAGCUAAAGGCAUGAGCAAAAAUAAUAUAGUAGACAUGCUGGAUAUCUAUAUGCAUAUAGUUUUCCAAAUCCUGAAACUAAAAACUUUCAAAAUAAUACUGCGUUUAAGUACAAUUACCACAGGCAAACGCAGAGAUGGGAGGCCUCCUGGAGGGAAGGAAAAUUUGCUCAGGUAGUCAUGCGCUGGAUCGGCAUGUACUCCAUUAGCAACUACUGGAGGAGGGCUGCUUGAACUCGGUUGACCUGGAGUUUUCGACGGAUCAAUAUUCAUCUCACUAAUUUUCUUGAUCUUCUUCUCUUGUACCUGCUCGAUCAAAAAGGAGUAAGGACGUCAAAAACUCUUUCAUCUUUUUGUUUUUUACGGAGCAUAACAAACCAGUUUCUAGACCACUUUCGCAUGAGACACCUAAAAUAUUUCGAAACAAGAUAAAAGGCCAUUCAAAUGUCGCACCUUCCAAUAUUUGAUGGUUUUAUCAUUUGUGGAAAGCAGAAACAAUGCACCGUUAGCAGGCUGACACCACCUGAUUUUGUUGAUUUUCUCUUCUAUUUCCAAACUCUUGAGAUAGUCAAACUGAAAGAGAUUGGAAACCGAGUUAAUUUUGCAUCACUAGCAACAUAAUUAUUCAUAAACUGAAAUCUGGUAAACAUGGUUGUAAAUUUACCUCAGGUUCAUGACUCUGAAACUCUGUUUUAUAUCGAAACUCAGGAUGCCUAACUGUGUAGUCCAUCUGCUCAGCAUCUCUCCUGGACACACCAUUCUGAAAAACAACACCGCACAAGAAUGCAUUUCUUUUUUAAAGACGAUUGAAGUAAAUCUUGCAGAAGAAAAAAAGGAACGCACAUCUUUAUUAUCAGUCCUCUCAAAAAGAACCACUCGGCCCCCACGGUCACCAGUUGCAAGAUGGUCUCCACUCUUAUCAAAUUCAAUGGCUGAAAUGAUGUCAACUGCGGAACAAAUUUGUAGAACAUAAAGAAUUCAUCACAAAACUGUAGGAGCUAAACACAGUAAAAACCAUAAACUGCAGCUCGAACAUUCUUCUCCGCUACAUAAUGAAAGUAAACAAGUGAAGAAAAGUUGGUACAACAACAUGAAAAACAUUGAGAGAAACUACCUCGCUACACUAGCAAUCUUAUCAGCCAGCAGAAAGCAAAACUUUAAACCAACUCAAUCUUACAAAUUCAAUUCAAUGCAUGAACAAUUGACAACACUUCAUCACUUCUCGCACGACAUACAAUUCAUCAUACGCUUCCUAAUCAGUGGAAACACAGUAGCCAUGGCUAUGUCAUUAAACAAACAGAAGCUUCUAGCUAGCUCAGAUUACACCUCCUAAGUCACACAACUAACAGUACAAAUCUAAAUACACUCAGAUCAAUGACACACUCUAAGCAGGCAGAUCAGAUCCAAACCACAAAUCAAAUCCUUAAGUCCUCAAAACACCCUCCGGAUCUAAAACAAAUCUCCUCACAAUCUCUAACGCUUAAGUAUUACCUUCCUGGACUUCUUCUCCAGCGGUUCGCUCGCCGAAGACCUGAGAGAAUCUCCACUCUAAAGGCGGAGGAGGACCACCACCACUAGAAGCAGCACCGUCACCACCACCACCACCACCGUUCAUGUUUCUUUCUUUUGCGUUGAUAAAAAUAAAAUAAAAUAAAAAUAUCCAAACCAAAUCUGAGCUUCCAAAUCUCGAUCACCGAGACGAAGAUCGCGUCAUCACCAUCACCAAAUCCAUCGAUUCACAUUCCAUUCCAUAGUUUCUGUUCCUCGAUUGAAUCACUUUGAUCGAUGAUUGAUUUCGUAGAAAAUGGAGGAAGGAACGAGAGAAGGAAGAAAACGCCUUCACCUUUCUCUCUCUCUCUCUAGAAGGAUAAAAUCGGAAUUACAAUCUUUUUUUUUCUUGCUUCGGGACCAACACGAAGGAUCGAAUCGUAUAAGCUAAUGUCUAAUACUAUAAUGUUCUUUGUCCUGAUUAUCAUGGUUAUCGUUCGAGUUACAGGCGGUGACGUGAUUUUAUUCGCUCAGUAAAUAUGAGUGAACGGUGACCUGCGAAGUCGCAUGUCAUUGGUCUGUUGUGGAGGUGCGCUUGCCAGUUGCCACUGUUAUAUGAUGGGUGAUGUGUAUCAAUAUCACUAAUACUGUUUAUAAUUAAUUAAUUAUGCCAAUUAUCUCAAAUAAGAUUCCAUUGCACAUUGUUUUGCUUUAUACAAAGAACAUUAUGAUUUAUGUGAUAAACAAAUUUGCAACAGGAGAUGCUAAGAACAUUUACUUAGAAUAUAACUUUUUCUUACAUAAUUUCAUUUAAUUAUUACAUAUGUAAUGUAAGGAGGAUUUAACAGGUUUAUAAAUUGGUAGGAAACAAUUAACAUGUAUAAAACCAAGUAUUAAUCAGACGAAUUUAGAAGUCUUAGUACUCAAAAACCAGUAUAUGAAUUAAUUUGAUUUUUGGAUAAACAAUUAAAAAAAAAUAAACUUGAAAGGAAAAUUAGUACUCAGCGACUACUAAACCGGAAACAGUAAAACCAGUUAGUCCAUGUUGAUUUAGGGAAUGUGUUCACAGCUUCCUCGUUUUAAACGUCCCCUUGCCUCAUAUGCAGAAGAAACUUGCUCGAGUGAUCUCUCCCAAAUUUGAAGGAGCCCUAUAUAAUACUCGGAAUUACAUAUCUUAACCGAUUCAUUUGCAAGAAAAUGGUAUAAAACAAACACGAGUAUUAGGGAUCUAACUCACACACACACACACACUGUUCUAUAUAGCCACCACACAAAUGAAAGCUUACUGGCAUCAGCAUCAAAGAGGGGACUAGCUCGCAGGAGAGAUUCAUCUAUUCUUCCUAUUCUUGCCAAAAUAUCUGAAAGUUGUUGCAAGCUAUAUGUUGGUUAUGUAUAAAAUAUAUAAAGGAAGAGAUGUUCAUUGUGUUGGGGGUUGAAAGAACUGAAAGGAUGCUUGCUCGACUUUUACGAAUUAAUUUGCGUUUGGAAUUUUCUGAUGGUGUUUUCGGUAUUUUAAGUGACUUUUACAUUUUGAACUUAGGUUCAUUAGUCCCAAGGGACUGAUGAUGUUGCGCACGGAAGGGUUGGAUCAACUUAAGAUCAUGGUAUAUCCUGAGUAUAUAGGCUAUUGAAUCAUUAGGAACAAUCAAUCGUUAGCCCAUAGUCCCUAAAACAUGAAACUAAGAAAGAGAAAUGUGCCUAAGGCGGCAUGCAAGCAAACUGUGCACACAAAGAGAAAAAGAGAGAUGUUCGCAAUUACUACCAUAAGAGUUCCAGGUCUAGGCAUUUUAACCUCAACACGAAAACCCGAACCGGAACCGACCCAAAAAUACCGAUCCGGAACUGAACCAAAAAUUUACAUGUACCUUUUGGAUCUAAAUUUCUAUUACCCGAAAUAACCGGAACCGAAAGAAACCGACCCGAAUAGAUCCGGACCCGAAAAGAACCGAUCCGAAUAGAUCCGACUCGAUAAUAACCGAUUUGUACCCGACUUAAAAACAUGUAUAUCUAAAACUAUGAUGUUUUUGUGUUCUAUUUUAUAUAUAUUAUUUUAUGAUUUAGUUGAAAUAUAUUUUGUUAACAAUAUUUGUUAUUAUUUUGUAACAUUUUUAAGUAAUAUGAAGUUUGAAAAUGUAAAAUUUAGAGUUUAAAAAUAUUUUAUUUCAGUUAUUAAUAGUUUCAUUUAAAUUAUUUUGUAAAAUUUUAGAUAUAUAUGACAAAUAUCAACUAAAUUUGAUGAAGUUGGGUAUGUCAUGUCCUUUUCACAUCCCAAAUACCCGAACCCGACCCGGAUCCGUUAUGGACCCGAAAAAUUACGGAUAUUUUAUGGGUAUUUUAAUUGUAAACCUGAACCGACCCGGACCCGAGAAGAACCGACCCGAACCCGAACCGAAAAUUUCUAAGUACCUAUUGGGUCUAAAUAUUUUGGACCCGAAAGACCCGGAUCCGAAAGGAACCGGCCCGAACCCGACCCGAAGACCCGAACGCCCUAUAUAUGUCUUUUUUGGACAAAACAAAAAACUUAUGUGUAAACCUUCAAAUUUGUAUAAAAAAGGAAAAAUUAUAUAACCUCUUACUAAAUUGUUUAUAUCCUUCAAAUUUUAGGACCGGCUAAUGCUUAAAGUAUGAUCAUCUCACUAAUUGGCGUGUCUCUAGAUCAGUCAAAGUUCUUAGAGCAACCCCAUCAAGGGUUUAUAACAGGUUCAUGGGCUCAGUAUCAUAGGGCCGGAUAAUAAAAAUAAAUCAUAUAUUGGGUUUAAUCUCGCGACCCGCCUCUUACGCUUGACCCCGUCCGAUACGGGUUCACGACAGGUGUCGCAUUUUCACUGGGGAAGGGGAGUCGACGUCACGCGGAGGAAAGCGGAGAGAGAAUCAUUUCUCUCAUUUUCGCGUGAAAAGCUAGGGUUUCCUCCUCAUGCGAUUUCCCGUGGGACGCCGAUCUCUCUCCACUUUUCUCUCCUUUUUUCGAUCGAUUCGACGCCGGAUUGUCUCCUCCAGGAGCAGAGGUGAGUAUCGACUCGAUUCACCGUUUAGAUAUAAGAGUUUUGUAGUCGGAAUCGCUAUUGGGAAUUCUUCUCAAUAAAUUUUCUGAUCUCGAGUUAGGGUUCGCAAUGGAGAUGGGUUUGGAUCUACGGUUGUUUAACCUCGUAUAGUGAUUCUAUUUAUCGAUUAAUGGUUAGACUUUUGCGGAUUGAAAAUCAAAUAGGGGUUAUCGAGUUAGGGUUAAAAAAAAAAUUGGGGGUUUCGAUAAGUGGUUUGAAAUCGUAAACUGGGUUGGAUAGACGGUUCGUUUGAUCGUGUUAUUUACAUAUUUUGUGCUAAUCAUUUCAAGUUUUGUGUUUCAGAUGGAUCCCUUAGAAGAGAUAAGAGAUAGUAAGAGGCAACUAGAGUACUUAAACCACCUGGGAAACGUGGCCGAUUCGGAAUAUGGAAUGCCCAGAAGAUGUGCUUGUGGUGGGAGAAUGAUUGACGAGCUUCGAGUCAAGGAUGAGUUCGACACUCAGCCUGGGAAGCGCUUCUUCAGCUGCGUAAACUACGAGGUUAGAUACAAACCCGUGCUACCCUUCAUUACUCAGCCUCUUCAUUAUUAGUUAAAAUUUUAAAAUAUGUUCUCUGAUGUGUUUAUGGUUUAACCAAGGCUGAUGGUUUGCAUUAUCGUCAGCCUUGGGUUAUAGGUGUGCAGGAGGAUAUGGUACGCCUGCGUAAGCGUGUUGAGGAGGCUGAUGAGGUGAUCAAGUGGGUGCCCAUUCUCAAUAAACAGAUUGAGAGUGUUGAGGUUUGUCACUUUGUCUAAGAGUUUCUAUUAGAAAGUUAUUUUUUCUAAAUAUUGGUUUUUAAAUAUUCAGUAACAAGGUUUCUUUUUUUCCUUGUGCAGGCACAAGUUAAAAGGCUGACUUUGUUGCUUGAUAAGCUCACUGGUGACGUGUAUAACCUCUCAGUGCAGGUGGCUGCUCUGGAGAAUGUGUGUUUCGACUGAAAUCGAAAAGGUAAACAUUCAAACUAAACUGAAGUAGAAGUUCUUUCCGCGUAGGUUGUUUGUUGUAGUUGAACUGAUACUUAACUUAACUAGGAACUCAACUAGUUUCAUUAAAUAUCUAGAGUAGGAGCUGUACUAGAUUUUAGGUUUCAUUAAAUAGUUGUUGGUUGGUUGCUGUGAUGAAUGGUCAUAAAAUGCUAUCUGUCCGAAACUUGUUUGAGUUUAAAAAAUUGAUUUGAUGUGUAAUGAAUGCAUUCUGUGAUAAACUUGUUGUCUAAUUAAGGGUAAUGAAUGUUUGGUAGUUAGAAACACCUUUUAUAGAUACUCAAAAUCACUCUAAAUCACCACGCACUUGUCAAAAAACCAAAAAAAAAUUAAAACACAACCCGAAACCAAAAUGGAUCCCUUUUCUCUUAAUUCUCCCGGGUUUGUGAACCUAUUAUCUUCCCAGUGCAGUCAAACCACUCAAACCAUAGAUGUAGGGUCCUCUGAUGUUCCUAAACCGGUGGAGAGGAGAAAGUGGACAACACAAGAAGACAUAGUCCUCAUCAGUGCCUGGUUGAACACCAGUAAGGAUCCCAUAGUUAGUAACCAGCAGAAGUUAGGGUCUUUUUGGAAAAGAAUAGAGGAUUACUUUAAUUCAAGCGCUCAGCUCAUUGGCUUUGCUCCCAGAGAGUGGAGUCAGUGUAAGCAGAGGUGGGGAAGGGUUAAUGAGCAGGUGUGUAAGUUUGUUGGAAGCUAUGAGGCGGCUUUGAAGGAGCAAGCUAGUGGCCAAAAUGAGAACGAUGUCAUGAAGUCUGCUCAUGACAUCUUCUUUAACGACUACCAGGCGAAGUUCACACUUGAACACGCGUGUGCGAUUUCCCGUGGGACGCCGAUCUCUCUCCACUUUUCUCUCCUUUUUUCGAUCGAUUCGACGCCGGAUUGUCUCCUCCAGGAGCAGAGGUGAGUAUCGACUCGAUUCACCGUUUAGAUAUAAGAGUUUUGUAGUCGGAAUCGCUAUUGGGAAUUCUCAAUAAAUUUUCUGAUCUCGAGUUAGGGUUCGUAAUGGAGAUGGGUUUGGAUCUACGGUUGUUUAACCUCGUAUAGUGAUUCUAUUUAUCGAUUAAUGGUUCGAUUUUUGCGGAUUGAAAAUCAAAUAGGGGUUAUCGAGUUAGGGUUAAAAAAAAAAUUGGGGGUUUCGAUAAGUGGUUUGAAAUCGUAAACUGGGUUGGAUAGACGGUUCGUUUGAUCGUGUUAUUUACAUAUUUUGUGCUAAUCAUUUCAAGUUUUGUGUUUCAGAUGGAUCCCUUAGAAGAGAUAAGAGAUAGUAAGAGGCAACUAGAGUACUUAAACCACCUGGGAAACGUGGCCGAUUCGGAAUAUGGAAUGCCCAGAAGAUGUGCUUGUGGUGGGAGAAUGAUUGACGAGCUUCGAGUCAAGGAUGAGUUCGACACUCAGCCUGGGAAGCGCUUCUUCAGCUGCGUAAACUACGAGGUUAGAUACAAACCCGUGCUACCCUUCAUUACUCAGCCUCUUCAUUAUUAGUUAAAUUUUAAAAAUAUGUUCUCUGAUGUGUUUAUGGUUUAACCAAGGCUGAUGGUUUGCAUUAUCGUCAGCCUUGGGUUAUAGGUGUGCAGGAGGAGAUGGUACGCCUGCGUAAGCGUGUUGAGGAGGCUGAUGAGGUGAUCAAGUGGGUGCCCAUUCUCAAUAAACAGAUUGAGAGUGUUGAGGUUUGUCACUUUGUCUAAGAGUUUCUAUUAGAAAGUUAUUUUUUCUAAAUAUUGGUUUUUAAAUAUUCAGUAACAAGGUUUCUUUUUUUCCUUGUGCAGGCACAAGUUAAAAGGCUGACUUUGCUGCUUGAUAAGCUCACUGGUGACGUGUAUAACCUCUCAGUGCAGGUAGCUGCUCAGGAGAAUGUAUGUUUCGACUGAAAUCGAACAGGUAAACAUUCAAACUAAACUGAAGUAGAAGUUCUUUCCGCGUAGGUUGUUUGUUGUAGUUGAACUGAUACUUAACUUAACUAGGAACUCAACUAGUUUCAUUAAAUAUCUAGAGUAGGAGCUGUACUAGAUUUUAGGUUUCAUUAAAUAGUUGUUGGUUGGUUGCUGUGAUGAAUGGUCAUAAAAUGCUAUCUGUCCGAAACUUGUUUGAGUUUAAAAAAUUGAUUUGAUGUGUAAUGAAUGCAUUCUGUGAUAAACUUGUUGUCUAAUUAAGGGUAAUGAAUGUUUGGUAGUUAGAAACACCUUUUAUAGAUACUCAAAAUCACUCUAAAUCACCACGCACUUGUCAAAAAACCAAAAAAAAUUUAAAACACAACCCGAAACCAAAAUGGAUCCCUUUUCUCUUAAUUCUCCCGGGUUUGUGAACCUAUUAUCUUCCCAGUGCAGUCAAACCACUCAAACCAUAGAUGUAGGGUCCUCUGAUGUUCCUAAACCGGUGGAGAGGAGAAAGUGGACAACACAAGAAGACAUAGUCCUCAUCAGUGCCUGGUUGAACACCAGUAAGGAUCCCAUAGUUAGUAACCAGCAGAAGUUAGGGUCUUUUUGGAAAAGAAUAGAGGAUUACUUUAAUUCAAGCGCUCAGCUCAUUGGCUUUGCUCCCAGAGAGUGGAGUCAGUGUAAGCAGAGGUGGGGAAGGGUUAAUGAGCAGGUGUGUAAGUUUGUUGGAAGCUAUGAGGCGGCUUUGAAGGAGCAAGCUAGUGGCCAAAAUGAGAACGAUGUCAUGAAGUCUGCUCAUGACAUCUUCUUUAACGACUACCAGGCGAAGUUCACACUUGAACACGCGUGGAGGGAGCUGAGGUUUAACUCUUAGUCAUAUUUUCUUCUUUUAUCUAUUCUUUUUUUUCUUUAAAAGAAAUGUCGUCCUCAUCGUCAGAUGGCGUAGAUGAAGCUUUUGAAGAAUUUUUUGACGAAGAAUUUGAUAAUAUCGUCGACUCCCUACUUGAUGUACAAGCCAACAAACCAAAAAGACGAGCUUAUAUCGAAAGAGAUCGGGAACAAGGCCACAUUCAACUAUAGAACGACUAUUUCCACGAAAAUCCUACUUACCCACCGGACAUGUUUAGGAGGCGUUUUCGAAUGAACAAGCCCUUGUUCCUUCGCAUUGUCGAACGGCUCAGUACAGGUGUUCCAUACUUUCGGCAAAGACGAAAUGCUACAGGUCACGGGUUCUAGAGGUCACGGGUUCUACUGGCGCAGCACUUUUUUUUCUGAGGUUGAUGGGUUAUCGUAGUAGUAGUAGUUGUACUGUAGUGUGGUUGAUGGGUUGUGCUUCACAGGAAGCAUAUUGUAAUAGGCAGUAGUGUUGUUGUCACGGGUUGUACUGGUGACAACACAUUUUCAAGUACUUGUUGUUGUUUAUGCAAGUGUCACGGAUGUUGUAUAACAUCACUAUAUAAUCUAUGUCUCAUUUAUGCAUUGGUCUCAUCUUCUUGUUCAUCUCUUCUCUCUAAAACAAUCAGAACACAACUCUAUUUCCCAUCUCUUAUCUAAACAAUCACAACACAACGCCCAAACAUUCUUCUUCUAUCAAGCGCAAACAUCCUUCUUCUUAUCUAACCCCACGCCCAAACAUUCGUCUUCUAUCAAGACAACCACAAGACAAUCCACCCACGCCCACACAUUCUUCUUGUAUCAAGCUUUUUUUUUUUUAAACACUUCAUCAUAUUUUCUUCUUCUAUCUCUUUUUUUUUUUCAAAAUUUUCUCUUAAUUAUAUAUUUUUUAAAAAACUCCAUCAUAUUUUUAAUUUCAACUCUUAGUCAUAUUUUCUUCUUUUAUCUAUUCUUUUUUUUCUUUAAAAGAAAUGUCGUCCUCAUCGUCAGAUGGCGUAGAUGAAGCUUUUGAAGAAUUUUUUGACGAAGAAUUUGAUAAUAUCGUCGACUCCCUACUUGAUGUACAAGCCAACAAACCAAAAAGACGAGCUUAUAUCGAAAGAGAUCGGGAACAAGGCCACAUUCAACUAUGGAACGACUAUUUCCACGAAAAUCCUACUUACCCACCGGACAUGUUUAGGCGGCGUUUUCGAAUGAACAAGCCCUUGUUCCUUCGCAUUGUCGAGCGGCUCAGUACAGGUGUUCCAUACUUUCGGCAAAGACGAAAUGCUCACGGAAGGAAAGGGCUAUCACCACUUCAAAAAUGUACGGCAGCUGUACGUAUGCUCGCAUAUGGUGAAUCGGGAGAUACGUAUGACGAAUAUCUCCGACUUGGUGAAAGUACGACACCUUUAUGUUUGGAACAUUUCACUAAUGGGAUAAUAGACUUUUUUGGUGAAGAGUAUCUAAGAAGACCUACGGCGGAAGAUCUUCAACAAUUACUCGAUAUUGGAGAGGUACGCGGGUUUCCAGGGAUGAUUGGCAGCAUUGAUUGUAUGCAUUGGGAGUGGAAAAACUGCCCAACGGCUUGGAGAGGGCAGUACACACGAGGUUCAGGAAAGCCGACAAUUGUCUUAGAGGCUGUGGCAUCAGAAGAUCUUUGGAUAUGGCACGCAUUUUUCGGAUUACCAGGUACCCUAAACGAUAUCAAUGUUCUUGAUCGGUCUCCUGUUUUUGAUGACAUUAUACAAGGUCGAGCACCUAAAGUUAAAUUCAAGGUCAACAAUCACACUUACCGUAUGGCGUACUACCUUACUGACGGAAUUUAUCCGAAUUGGUCAACAUUUAUCCAAUCCAUCCCACUUCCUCAAGGUAAUAAAGCAGAGCUGUUUGCUAAACAUCAAGAAUCCACUAGGAAAGAUGUCGAACGGGCUUUCGGGGUAUUGCAAUCGAGGUUUGCAAUAGUAAAAAACCCAGGUCUACUAUGGGACAAGGAAAAGUUAGGGAAGAUUAUGAGAACUUGUGUCAUAUUGCACAAUAUGAUUGUGGAGAACGAACGAGGCGGAUACUCUCUAAGUGAUACUUCUCAGUUCGAGUCAGGAGAGUCAAGCAGAAGUUCGAAGGUCAAAAGGAGAGAAAGUUUGCAUUUGAAUAACAUGCUAGGCAUGUGCAAUGAAGUUCGGGAUUCAGGAAAACAUGAUAGUUUGAAAACUGAUUUAGUUGAAAACGUAUGGCAAAAAUUUGGUAACAUAGAUGAAUAAUCUUUGUAUGUUCAUCAAUUAUCAAUGUAAUGAAUAAAUUUUAUUUAUAAAAUAUAUUUUAUAAUAUUAUAUUCAUCUUUCCAAAAUAAUUUCAAAACUAAAAAAAAAUUAUAAAUAUAUUAUCUAAUUCUUAUGAACCCCUUCUUCAGGUUCAAUAAUGCAGAAACACAAUAGCAAAAAGUUUAAUACUAUUUAUGGUUCCACCAAAAAAAUAUUAAAAAAAUGCUAUGAACCCCAAAGAGGGUUCACUAAUGUGGAUGCUCUUAGAAGUCAAUCUCUCAUGUCUUGUUUUUUUUUUUUGACAUUAUCAUCAUGUCUUGUUUAUUGCAGGAUAUUCUUAUCAAAGAAUAAAAUAAUUAGUGUAUAGUGUAGUAAUAUGACUAUGUAAAAAUUGCAGUUCGAAUCUAUUUCUUACUGCGAAAAAAUAUAUAAAGAAUUAAUUGGUUUAAAGAUGCUUUUGAAAAUCCAAUGAUGCUAGUGGGGAAUCAUCGAAAAAGAUUGGUCGACAGUUAUUUAAAUUUGAUUAUUGAGGAUGCACAUGGCGAUAGAUUCCUAACCUAUCACAGUAAUAAUAUAGACAACAAUGUAUUUUAGUGUCAAAAUCUUAUUGAAUAAUUCUAUUUUCACGUGUAAGAUCUCAUUGAUUAUAAAUUCAUAAGACUUACACUAAAAAAGCUUGUCAUUACAUUACCUGCUCGAUACAAAACAUUUUUCUGAAUUGAUAUAUCAAAUAGUAAUGUGUUUACUAUUCUUAUAUGAUUUAUUUUUCCUGAGACAACGAUGUGCACCAAGACAAUAAACGCUAUACUUGAUGCAUGUUCCUCUCGUUUUAUAUACACUAUCUUACCAACUAAACAAUUCAACAGAAUAUACAUUUAUCUUAGGUAGCCGAAUUUAUAAUUUUGACCGCAAAGUAAAAUAAAAAAAAAGUGAAUCCAUAACAUGUCUAUUAAUAGGCACGUUUUGCCUCGCCACAUUCUCACACAAAGCAAACAAAGUAAAAAGAAAAAAGAAACAAAUCAUGGCGCUUUCGUCUUCUUGUUCAACGCUCAAAGCCGUCAACUCACGGUGGACGUCACCAGCACCAAAACUCGCCGCCAUCCGUCGACACUCUCUGUUACCGGAGCUCCGUUACACACCAAACGUCAAACUAACUGCGACUAACGCCUUGAGAACCGUGGAGCAAACGACGUUAACGGAGGACGACCAUCUCUCCACCUACGGAUCUGACCAAGACGACCAAGAGUCGCUUCCAAAGCCGAGGAUCCUCGUCGCCGAGAAGCUAGGAGAGGCCGGAGUGAACCUCCUCAAGGAUUUUGGCGACGUGGACUGCUCUUACGAGCUUUCACCGGAGGAUCUGACUAUGGGACAAGGAAAAGUUAGGGAAGAUUAUGAGAACUUGUGUCAUAUUGCACAAUAUGAUUGUGGAGAACGAACGAGGCGGAUACUCUCUAAGUGAUACUUCUCAGUUCGAGUCAGGAGAGUCAAGCAGAAGUUCGAAGGUCAAAAGGAGAGAAAGUUUGCAUUUGAAUAACAUGCUAGGCAUGUGCAAUGAAGUUCGGGAUUCAGGAAAACAUGAUAGUUUGAAAACUGAUUUAGUUGAAAACGUAUGGCAAAAAUUUGGUAACAUAGAUGAAUAAUCUUUGUAUGUUCAUCAAUUAUCAAUGUAAUGAAUAAAUUUUAUUUAUAAAAUAUAUUUUAUAAUAUUAUAUUCAUCUUUCCAAAAUAAUUUCAAAACUAAAAAAAAAUUAUAAAUAUAUUAUCUAAUUCUUAUGAACCCCUUCUUCAGGUUCAAUAAUGCAGAAACACAAUAGCAAAAAGUUUAAUACUAUUUAUGGUUCCACCAAAAAAAUAUUAAAAAAAUGCUAUGAACCCCAAAGAGGGUUCACUAAUGUGGAUGCUCUUAGAAGUCAAUCUCUCAUGUCUUGUUUUUUUUUUUUGACAUUAUCAUCAUGUCUUGUUUAUUGCAGGAUAUUCUUAUCAAAGAAUAAAAUAAUUAGUGUAUAGUGUAGUAAUAUGACUAUGUAAAAAUUGCAGUUCGAAUCUAUUUCUUACUGCGAAAAAAUAUAUAAAGAAUUAAUUGGUUUAAAGAUGCUUUUGAAAAUCCAAUGAUGCUAGUGGGGAAUCAUCGAAAAAGAUUGGUCGACAGUUAUUUAAAUUUGAUUAUUGAGGAUGCACAUGGCGAUAGAUUCCUAACCUAUCACAGUACUAAUAUAGACAACAAUGUAUUUUAGUGUCAAAAUCUUAUUGAAUAAUUCUAUUUUCACGUGUAAGAUCUCAUUGAUUAUAAAUUCAUAAGACUUACACUAAAAAAGCUUGUCAUUACAUUACCUGCUCGAUACAAAACAUUUUUUUGAAUUGAUAUAUCAAAUAGUAAUGUGUUUACUAUUCUUAUAUGAUUUAUUUUUCCUGAGACAACGAUGUGCACCAAGACAAUAAACGCUAUACUUGAUGCAUGUUCCUCUCGUUUUAUAUACACUAUCUUACCAACUAAACAAUUCAACAGAAUAUACAUUUAUUUUAGGUAGCCGAAUUUAUAAUUUUGACCGCGAAGUAAAAAAAAAAUGAAUCCAUAACAUGUCUAUUAAUAGGCACGUUUUGCCUCGCCACACUCUCACACAAAGCAAACAAAGUAAAAAAGAAAAAAGAAACAAAUCAUGGCGCUUUCGUCUUCUUGUUCAACGCUCAAAGCCGUUAACUCACGGUGGACAUCACCAGUACCAAAACUCGCCGCCCUCCGUCGACAGUACUCUCUGUUACCGGAGCUCCGUUACACACCAAACGUGAAACUAACGGCGACUAACGCCUUGAGAACCGUCGAGCAAACGACGUUAACGGAGGACAACAAACUCUCCACCUACGGAUCUGACCAAGAAGACCAAGAGUCGCUUCCAAAGCCGAGGAUCCUCGUCGCCGAGAAGCUAGGAGAGGCCGGAGUGAACCUCCUCAAGGAUUUUGGCGACGUGGACUGCUCUUACGAGCUUUCACCGGAGGAUCUGAAGAAGAAAGUUGCGGAGAGCGACGCGUUGAUCGUGAGAAGCGGAACGAAAGUGACGAGGGAAGUGUUCGAGGCCGCGAAGGGGAGGUUGAAAGUGGUGGGAAGAGCCGGAGUUGGGAUCGACAAUGUUGAUCUGCAAGCGGCGACGGAGUAUGGAUGUUUGGUGGUUAAUGCUCCGACUGCUAAUACGGUGGCUGCCGCCGAACAUGGUAUCGCUUUGCUUGCUUCUAUGGCACGAAACGUCGCUCAGGCUGACGCUUCCAUUAAAGCAGGUAUGUUGGAGAAAAAAACACAAUUCACGUUUUUUGAAAAGUAUGAUAUAUAGAUUUAGAGUUAUAAAUAUCUUAGUAUAACUUUUGAUAAAUAUUAUUUUGAUAAUUUAGAGGCUACCUAACUUAUGCAUAUUAACUUCUAAAAAUUUGUAGUCAAAAAUGUUUCGUCCGUUUCAGCAAAAAAAAAAAAAACUAAUGUUUCGUCCGAGUAUGCUCAGAAUAGCUCUGGUAGAAAUUUGAAUAAGAUCUAGAUUUAGCAACAUAUAUACAAGUAAAAUUGGUUGAAUAAUUUUAUGUACUUUUGAUUAAUUGAAUUAGGGCGAUUCGUUAACAAUUGCGAAAGUAAUGGUUUUACUAUAUCGAUUAAAAAUAUUAUGUUAACAAUUGCGAAAGUAAUGGUUUUACUAUAUCGAUUAAAAAUAUUAUUAUAUUUGUAUUUAGUUGUGGAGCCGUCAUCAGAUCUUGAGCAGCCUACUGUGAAAAUAUGAAUUAGAUCUAGAUUUCAACAACAAAAAUAUGUUAAUUAAAUAACUUUCUGAUAUACUCUGGUUAAUUAACUGGGGUUGUUAAUUGCGAAAGUAGUCGUUUACUAUAUAGAUUAUUAACAACAGUUAAAAGAUAAUAUAUUUGUAUUUCAUUGUGGAGCCGGCAUCAAAUCUCGAGCAUCAUGGUCCACCAUUUGAAUAGUAAACAACUUAGUGGUUUUAGUGUUGUCUUUUGUAAUUAUUGCUGAAUUGAAAUUUUCAACUAAGUGGUAACCUGUCGUUGUGUAAUAGAAAAGUCACAGUAGUAGGCUAGUAGUACUGAAAACAAGCAUAAAAUUAGUUCACGUAAGUAGAACAAAAUACCAAACGUGACUUUUCUCGUGGGUCAUGGCUAGUUUUACCAUUUGUGUAUGUAUAAUUUCUGGUAGAGAGGUGGUCAAGUGCGACAACUUGACAAAACAAAUUUAACCCGUAAAGGCAACAAGAACUGCCAAGGGACCGGUUAUAACCAAGCUCUCGUAGCCUAGUGGUAAAGGAGGUACAGCUGUACUGCUCGCCACCCGGGUUCGAGUCUUGACCACAACGAAUUUAACAUCCCUUUCGUUGGGGCGCUGGACCCCUUUCGGGGAUAGUUGGAAAUGUGGCUAUCCAGAUACUAGAGUUAUAAAAAAAAAGAAAAAAAAAAAAGAAAAGAAAAGGGACCGGUUAUUGCAGAAAAUUAAGCAUGGGCCCUAAGUUAAAAUGAUUGGGACCACUAAUAUGGUUAGUCAUAUGACUCAUAUUUAUUCAUUUUGGUUUUCUCUUCUCGAGUCUAAGCAUGCACCAACCAUAGUACACCAAAGAUUAUUGGAGUCUCCUUUGCCUUUAAAGUCCCAAAACUCAUUAAGUUGAAGCAAUCAUUCACUUACCUGAUACUGUAUUUUCUUCUUCACCUUUAUGUCAUAACUCAUCACUUCCACCCAUUUUGGAAUCUCGAGCAUUAUGGCAAUAUAUAACUUUUUGGUCUUCUUUUUCUUUCUUUAUUAAUGGUUUAUUACUCAUUUUUAAUCACCUAAAUUGAUUCGGCGUGGAGUAACCUUGAGUGGCAGAAGAAUAUUCUUUGAUCAAUAAUACACCUUCACUAUUGCUUAGUUAUUAUAAUAAUCGUAGAUUUAACUACACUGCACAACAAGUGGGUCUUUGAAAAUUAAUUAUGCAUUAUAAUUUUACAUACUCAAUUAUUUGAUUCUAGUAAAGCAUUAACAUCCGACCGUGACAUAAAAUGGAGUGAUCAAGUACAAUAAGAUAAGUUUUUUUUUUAAAUAAAAAAAAAUAUUUUAAAGGGUGCUCAAUAUUUUUUUUUAAAGAAUAAGUAUCACUAAAACAAUUAAAAUAUUAAUUUUAACAAAAUGUUUAAAAAAAAACUGUUAGCGAAUCGUUAAAAAAAAAUCUUAAAGUUGACUUUUUGGUGUGUAAAUUGUAAAUUUAAUUUUUUUCUCAAAAAAAAAAGAAGUAAAUUGUAAAUUUAAGUUGACUUGAGCUUUACCGUCUCUUCCGUGGAGUAAUAAUAGAUGACGUGUCCAGUACGUUACUGAAAGUUCACAUUUGUUUUCCCAGGAAAAUGGGAGAGGAGCAAGUACGUCGGCGUAUCUCUCGUCGGAAAAACAUUAGCCAUAAUGGGUUUUGGCAAAGUCGGAACAGAGGUGGCGAGGCGAGCCAAGGGACUCGGCAUGAACGUUAUCUCUCACGACCCUUACGCUCCAGCAGACAGAGCCAGAGCUCUCGGCGUCGAACUCGUCUCCUUCGACCAAGCCAUCUCCACCGCCGACUUCAUCUCCCUACACAUGCCGUUAACUCCCGCCACGAAGAAGGUUUUCAACGACGAAACCUUCUCCAAGAUGAAGAAGGGCGUUCGUCUCAUUAAUGUAGCUAGAGGCGGCGUCAUCGACGAGGAUGCGCUCGUUAGGGCUCUAGACUCAGGAGUUGUUGCCCAGGCAGCGUUGGAUGUGUUCUGUGAGGAGCCACCAUCGAAAGAGAGUAGAUUGAUUCAGCAUGAGAAUGUUACAGUCACACCUCAUCUCGGAGCUAGCACCAAAGAGGCACAGGUACAUUACAUACACUUAGGCCUGCCGGUUCGAGUAAUUCGGUUUGAUCCAAAAUCUUGCCGAAUUGUACCGGAAAAUUUUUGGUUCAGUUUAGUAUUCGGAUAGUUUGGUUCUUAAAAAAUUCAUCGAAACUAACUGAAGUUUUGGUUUCGAUUAUAUUCCGGUUUAAAUUUUUGGCUAAUGUCAGUUAGUUUGGUUUAUUCGGUUUGAGAUUUUGGUUAAUUCGGUUCGAAAUUUAGUUAGCAAAAAUUUUCUUUUAUUUUUUGAAAAACCAAACCAAACCAAAAACCAACCUUAAAAAAAAAAAAAUCCCGAAUUGAACCGACCCGUAACCGAACUAAUAGAAAAUUCAUAUCUUACAUGAAAUCUUGUGACAUGGUUGUAAUGUACCUCUGGUUAUUGACCUUGUUAGGAAGGUGUAGCCAUCGAGAUAGCAGAGGCUGUAGCAGGGGCAUUGAGAGGAGAGCUAUCAGCUACUGCAGUCAAUGCACCAAUGGUUGCUCCUGAGGUUUUAUCAGAACUGGCUCCUUACAUUGUCUUAGCUGAGAAGCUUGGAAGGUUAGCUGUUCAGUUAGCAUCUGGAGGUAAGGGAGUACAGUCCAUCAAGGUCGUGUACCGCUCAGCUCGUGACCGAGAUGAUUUGGACACUAGACUUCUCCGCGCGAUGAUCACAAAGGGAAUCAUUGAACCCAUCUCAGACUCUUAUGUCAACCUGGUGAAUGCUGACUUCAUAGCUAAGCAAAAGGGUCUCAGAAUCAGCGAGGAACGAACCAUGGUCGAGUCAUCACCAGAGUACCCUGUUGACUCCAUCCAAGUUCAGAUUUCUAACGUUGAGUCCAGCUUCGCUGGUGCUGUCUCUGAUGCUGGAGCUAUAAGUAUAGAAGGGAAGGUGAAAUAUGGAGUUCCGCAUUUGACUUGCGUUGGUUCGUUUGGUGUGGACGUGAGCCUUGAAGGGAAUCUGAUACUGUGCAGGCAGGUGGAUCAGCCAGGGAUGAUUGGACAAGUAGGUAACAUACUCGGAGAGCAGAAUGUGAAUGUGAGUUUCAUGAGUGUUGGACGAACAGUUGUGAGGAAACAAGCUAUCAUGGCAAUAGGAGUGGAUGAAGAACCAGACAAGAAGACACUUGAGAAGAUUGGAGGUGUUUCUGCUAUUGAAGAGUUUGUGUUUCUGAAACUAUGAAAGUUUGAGAUGGUGUCACAGUAGUGUGGCGUUUGAGAAUAAAUUAUGACCCGGAUUUAAGGUGUUUGUCCAGUGGUCAAGCUGUAGGAAAAUGUGUGUCAUUGUGAUUGAAUGUGAGUCUCUUUGGUACUUUGUUCUUGUUGGUAAUGAUGUUUUUGGUUAAUGUCAUGUUUCUCUUGUUUCUUGAUAUCCACUAAUAUGCUACUAUGAUCUGUAACCACUAUUUUGAUAUAUGAACUAGCAUUAAGCAAGCUUAAAGAUUUGAUAAACACAUACUUCCUCCGUUUUUUAAUACAUGUUUUUUAUAAAAUUUUUUUUGUUCCAAAUUAUAACGUUUAUAAAUUUCUAUGUAAAAUUUAUUAACAGUUAAUAUUAUAUACCAACGAUAUUGUACAUUCUAUUUUAUUAUUGGUUAAAUUGUGAUUAGGUAUAUAAUUAGUGAUAAUUUUUAUUUAUAAAAUGUAAAAAAUUAAAGCACAAUCCUAAAACGCUAAUAGAGAGGGAGUAUGAUGUAAUCCAAGAAGCCUAUUUUUAUUGCAUAAAUCAAAAUUAUUGGGAGUAAUAGAUUACAGAACCAAGAGAGGCUUAUACAAAUUUGCAUAUCUCAAGUAUUCUUUUAUCCGGUGCUACCAGAUAGCUCACCGGAGUAGGCACUACCAUACGAUGCGGAACCAGUUGGUGUUUGUGAUGAUGUUGAGAUCCCCCGAGCCUUACGCAUUUGCCUUAGUCUGAAUACAUCUGUAGGUAGAGGCUGGCUUUGUAUGGAGGCAGUAUCAUCGUCUUCUUGCCCUGUCGAGAGAGAGAGAGAGAGAGAGAUUUAGAUGAUUCACUUCCAUGAGCCAAUAUUAUUUAAUGCUUGAAUGGGCAAAGAGAACUUACUAUCUGAACCUUUUCUCUUUGUAGCUCUUCUGUCUCUUGGCAAUCUCUGAGAUCCACCUCGGUUUGGACCUGAGGGAUCGUUUUGACUUGGAACGUUGCCUUUAGCAGUAAAACUCUGCUUGGCAGUUUGACCUGUUGGUAAGUCACUCUGCAAACAUAUUGAGAGAACAACAUCCACAUUGGGCGUUGGGCCUGAAAAGAAUUGAGAGGAGGUCGGUUAGUGGAAACCUAUUCAAAUGCUCAGUUUAAAUACAAACUUGGAAUUGGUAUUAAAGAGAUUUACCGUCAACAUGAGGCAAGUUGGCUAAAAAAGCUAACAAUGCAGGUGGAGUAGUCUUUGGUAUUUCAUCAAAUGUGUUGGCUGAGACAUGAGUUGCAGUUGCUGUCACAUUACUUUGAAAGAUGUUCGAAGCAGAAGCCGCCACUGGUUUUGCAGAACUAGAAAACUCAAUUCCUGAUUUCUUUGCUGGGUCAUGGACGACCAUCUGAGCUGUAUCUGGAUAAACAACCUUUGACGAAGAAGCUACACUACCUGACAGUCCACAAGGAGAUUUAUUUACUUAAAUCAUCACCAAACUUCAACAUAAUCUAUCCACGCCAGAAAACUAAAAAAACUACAGACCUAUAAUUGCAGAUCCAUGAGGUUGGUUUGUCUUCUCUACUUUCUUAUUCAUAUUUUUCACAAGCAGCUGUUGUGAAAACAUCGAUCAGUUAGAAUUGGAACUUACUUAGAUGCAUCAUCAGUAGUUAUUAAUCAAGCUAAAUGUGAUAUAUUAGCAUGCAUGGGACACACCUCUUGUCUGGAUAAAUGAUCAAGCUCAUUCGAAGUGCAUGGCCAAAGAUCCAUGUAACUGUACCGAGAAACAACAUCUUGAAGUGAACUAUCUAGAGCAGGAGAUCCCUCUUCCCCUUUUCCGAAUAGUGCUUCUUUCCUCCUCUGCUCAACCUACAACAAAGUUGUCGAAGUUAAUACAAAAUAUCUCAGACUGAAUACUAGACAGAUAUUGUCCUAAUUAGUUUGAGAAAUGAUUUGAAAGCCUCAGCAAUUUUAGCAAUAUUCCAUGCAAUCCAAAGCCUGUCAGAUGGAAUAAGACCAAUAAAGCUGGGACUCUACUACAACAAACUUGUCAUCUAAAGAUUCUAAAUGAAAAAAUACUCACAAAAAGCUUACAAAACACAUCAAGCUAACUGUAUUUGCUUUCUUAGUUUACGUUGACAACAAUCAAAUAAGUCAAAGAGUACCUUUAGAAUACUAGCAAGAUCUCCAUAUGUUUGUUCAAACUGAACGAAUCUAUUCCAGACCUGCACAGGAUGAGGCAAGGAAAAAGUUACUCCUAGAAUGCAGUUCAUAAUUGCUAUAAUCAAAUUAGUUGCUCCGGUUAUUUUCCUUGUCUCUUUUCAUGCUAAAGAACAAAAAACGCCUUCUUAAACGGCUCUGAGAAACGAAAUAGGAAACAUCACUAUUAGCGUACCUCAGCAGAUUCUUCAGUGGGUAGUGUGCUUAAAGCCCGUUCAAAUAGAGCUCUGAUAUUUCUAUCAUCAUUCAGUCUAGUCAAGAAAUCUGCAUACCUAGAAUUCAAAGCAAAACCAAACCGGUUAAAAAUUGUGUGUUUUAAGGAAUGUUUGGGAGAGAGAACAAGUUUGAGUUCUUCAAUAAAGAAGAGUUUCAAUUAUAUAUGUUGAGAAAAAUAAAAAGGAAAUCUUACUCAAGGAUGUAAACGGGUUCAGUCAUAUAGCGUUUCAAUCCCUCCUCGAAGAUAUUAUGAGCAGCCUGCAUAAGAAUAUAACAUAAUUCAUUUCUUUUAUUGUGAAACCGGGAAAAAAAGAACUGAAUUAGAAGCUACACUAGUAUAUUUGUCUUGCAAGAAUGUCGAGUGGAAUUUUUUUUUUUUAAAUAAUCGAACAAGUGAAGAGUUUAAGAUCAAUAACCAAAACCCGCCGAUAUUUAAAUCACAUUGAGUUCAUUAUCAUAAAAUUCUCCUGGCUUGCUUAAACAACUAAGAGUAAAAUCAGACGGGAGGGUGUUCUGAACUUGACUGAACGACCACUACGUCCUUCACAAUCAAUUUAUCAAAAAAAAAAGAAAAACAGUUCUUAAACAUAGACCAAAACACACCUUUGGAUCCUUGUCAAGACAAAAGGCCAUUGUAGCAAAAGCAAUAUACACAUGAUAUGUACAGCUAGGAGAUUUUCUAGCUUCUAGAAAGUACUUGCGAGCAGAUUCAACACCCUCUGCCCUCCUGAGAAAACGAAGGAACUGCAAAAGAAUAUAAAAGUAUAUCACAUAAAGAAUUUUCUAGAGGAAGAAACAAUCCAAAAUUCAAAAAACUAUACAUGAGCAACAAAAAUCAUGAUUAUGGUGGACAAAUACAACAGUCAGUCGAUGAGUAGCAUAUGACUAUGGAAAGCGUAGAUAUGCUCUUUAUGCCAAUCUUAGCAGUCCAAAGUUCUGAGUGUUCUUACUUGUAUUUGUGCCAAAGAGUUUGUGCUAACCCCCAAAAUGCUUUCAUAUAAAUUCUUUGCUGACUGCAAAAUCAUACAACUGUGAGCAAAGAGUACGCGAACAAUGGAGAAAGCUCUAUAAUGAGAACCAAGUAGCAAGAAUGAAAACCUGAAUAGCUCCACGAGCUUCCUCCAACUCAGCAUAAGCAUAUUUCAACAUUUCCGAAUCUGUGUGAGCAAUGUAGACACUUAAAUAAAUGAAAAGACUCGCAUCAUGCACACAACAGAAAAAAAUAGAUUCUUAAGGGGUAGAUCAAAUAUAAGAUUAAAUCUACCAAAGAGUAAUAGUCAAACCUUCACAAAGAAACUAGUUCACAGACAAAAAAAAUCAAAGGAUAGAUCAUUUACCAGGAAUAGCUUUAAGAGCUCGCUGAAAUACUUUGAUUGCAGCAUCUGUGGAACCAGAUUUUAUGUGCCACUCAGCAUAGUCAUACCACACAUCGGGAUAGUGGUAUAAACACAUCAGACACUGUAAAACCAGGGCAAUAAUCAGCCAAGAAUGAAAGAACCACAUUUGGGAGAUUAUUCCUACUAAAUUUCAGCAAAAGUAUCGCACUGACGCUUCUCAUACCUGUUCAUAAACAUAUAUAAUCCGCUUAGUUGACAAGGCCGUGUCAAUCCUUUGAGGGUUUCCUCUGCAAAUUACAAGUGUAUUAGAAAAGACGCAGAGGUUUGUUAUAUUCAAAAGGACUAGUUGAAAAACAAUAUGCACAAGGUCCAAUCAUCACUUGUUGGAUCUAACUGGAUAGUAAAUCAUUCCAUUUUUCUAGCUUCUAUCCUCAAUAAAUCUCAACCAGAAAAUUACGGCAGAGAGAUAUAUAAAAGUCUUAUCAUUAGGCGUAAACUGAAGGACCAAUUAUCUAUUGCAAUAUAUUAAUAUCUAGCAUUUGAUUUUAAGAUACCAGGAAUUCCUUAAGAAAAAUGGCUAAGCAGCUAUGUAAGAACAUAUGUCAUCACUGAAUGAAAUGAAAGAAUAUAAUAUUUUGGGGGUUUACUUCUCAAAGGUUAAAAACUUCUUCCAGGCCACCCAUUGCACUUCUUCCUGCAUAAAACCAUAAGGCAGUGUGAAGUACCAAAGUGAGCCAAUGAUUUUCAAUUGAAAAAAUGAACGAAUCAAAGAACUUAUAGUUCACUAUGUACUCCUUAUCGUAUAACCAGAUGUCAUGACGUAAAUCUAUGUUCAUGAUGUCCUUUUAGCCAACUUAAGUGUCAAUAUCUCCAAUAUUAUCGAAUAGAAAAAUAGAACUAUAGAUUCAGCAGUUCCAAAAAGAAGCACUGAGUGAGAAAUGAUCUACCUUGGAAGAUCCUGUUGGUGGUACAGCAAGCAUGUUCCAAUCAAUGUCUUCAAUGUACUUCUUGCGCUCCCUAUAGACAGCUCUGGCACUGUUAAACUUUGGUUGAUAGUCAUUUACAAGUCCCUUGGCCUGCUCAAAAAAUAGAUUUUAAAGAAGUUUGUUCCUGUUUCUAAUACAUUAAAAGAUAAGAAACCACAGAAGAUUUGUAAAACAGAAGUUUACCAACUGACGGUUAACAGAAUUCUCAAAGUUCUCAUAUUCUUUCCAAAGUUGCUCAACGUGGUGAGUAGGAGUUAAUAUAGCUCUCUGAUAAACUUUUCUGAGAGCAAUCUUCCGUUGCAUAUCUUCGUGGGGGUUAAGAGCCUGCAAGAAAAUCUAUUCAUUUCUCUGCAAUAACGAUUAUAAAGUAUUAAGGACAAAGUAAGAAUGGUAUAACGAACCGGAAGAGAUUUUAGAAAGGUAAUGUACUCGGUCCAUAUAGGCCCAGAUGCUAUGUCUGUCCCUGCAGAUUUAUACACAUCGAAAUAAACUACGACAUCAGUAAGGGCCAAGUUAUCUUAUGUGCUGACAUGUUAAACCGAAUCUAGAGCUCUAAAUGGAUGCAAAGCGGCUACAGCCAAUGGUAGCGAUAUGCAUAGGAUGAUGAAGCAAAGACCAUUUCAUAUGUUCUUUUGAAGUGUCAUUACAUGUGAAAGCUAGAAGGGUUACCAAUAUAGUUGAGCGUAAACUCGAAAGCCUUUGUGGUCUCCUCUUGACCCUCUGCUCCCUUCUUAUCAUAGACCUUUCUGAUGAACCGAAUGUAACAUUGCCUAAGAAAUUAAGAUGUUUUGAGUUAUAUCCAAGGAGAUGGAAAGCAAACUUGCACUGUAGCUAAGCAACAAUGAGACGGAAAGAUCUUGUAUAAAAAGGGAAAGCAACGCAUACCAAAGGGGAACUUGAAGACAGGUCAACAAGCAACGACUAAAUAUCUGUUUGGUAGCGUCAUCAUUGUUCACAGCCAUUUGUGUUUCCACAUACUGCUUCCAAAACCUCGCCUACAGGAUUAAGCAAGCACCCACUUAAUAAAAGAGGAAACUUUACAUCACAAUCAAACUCCAAAACCACAAGUGAGCGGCAUUGGAAACUUACAGAAGUAGGAUACAGUGACAAAAGCUGCUCGUAGAUCGGCGUCGCCUGUGUAAUUGGUAAGUGCUGAAAGGAAGCAAACAAUUGAAAAAGUCAGAAAAUUUUCAAUAAUCACGAGAAUAAUAAAAGAGUCUGUACCAAGGCUCUCUUGGCUAAAGCCUCUGCUUCCUCGACGUUGUACUUAUCAGCCAUAUCCUCCAAAAACGCAAUCUUUGGGCUUUAAUCGGAUGAACAGAACUGAGAUUCAAUUCAAUCCUCCGGGGAGUCUAACCAAAUCUUCUACUGAUUCAACGCCAUAAGUCUCGCCUCCAAAAAGAGGACCCGUUGUAGCUCAGAUCGCAAGAACUGACCUUCGCGGCGGUGUUAUAAGUAAAACCUAAUCUGAGUUUCAACAAUAAAACAACUCCUCCGGCGAGUCUGGCCACAACACGGUGACCGGCGAUUGAGAAACGGAGAGACGCAAAAGAAAGCUCGAGCCUUUUUUUCCGCGGUCACCUGUGGGGUUGGACUGUCUUAAAUAAACCAAUAAAAAUAAAAAUAAAGGGCGUAUUUGUCUUUUUAGUAUUGCUGUUUUUUUUCUUGUUCUUUCCUUUUAUAUUGUGAUUUUGUUUUUUUUUUACUAUGAAAAGAAGAAGUGCUUAAAAUACCGAAAGAUAUCAGAGCAAGUCUUUCAUUACAAAAAUAAAAAUCGGAUUGGUAGUAAAUAAAAAGUGAUAAAUUGCAUCAUAUUCACAGGUUUAAAACAACCAUUAAGCUUCUAUCAAUUGACAUCAGAUAAGGUUGUCUUCCGACCGCUGAAUAGUGUCUUCUGAUUUUCCUGGUUAAAUUUGAUCUUUGAAUCAAGGUUUUCUUGUAGAAGGUUGUAUUCGUACCAAAGCCUAUCUUCAAGGUUGUAAUUAGGUCAGAAAGGGUACUGACGAGCUAUCUCAGCCACGCUAACAAAAAGCUUAGCACCAUUCUUCUCUUGCACAGCCAUUGUUGCUUCGUACGCAGAAGCAAACUCAACAAAGCCACAGCCCACACGCUCACCCUUUUGGUCUACAAUAAGUCGAACACUAACAACUUGUCCAACAUCUUUGAAGAAAUUGACGAUAUGUGAUUUUCCAAUGGCGAGAGAGAGAUUGGCAACAAAGACGGUCUUAUCUCUCAAGGCAAUUUUCUCACGAGUUUCAUCAACUGCAGCAGCCACAUCUUUUUCUUUCAUGUAGUCUUCAUACCAAAUCUUGUGAUCUUUGCAAUGCGUGAGAUUAGUAUUUACAAAUCCGGAGGUUUUCCUUCGGAUUUAAGUCUUUGUAUUUUUAACAAAAAAAUCCAAACAAAUCCAUUAUAAAAUCAAAUUUAUUAGUAAAUCCAUAUGAUUGAAUAACAUUUGAUUUGAUAUAGAAUUUAUGAAUCAUUAAACCAAUAACACAUGAUUUUCAUAUUUGAAAAUUAUAGAACUAAUAACACUAGAUUUAGUUCGGAUUUUCAAAUCCAUUAAAAUACAACAACUAAUAACCUCCACUUAAUAAAACUUAUCUUGGUCAUUUUCUUCGUUGAGAACUAUUUUUGUGACAAAAUGCUGUCCCAUAGAAUCUAUAUUAUUAAAAGAGAAGUACUCAUUUGAAAAUGUUAUUACUUCAUUAAUUAAACUCCUUUUUUUUCUUGUCUUUUUCAGUUGCAUUUAUGAAAUAUCAUAAAACGAAUAAAACUGCCUAAUUUAUUACUUGUCUUUUCAGUUACAUUAAUAAAAUAUGCUUAAAUGAAUUUAAACUUCCUAUUUUAUUGUUUGUCUUUUUCAGUUACCUUAAUGAAAUAUCUUUAAAUAAAUUUGGACAUAAUGUCAUUUAAUCAACCAAAAAAACUCAUGAGUUAUCCUUACGUGCAUAAUUUUAAUAAUGGAGAUUUUAAAAAACGUGCAUCAUUAAAAUAUUACCUAAAACAUGCAGCACUAAUAUAUAACAUGCAUCAAUAAAACUAGAAUUUGACUCACACAAUUGUACGGAUAUUAUUUUCACUUGAUUAAAUUUAAAAAUAAUUAUUUAUUCAAAAAAUAUUUAAGAAUGACUAUGUUUUUAAAAAUUAUAUGGUAUUAUUUGCUCAUAACUCAUUUGUCAUUUGAUAAAUUGUUAGAAAGAAAAUUUUAGCAUAAUAUAACUCAGUUGUCAUUUGCUAAAUUUAUGGUUUUUAUUUAUAUUUUUUAUUAUUUAAUUAUAAUAUUUUUAUUUUAUAUUUGAAAGAUAAAUGAAUUUUCUUUCAAACAAUAUUUUUGUAAAUGUAUUUUUUUAAAAAAUAAUCAAUUAAAAUUGUUAUUAUCAUUGAAUAUCAUUAUUUUUGACAUAAUUUGAGUUUUCGUUUACAUCAAAACUUAUCAUAUUUUAGGAUAAUUUUAAUUUAAAAUGUAAUUUUCAUUUUUUUCAAACAAAUUCUAAAAAUAUUUUUUAAAUAUUUUGUUAUAAUUGUUAAAAAAAUAUUGAGUUGCAUUUCAAAUAAAAAGGUAAAGAUAUUAAAAAUAUUCUAAUUAAAAUAUGUAAAAUUUAAUAUAGUUUUAAAGAAAUGGUCAAAAUAAAAAAAAUUACACAUAAAAUAAUCAUGAUUUUUGUUAACUGGGCGGAUCAUUAUUUAUAUGAUAUCGCACACGAAAGAAAAAUUUAUGUUUUUAAAAUUAUCUAAUUAACUCUAUACUCAUUUUUUUAUAUUUUUAUAUGAUAUCACACAUUCGUAAGAAAAUAGAUAGUUUAAGAUGCAAAAAAGAAAUAUUUACUUAAUGAAUAUAAUAUGAACGAAUAUUACAAAUGCAUUAUUUGAUAAAAUAAAUAAUUAAAAACUGAAAAUUCAUAUCCGCGCUCGAGGUCUAGUUUCUCUUAUAAUAACCCUAUUAAUUGGUUUUGUAUUCGUUUCAAUUAUUAAUUGGGUUUACACUAUAUAAGGGCCCAAACCAGGCCCACGUUAACCUAUUUAGAUCUAUCUUUGUUAUUAUUAAAAGAAAAAAGAGAAAAGAAACUUAUUUAUUUUCCGGGCUCGUUCUUCUCCGUCAAGUCUUCUCGGGUCUCUCUCUCUCUUUUCUUUCAUUGAUCUUCAUCUAUAUCGGUGUUUUAGGUUUUUUUUUUCUUUUUAUCUCUUUGCCUCCUCCUCUUCUUCUCUGCCCCUUUCUCCCUCACAAUCUCACUUUUUCUUUCGUCCAAUUCUAUGCGCGUAAGAAUUUUACUAUCCAUGUGCUUUUGAUCACGUUUUCGAUAGAAUUGUCUGGUCUUUUGUAACAAGUUAAAAAAGGUUAAAAACCUUUUCCGACCAAAAGUGAUAAAAGAUUCUUUGGUUUUUAACAUCUUGGUCUGAUAAAAGCAUAUAAGCUGUUUCGAAAGUUUGACACUUUACUUUCUUUAACUUAAUAUUGAAAGGUUCUUGUUUUCAUCUGCGUUUUUAGAAGUCAAUCUUGUUUCAGAAAUGUAUUUUAAUUUGGGAUUUGGUUUUACUUUUCAGUAGUGGUGUGUGAGCGAUGAAUACAGAAUCCAAAGGAAGAGCUUGGUAUGGUAAAAUCUACCGUAAGCUUGAAACCAUUCUUGUGGAGGUUGACAGUUUGGCUGCUCAGGUACUUUUUCUUUUUCGCUAGCUUCUGAAAGUCUCCGAGAGUACAAGGAAAUGAAUGUUCUCUUAUGUUUGUUUGACAGGGUAAGGUUUCUUCGAGUUCAAGUGAUCCUCCAGGAUUGGAUGAUGAACCAGAGAAACUUAAAGAGGAUCAUCGUUCGCGUACAGAGCAGGAUGAUUGUGAUCAGAAAGCAACCACUUCCGGUUGCCGCAAAGAUCCAAAGUCUUCUCAAGUUUGUAAUGAUGAUGAUGCUUUUGUAUUUCCUCCUGGGAAUUGUACGGGUGAUUCAAAUCUAGCUGCACCUGCUCAUGACAAAGUGACAAACAUGAAAUCCUUUAGCAGCAACUCUAUGAUGGGUUUGUGUCUCUGUGUUGCUCAUGUUUUUCUACAAGUUUUUGGAAUUGGUUCGGUUCCAUCAUGUGUGCAACUUUUAAUGUGUAGUUAAUCAAGAUGAGUUCUUCAUUGAAGACUUUGAUGAGGCUCCGUUGGAUACUAUUGAUUUGUACGACAUGACAUUUCGAGAAGACCCUUCAGAUUUUGACGACAAUUUGCUGUAUGCAACUCGUGACAGGAGCAGGCAGCUCAGAUCAUUCAAGGUCCCCUCUCUUUCUCUCAUACAAAACCUUGCUAGUUUCAGAACGAUUGACCAUAGAUUGAAUACUAAUCUUCGACUCCAUUGAUUCCUUAUAUUUUUCUUCUUUUUAUCAUAAUCAUCAGGGAAAGAUAAUGGAUGCUUUAACUUCGAAAAGAAGAAGAGAGAAGGAGUAUGAGCAGCUUGCAAUAUGGUUCGGAGAUGCAGAAAUGGGUUGUGAUGCGAUGAACGCCAAGAAAAAUGAGACAUCAUCUGUAAACACCAAAAGCUCAGAGUCAAACGUGCCAUUUGCAUCAGAAGAUUCUGAGUGGGAGCUAUUGUAAUGAUAAGAUUGUGAGUGGGAGCUAUACAUGCUUAACUGUUCUAUUUUUGUGAAACUCAUGUGAUGCUUUGAACAAUAUAUAUACUAAGAUCCAAUCUGAUUCUUAUAUGGGAAAAUCAAAUUCUUGCUCUUGCCUUUUCUAUUUCCUUUUACUUCUACCUUCAGUUAAGACGCAAGGAGCAAUCAAGUUUAUUAGAUCAAUGAUGAGAGACAGUGACAUCUAAAAGUUGUUCAUUUCUUCUGUACAGUAACAAAAACCUAAUACAGAAAACAAACAAUCCAGACUGGUAAAAGUCAUCAACGUAGGAAAAAUCUAAGUGUGCUAUUGAAAGAGAUGGGUAAACAACAUGACAACACUGACUCUAAAGCUAGACCCUUUUUAAACUUCUCAGGCGCUAGUUACCCGUAUCUGAUCCACGUCCUGAAGAGCUGUCACUGUCAGAAUCUGCAAAUCAAUAAAGACAAGUGAUGUGAGUUAUGAUGCUGAUAAGGUGAAAGAGCUGACAGAGAGUUUCAACACUUACCACUAGAGCCAGACCCUGUGUCACUGCUAGAACUAUUAGAACUACUUGAUCCACCUGCGUUGUUUUCUUGCCGACCAGGAGAUGACAUGCGAAUUGCUUUUCCUGGUUACAAUAAUCAUUAAUCCAUGUGUAAUUAGAUACUAAUUAGUAAUUAGUAAUUACAUCCGACCUCGUGAGCUAAAAACCUCACCUGAUUCAUUAGCUCUUGAUGUUUCAGUGCCAGUUGCUAGAGUGGUCUGUGAAAGCAAAAGAGGCAACAAUGAUAUUAACAAAAACCAUUAAGAUCAAAAAGACCUGAAACAAUUACCCAAGGAAGGGAAGCUUACCGGUUCUUGGAUACUAUUGUGAACAGAUUCAGCAUCUCUUUCAGAACCAAACCCCUGAUCCUCCUUUUUAUUGCUCAACCCCUCCUUAUACCCAAUCACAAAUCUAUAAAGCUCCCAAAGCGUUUGGAUGUCAACACUAUCAAUAUCCAGCUCAAUCUCAUCAUCCUGCUGCGACAGUUCCGGAUUACUCUUCUUGAUAAUCUGAACCACCGUCUCUAGUUUGUCAUAAGGCAAGUCCUGAAGCUCUUCACUGAGUCUCCGCUUCUCAUCCAUCGUCAGGUCCCUAACAUCAACAGGCGCCUCCUCUUCCUCCUCUUCCUCUUCAGGCUUCUCGAGGGCACUAGUAGUCACAGUCUCAGGCUCCACAGGCGUCGGCAUAGACUCAGCUCUCUCCAAAGUCCUAUCCUCAACCACUGCAGGCGGAAGCAGCGGAGGAGGAGCUGGUACCGCCUCCACAACAGGAGGAGAGAACAACGCAACGUCGCGAGUCGGUUUAACCUUCCUAUGAAGAUUAUCAAACUGAACCUCAAUAGAAACCCACUUCUCUUCAAACAUGUUCAACAGAAACUUAGCCAUACUAUGCACCUCAUGCCCAACGGGGUUAUACAAUAUCGCAUUGUUAAAAGUAAGCCUCACAUCUUCAGCGAAAUCAAGCGGCGACUCAUACAAACCACGCCCUAGCUUAGCCUUCACCGUCCCCAAAUCCAUAGGCUCCUUAACAAUACUGUGGUAAUCAUGCAAGCCGAGUACUUUAGCGUCCACGGGAACAUUGAACACCCACCCAUCCUUAUGCUUCAUCAGCUUGGUAAGCAGAGCGUUACAGCUCUUGAGAAUCUGAGCAUUACCUUUCUUGUUACCUGUUUGUUUCGUCUUCUUGCUCUGAGGUUGGGGAUCUAACCGCGUCAUCAAGCUCCUGACUUGGUCUAGCUCGGAGGUUAGCUUCCGUUUCAAGUUCCGAACUUCGAGCUUGGAGAUUGAGCUCAAGCUGACCUUGAGCAUGGGGUAGUCGUCGUCCUCCGAGGGGAGUGGGACCGAUCGGUUGGGUCUGGGGCCCGCCAUUGGUUUGGAUCGGUUCUGGUGAUUCUUCUUCUUCGAAGCUCCUCCACCUCCGUGAUCAGAAGACAUUUUCGAUUAGGGUUUCUCUAGGGUUUUAAGGUCGGAGGAGUGACGAGGUGUUGACGCCGAAUCGAAGGUUGAUUGAGAUUGAAAGAGAGGAGCUUUAACACCCAAAUCGCUAUUGAUUUUGCAGAAGACGAAAACCCUAGGGGAAGAGUAGUCACAGGCAGCUCGCGAGGAUUGCGUGACCUCACGCGCUUGAUGGCACGCGCUUUAUCGCCCGAGAUAUAAGCGGAAAUAAACACAUGUCUAAAUGGCAAAAGGAUGCUAAAUUGAGUAGGAAGCUAAAUGGCAUAGGGUGUGUUAAAAAAAAAAUGGAAAAUUGUUUUUUAAGAGCAUUUAGGGGUGUUCAAUCCGGAUAUCGGUUCGGUUUAGGUUCGGUUUUUUCGGUUUUCGGUAUUUCGGUUAGUAAAAUAUAACUACCAUUCUAAAUCCAUAUUUACUUCGGUUCGGUUCGGUUUAUAUACCUUUGGUUUUCGGUUUAUUCGGUUUUACACCAAAAAACAUAAUUAUUUAGUUUGAGAUCAUAUUAUAUGAAUUUUAGAGUCAUAUUGUCAACACAAUCAUUUAUUAAAAAUAUAUUACAUGUUCAAAUAAAUGAACAAACAAAGUAAAAAUGCUUCUACCAUCAAAUAAAAUAAUCAAAUCUAUAACUAAAAUCAAAGCUUCAAAUUUUGAAAAUAAAAAUAUGAAACAAAACAUAAACAUGAAAGAAAAGUCUUUCCACUCUUUCAUAUUUAAUGUUCAUUAAAGUCAUGCUUUUUCAAUCGAACACGAAACUCUGUUUGUUUACAGAUAAGAAAAAAGUUGUGAAAAUUUUUCAUUAAUUAUUGUCCAUCAAAUUUAUAAUCUUCAUAUUAAUUUAGUGAAGACUAAAAUAAAGCAAAAAGAACAAAAGAAUACUUAGAAAAUAAGAUGUUUGAAUUGCGAUGUACUGUUAUUUAAUUAUAGUUCAAAUGUUUUACAAAUUAAGGUUCUUUAUUACUAUAAAAUUAUGUAACAAAUAGAUUUUCAUGUAUUGUUAUAAAAUAGAUACAUAUUUACAUGUUUCUACUUUUAAUCGGUUUUGUUCGGUUUAUUCGGUUUAAUCGGUUAUAUACCAAACCAUAUCCAAAUCCUACGGGUUUUAUAAAAUUAUAUCCAUUCGGUUUAUAUGGUAUAUACCAAAACCAAACCAUAUUGUCUAUUUCGGUUCGGUACGAUUCGGUUUUACCAUAUUGAACAGCCCUAGAGAAAACAAUGAUAACUAUGUCUCUUUACACUAAUCUUUAUUACUUUAUGUUCUAAUAGACUAAUUUUUUCAAAAUGGCAGUAAUGCCCUUAAAAUUGUAAUUUUUUAAAUAAAAUAUAUAAUGAGUUCGAUCAUGCGGGAUCGAUCGAUCCGAAUUUACAAGGUCCAUCGGAUCGAUCGAUCCUGAUCAUUAUGCAGAACAAAAAACGCAGAGUAUAUACUGAUCGACCUGGUCCAUUUCACUCGAUCGACGAAGGUCGAUUUAUAUAGAUCGACCGAUCUUUCAAUAUGGAUCGAUCGAUCUCGUGCCCAGGAAAGUAUCCCAAAUCAAUUUUUUGGUUUUCUUCGAUUAUAUCCGGAUUGAUUCCCACUUGAUUUGAACCGACCAAACAUGAUUUCAACUCUUUAAACUGAUUUCCGGAUUGAUUCCCACUUCGAUUUUUUGUUUCCAUAUUUUCAGGAACUGAUUUCUUAUCCGUAUAAUACAUCUAAUCUGUAGAAAUCGGUUUCUACAGUUUUUUAGAAUUAUAGUAAUGUGUAAAUUUUGAUUUUUACAUGUUUUAGAUUUAUAGUAAAUCUCUGUAGAAGUUGGUUUCUACGUGUUUUAAAUUUAUAUUAAUGUGUAGAUUUUGAUUUGUAAAGAUUUUAGAACUGUAGGUUAAGCGCGGAAUGUGUAUUCUAAAUAUUUUUAGAAUACUCAUAUUUACGUAGAUCACGUAUUCUAAACAUUUUAGAUUCAAUGAAAAAAGUGGAUUUCGUUUUCUACUUCGCAGAAUGCAAUUUAUACUUUAUUUAGAACAUAAUCUGAAAUUUAUGAUUUCAACUUUUUUAUAACUGAAAAAAUACCACUAAGCUCAUAUAGAUAUUUUAUCAAAAGUUACUAUUUUUCCAAUUUUUUUUGUUUGUAAAACUAUUUAUUAAAUUUAUUUUCAAAAAUAUUAAAAGGUGUUAUAGGAAAAAAUGGCACAAAAUAAAAAUUAGUUAAAAGGGAUAUAGGGUCUGAUUGGUAAUGGCUAUAGCUUUAAAAAAAUUUGUUGUAGAAAAAAAUCUGUAGACUUUUUACUCUGACUUUAAAUUUUACUGCUGUAGAAUUUUAUGGAAAGCCUUAAAAAAUUGCUUUGGAUAUUUGGCUCUGCAGAGCACUUGUAUAGCUGUAGGUUAUUUUAAGAGUUGUGAUUUAAAAAAAAAAAAUAAAACUUGAUUGCUCUGAAUAUGGUGAUGUAAAAAUAAAUAGGGUAUGGAGAAAAAGAAGGGGAAACUAUUAAUUUAUCCUAAUUUUAUUCAUAACUAAGCGGGGAAAUUGUAAUGAAGUGUCUUUGUGAAAGAUUGGAAAAUAGAUUAUUAAAAAUAAAAAAAUAUCUAUAGUGGCAGUAAUAAAACUUCAUUACGAAAGUGGGUAAAUCUCUUCAGAUUUUUAUCAUCAGUUGUAAUAUUGUACCACUAAUUAAAUCUUUUUUUUUUGUCAACUACUAAUUAAACCUCUUAAAAUUUCAUCAUCAGUGUUAAGAUAUCAAUUAAUUUAAAUAUAAUUAUUUAUUUUUGGUUAAAGUGAAAUACCUAAGUUUAAGAACCCUAUAAGUGAGGUUGGUCUAAACAGAUUUAGGGAAUACAAACAUGGGACACAUCGCUGUACACUCGAAAAACAUUGACGAGUUUGCUAUAUAUACACGAGAAACCAUCGCUGUACAAACGAAAAAACAAAACCCAAGUUAUUUAUUUUUCAUGGGUACAACAUUAGGAAAAGAAACCUCUACAUUGACGAGUUUGCUAUAUAUACACGAGAAAACAACUAGAAGCAGAAUAUUAUUUUUAUUUGGACCUACAAGCUCUUGUUCAUAGAGAAAAAGCUGUAGUCAUGGUGAUCAUGAACGUUAAGCUGCUUCAGCCAUGACUCCGCUGCACUUCCAAGAUAAAGAAGCCGUUCUUGGUCACAAGAUUCUUGAUUCCCCCACAAACCUCCAUGCAACUUGUAAGUAACUAAACCAAAAGGAGCCAAAGGAAGUCUCUUCGUCACCACUGGUUCAUCAGCACAACGAAAUGUUUCUUCUUCCAUGGUUUUGUUAUUCUCAUUAUCACCCUCAACCAAAUCACCUAAUGAAAUCGACCAUCAAAAGCUACCUGUUUCAACAUUUUGUACCAAGAUACAUGUCUUUUAAGCUAAGAAUUUCAUUACAAUAUGAAAUAUACCUUGUAAGGCCGAAGAAAGUGUAUGAUAACUCAAGAAACACGUUGUUAAGUCUUGAUCAGUCAUCCGAGAUGGAAUAUGGUAUAUAGGGUACCUAACCAGUAACAAAAAAUCAGGACUUUAUCUUCAUCAAGGCCCAAAAACACUUGCACUCGAUACUUACCAAGUAAUGGCCAUCCAACUUGCUGGAGACAAAUCAACACUCCUUAGAGUCAUAAGUCCUGGAUACUUCUCAGCUAAUUCGUUAACCUAAAACAAAAAACAAAACAAAACAAGAGAGAUUUUGUCUAAGUUGUUAGGUUGGUUAAGCACAAUAAAGAAUCAUAUGAUCACUAGAAAUGAAGACCUUUGUGGUAAGAGGAACUCGCAAGUUCGGUUUAGCUGAUUCAAAGUACUGAAACUCAACGUAACCGAGCUUAUCUCGCACCGGAGAAGAAAUGCCAUCGAGUUCAUAAGCUGAAUCAUCAGAAACAGAGUCCCAUACUUUGCUAGAACCACUGCUCAUAGACCUUGAAAACUUCUCAGUCUCACUAUCAUCACUCCAACAUUCACUCUCACAAUCAACCCCCUCGCUCUGGUUCCUGAAGCAAACCACAGGUUAUUCACUCGUCAAAAUUAGUAACUCAUAAAACACUCUUGUCGUUCCCCACCAUUUACCUGGAAAUGGCUGGAGCUUUGCUAGUGUAGAUUUGAAUGGCGGAUAGAUAUGGAACAUAGUAUUGCAUAACGGAUUCGCCAUUGUUCAAAUCAACCUUUGAUCCAAGUCCAUACGCACUUAGCUCAUCAAAACAGUCCCAAAGAUCACUAAGCUUGAAAUAUUCAGUUUCAUCUUUGCUCUCUUGUAUCCAUAAACUAUUCAAAUCAUUCUCGCAGCUCUGGAAAUCAACAACAAAAAGAUCAAACUUCUAGUAGUAGCUUAUCUUCAAUCCUUCCAUGUGUUUAGUGAUAAUGCUAAUUAUUAUACCCACUAGGAAGCAUUGUAUUUCAACAAAAGUGUUUAAUAAAAACCACAUGUUAUUUGUCACAAAUUUAAUGACAGUAAUUGCCGAAAGAGACAGUCAUCUAAUGAUAUAGCGAUGAACAAGACACACUCAGAGUAUUUACCUACGCAUCUUGAAUAUUCAAACCAGUUUGAGUAUAAAAUAUUUUUUAAUCUUUUAUUAUUAUAUAGUAUCGCUUUCAAUACACGAUUUGCUGUCGCUAGUUUCCACGUGGAGAAAGAAAACUACACUAAGCUCCAUGAAUAUCUUUUUUUUUUGUAUAAAUGAAAUAUUAUUUUUUAAAGACAAUAAUUCAAUUGUGUAAAAAGUAUAGUUGAAAACAUGAGAAUAUGCUUUAAGGGAUUCUCUUAAGGUUAGAGUGAAAAUGGAAACAGAACUUGUACCUGUGAUAGAGAGAAAGAAGGGGGCUUUGGAGUGAUUCCUCCAAUAAGCCUCUCCAGGUUUGAUCUUGCAUCCGACGAUGAUGACCACCACAUUGUCUCUCUCGGCCUCUCUGUUUUAGAUUAUGAUAUUGAGUUUUAGACUUUUUCAGAAUCUAAGAAAUUGAGAAAAUUUGUAAGUUCCCUCCACCCAACAACCAUAGAUUUUCUUGUUCCUUGAAAUUUUGAAAAAGCUAAAUACCAGGACGACCUAGAAAGAAGAAAAUAAAACAGAGACUAGUUACAGAAACAACUGCUUCAACAAACAACCAAACAAAAAGCUACCUAAGCAGCUUAGGAGAGGGUAUAGAAAGUAUAAUGGUGUCUAUACUCUCUUGAAAACCGAAAGAUGAGCCAGGAGUGGUAGAUGAGAUUACUAAAUUUAGAAGAAAUCUAUUGACAAUCUUUGUAGAAAAAGGGAAGAAAGAAGUUGUAGCAGAGUGAAGGUUUUGGAGUAUGGGUUGCUUCUAUUUAAUGGGAAAAUGAAAGGAAGAAAACGAACACGACCAAAAGCUUCUCUCCCCCUUUCACGCUUAUCUUAACUAAUAAUCUAUUUUAAUUUGUUUGCCAUUUACCACUUACCAGCAGCUUUUUGUUGUUGAUUUAUCUCUUUUCUCUAUCUCCUUCUAGGUAUAUUAUCUUUUCUUACAAAAAACAAAAACAAAAUAUAUUUUAUGUCAACUGCUAUAAAAUUAUCUUUAGAAGUCUGUUUUUGCUGAAUUAGAAUAUCAGAGUUACAGUAUUUUACUUAAUAAUAAUUUAUUUUUUUAAUUUUACAAAUUAAAUCUACUAUAGCACUUCACAUACUAUAAAAAUAGAAGCGUAUUAGUGUGGUGUUUCCUUUUUUCUUUUUUUUUAGCGUGUGUGUGGUGUUUCUUGGAUAAAAUAAUUUACGUAUUCCUGAAUAUCCAAUUUAUUAAUGAUAUACAUGAGCUAAAAAGUUCUAUAAGAACUUUAAAUAACUUGAGUAUUUCUGAAUAUCCAAUAUAUGAACAUGAUAAUUAGAUGAUACUACCAACAUUGAUGAACAAGCUCUCUUAUCUAACUCCCAUAAUAGUUAAUAGUCUCUGACAGUUAUAUUAAAAAGACAAUUUUAGAUUAAUAUUUUACUAUAGUGAGUUACGUGAAUUGUGAGCUUAAAGUCGUUGCACAAUGCGAACAUCAUUUAUAGUUGACAAAACCAAAGACUGUGUGAUGUAGCGUAGUGAAAGUGAAGGCAGUAAUAAUGGUCUAUCUUAUCGCCACGUGUCGAGAAAACUGCGUCGCUCUAUCGCGGUUUCUGUUUUGUAUUCUUCCUUUUUUUUUUUUUUUUUUUUUUUUUUUUUUGCUUCUCCCACGUGAAGGUGGUGGUUCCCCUCUUAGACUGAGUCUCGUUUUCGGUUUCUUUUUUUUUUGUCGUCUUCCUCAUUUCCUGUACUGUUUCUAUUAGUCCAUUUAGUUAUCCUUGGGCCAUAUUGGUCCAAGCUAAUUUUGUCACACUUUUUUUUUGAACACACAUACAAUAACCAAUAUAACUUUCAUUCAACGUCUUAGCCCAAUAUGAAUAUAUGGAAAACAAAAACUAUAUAUUUUGUGUUUUAAAUUAUAUGAAAAGGAAAUUCAUUGAAAUGUGAAUCUGAUUUCUCUUAAAGAAUAUAUUUAACACUGCCUGAAGAAUUAAACUGUUUAUCAAAACUAUCAUAUACCCCCAUAGUAAAAAUUAUUUGUAAAAAUUGUUAGAUUUAACAAGAAAAGUUAUAUAUUGUAUAAUGUCUUAGUCAAGUGAAACCCAAGAUAAACUAUCUUUUGAAUUUUAUACCAAUUCGUUAAAAUAUUAUAAACCCAAAAUACAAAACUUAUCAAUGUUUGGUUUCCAGUAAUUAUUUUUACCUCGUUAUUUUAUUGAAUUGAUCAUUAAUGACACUUGGACGUAAAUAGAAUGUCACUAACAAAUCAACAAUUGACUCGUACUCUUUUCUAAUAUUUCGGCACUUUUCUGUCAAACAAUAUUUCUGCAUUUAAUUUCUAUACAUGUUUUUUCAUUUGAUGUCUUGUAUUCCUACUUCCACACCAACAUUUUUAGCAGGAUGAUGAAAGCCGCAGUAAGUACUCCAUAAGCAUGAGGGUAGUCGCUGUCAAUUAAACCAACAGGCAACAAGCCAACAAUCUUUGCAAGAUGAUUAAAGAUUAAUCUUUCUAACCAUUUCCAUUACCAUUAAAUAAGAUAUAAAACCCUGUUUACUCAUCUAAACAAAUACUCCAUUUAAUUUUUUUAAAAAAUUGUUUAAAAAAUGUAUUUUUUAUAAUUAUGAAUUUUAAAAACAUUAAUUGUAUUUUUUGAAGUUUUAAUGGUUUAGAAAUAUAGGAAACAUAAAACUACAAAAAACUAUGCAAUAAUAACUAGUAUUCACUCCGUUCCACAAAGAUAGAUUUUUUUAGUAUUUUCACACAUUAAAAAAACACAUUAAACUACCAUAAUAAAUGUAUUGUUUUCUGUAAUUUUCAAUUUUCAAUAACUUUUAACCAAUAGUUAUUCAAUAAAGUCAAUUAAUUUUUUUGAAGUUUAUAAUUUUUUCAUAGAAAAAACAAAAAAUACAUCUUUGUGAAACAAAUUUUUUUUCUAAAAAGUCUAUCAUUAAAGAACGGAGUGAAUAUUAUGUUUUAUUAAUACAUGUGAAAAUCCUAAAACAUGUAUAAUUCUGAAACAGAAAUACAAUAUCUUUUUUUUUUUUUUUUUUUUUUUUUUUUUGGAAUUUUUUUUUUUUUUUUUUUUUUUUUUUUGGAACAAUAAUACAAUAUCUUUCUAAAACCGAAAAUUAUAAAAUUUGGGCCGGACUACUGAUACUUAAUGCAACCAUCCAUCGACUAUCCGACUACAUUAAAUGCUGCAACAAUUGGAAAAUUCACCACAUCUGUCUCUAUCUUCAUUUUUUCAUUCAAUCCUUCUCCCAACCAUCUCUUUGCUGUCUUCAUAGCUAUCUCGUUUCUUGUUGUUCGGAUCAAGAAAGUUUUGUUAAAAACAAAUAAAUAAAAAAGAAGAACAAGUGUUUGGUCUGUUUCAGUUUUGGAGUUCAUGAGAAUAGAAACGAGUCCAAGUUUGUUAUUCAUGCAACUUUCUCACGACUCUGUUACACUAAGCUCUCUUCUCCUGAACUUCUCCUACUUAAUCUGAUAACUAUACUUUUUAUUCAAAGUUCACACCUUUUCCAUUUUCUAGACAAAACCCACUUUUCAGUUUCCUCUGUUUUGGUUACUGAAUGGAGAUAGAAGCAAGCAGACAACAAUCCACCGUACCGGUUCCGGCCACCGGAGGGAAUUUUCCGGUUCCGGUGGGUGGGUUAAGUCCGUUGAGUGAAGCUAUAUGGAGAGAAAAAGCUCCAACGGAGUUCGUCGGAGAUGUGUCGGCGAGGCUUACGUGGCAAGAUCUGACGGUGAUGGUGACUAUGGGAGAUGGUGAGACUCAAAACGUUCUUGAAGGUCUUACCGGUUACGCCGAACCGGGUUCUCUCACGGCUCUCAUGGGCCCUUCCGGCUCCGGAAAAUCCACAAUGCUCGACGCUCUUGCUAGCCGCCUCGCCGCAAAUGCCUUCCUCUCCGGCACCGUUCUUCUCAACGGCCACAAAACCAAACUCUCCUUUGGAGCAGCUGUUAGUAGUAAUCUCUUAACUUCAUAUAAAAAGUCAACAGUUUGUCAACUUUGUAAAAUAAAUCUAUUUUAAAACUUUAUAUAAACAAAAAGGUUACACAUAUAAGAAUGUUUUUGGAGUUUGGAUCUUAGCUAUGUAUAUAGUGUAUUUUUUUUAUCUCUGAAUCUGAUCAUUAUUUACAGGCUUAUGUGACACAAGACGAUAACUUGAUUGGCACGUUAACUGUGAGAGAGACUAUAUGGUAUUCAGCAAGAGUUCGUCUCCCUGACAAGAUGUUGCGGUCGGAGAAACGUGCCCUAGUGGAGAGGACAAUCAUAGAGAUGGGUCUACAAGAUUGUGCAGAUACUGUCAUAGGAAACUGGCAUUUGCGUGGGAUUAGUGGUGGAGAGAAGAGAAGAGUCAGUAUUGCUCUUGAGAUUCUCAUGAGACCUCGUUUACUCUUUCUUGAUGAGCCAACAAGUGGUCUUGACAGGUAAAAGGCUUCGAAUACAUUCUUUUUUAGGGUUAUACAAAACUAGUUAAACCCUAAUUGCUUGCCUUUUUACUUUCUGUGCAGUGCUUCUGCUUUCUUUGUGACUCAGACAUUGCGUGCGCUAUCACGAGAUGGAAGGACGGUGAUUGCUUCCAUCCAUCAACCGAGUAGUGAGGUUUUCGAGUUGUUUGAUCGGUUGUAUCUUCUUUCUGGAGGCAAAACUGUUUACUUUGGUCAAGCUUCUGAAGCGUAUGAGGCAAGUAACCUAAACCAAUCAAUCUCUGAAUAAAUCUUGUAAACUAAUCCAUGUUUUUGCUUAUGAAUGCAGUUCUUUGCCCAAGCUGGGUUUCCAUGUCCUGCUUUAAGGAACCCUUCUGAUCAUUUCCUGAGAUGUGUUAACUCAGACUUUGACAAAGUUAGAGCCACUUUGAAAGGUUCUAUGAAGCUAAGGGUACUGAAACAUCUUUUACCUUUUGAACUACUUUCAAAUCUUACUUGCUGAUCAAGUUGUUAUUCUUACUUCUCAGUUUGAAGCAAGCGAUGAUCCAUUAGAGAAGAUUACCACAACGGAAGCUAUUAGAGUCUUGGUGGACUAUUACCACACUUCUGACUACUAUUACACCACAAAGGCUAAGGUUGAAGAGAUAUCACAAUAUGUAAGUACCCUUUGUUCUUUUCUAGAAGUUUUGUUUGAUGUUGGGAUGAGAUCUCUCUUGACCUGUUUCAACGCUACAGAAAGGGAAUAUUCUUGACUCUGGAGGCAGCCAAGCUAGUUUCCUUCUGCAGACAUACACUUUAACCAAGCGAUCAUUCAUCAACAUGUCAAGGGACUUUGGAUACUACUGGCUCAGACUUCUUAUCUACAUCUUGGUCACAUUCUGUAUUGGAACCAUCUACUGGAAAGUUGGGACUAGCUACAGCGCCAUUCUGGUAAUUAAUUUGCUAAUAUCAUAUAUUGGUAACAACUUAAACUUGAGAUGAUGUCUUAAUCUGAACCUCUAACCAUAUCAGGCACGAGGCUCAUGUGCGUCUUUUGUCUUUGGCUUUGUAACAUUCAUGUCUAUUGGUGGGUUUCCCUCCUUUGUUGAAGACAUGAAGGUUAGUUACUCCCUCAUGCAACUUUCUUGCAUGUACCAAACUGUUUUGAUAGGCUGAAACUAUCUUCAGGUGUUCCAAAGAGAGAGACUAAACGGUCACUAUGGAGUAGCUUCGUUUGUGAUAGCCAACACAUUAGCCGCAACACCGUUCUUGAUCAUCAUAACAUUCAUCUCCGGGACAAUAUGUUACUUCAUGGUUGGUCUUCAUCCAGGAUUCACUCACUAUCUCUUCUUUGUGCUCUGUCUCUAUGCAAGUGUCACCGUUGUAGAGAGCUUGAUGAUGGCUAUAGCUAGUAUUGUUCCCAACUUCCUCAUGGGUAUCAUCAUUGGAGCUGGUAUUCAGGUGCUUCCUCGUACCUGAAACCUUUCUUAAAAGUAGAAGAAGAGAAGCUCUUCUUGAAUCUGUUUCAUUGUACUUUUGUUUUAGGGGAUCUUCAUGCUGGUUUCUGGAUUCUUCAGGCUACCAAAUGACAUACCAAAACUUUUCUGGCGUUAUCCAAUGUCAUACAUUAGCUUCCACUUCUGGGCGCUACAAGUAAUAACAUUGGAACCACACAUGAAACGUUUUAUAUCAGUUCAUCAUCAUAAUGUGACCAUAACCAUUUGUUUUGUUUGUUCUUUAGGGUCAAUACCAGAAUGAUCUGAGAGGCUUGAUGUUUGACAGCCAAGGGAGUGCUUUCAAGAUUCCAGGUGAAUACGUUCUAGAGAACGUCUUCCAGAUCAACUUGCACCGAUCAAAAUGGAUUAACCUCAGUGUGAUUCUCAGCAUGAUCAUCAUCUACCGCAUCAUUUUCUUCAUCAUGAUUAAGACCAACGAGGAUGUAACUCCUUGGGUUAGAGGUUACGUAGCGCGAAGAAGGAUGAAGCAGAAGAAUGGUACUCAGAACACUACAGUUGCACCUGAUGGUCUUACACAGUCCCCUUCUCUGAGAAACUAUGUUGCUACACGAACCAAUGGUGGAGCUCGCAGAUGGUAGAGUUGUGAGUUUUUCAAAGUGUUUGACGACACACUUCAGGAAAGUUUCACUUGGCAUGUAAUACCAAAUCACAAUGUACCGCGAGAGAGAGAGAAAUUUGAGUGUGUUAGCUAUAGAAUUUUGUCUAAAAUAAUCACUUAUACAUUUAUUUUGUCUACUCGCUAACAACAAGAACCAUCUUCUUGCAUCACAUUUUGCAUUGUGCCGCAACUUUUUUCCCUAAGGUACUUACGAUUGCUCUUAGACUUUGUGCUGUGUAUCAACUGAGAUAUGAAUGCAUGCAUAUUACGUGAUUCAGAUUAAGAAACAACAUGCUUAUUAUCUUUAACACUAGCAAAACAGUAGUUAUACCCAUGUGUACGAACUGUAAAGAUCACGGCGCAUAUGAUAGCUGCAAACACCUAUAAUAUUAUUUGAUAUAGGUAUCACUCGAGCUAGGUGAACUAUAUAUGCUGUUUUUGUCAUAUUUGGUUAGGCUGCGGAGUUGCAAACAAACAUGAUGGAAACACUGGACGCUGCUGACCUUGAAAAACAGAAGCAGAAGUUUUUUCACGCUUGGCCGGAUUAGAGGUAUUAUAGGAAGCAUAAUUGGUUUGUCGACAAUUCAAAGUGUUGUUUCCUUAUAAGUAGAGCAAAAUUAUUUGAUUUUUGAUUUAAAUAUAAUAAAUGGAAUGUUUUAGGCGGCAAACACAGAACUUACAAGAUCGUAUGAAUACGAGCUCGUGCCAUUAACAUGAUCAAGGGUCACUCUUGCUAUGUAGAUGAUUAUGGACUUCAACCGAUACAAGGUCAUAUUUGUUUUAUGAAAUAAACAUAGAGAAAAGCAUCUUGCCUUCUUCUCGUUCUAUCUUCAAGUGGUGACAAGUCUUGUAUUUCUUAUAUAAUGAGAACAUGGUUCUAUUUCUUGUUGUUUCUCUCGAGAAGUCCCCCCUUACGAAGUGGCGUCCUUCUUCCUUUUAUAGGCGCAGCUCGUCUUCGUUGUUACGUUUGUUGCACGUGUCCCUUGAAUGAAACACCAGCUUCCUCUUUUCUAGGAAUGUCGAUCCUGAAUAUCUUCUUGUGUAGAUAUGACUUUGACUUGUCCACGUAUAGUUGGUUUAGUCUCUAAACCAUGUGUAGAUAUGACUUUGACUUGUCCAUGUAUAGUUGGUUUAGUCUCUAAACCAUUUAAGACAUGAAUUGGCCCAAACGUAGAACCGUUUAUAUUGAACCAGGAUGUGUCUAAACCGUUAAUGACUUCGUCACUACAAGAAAACAGCAGCAUACUGAGGGAAAAAAUCGUCGGUAUGUCGUCGGAAUAACGCUAUUCCGACGACAUACCGACGAAAAAAGUCCUCGGAAAUAACUCCUCGGAAAUUCAUCUUUCCUCGGAAAUCCCUCGGAAAUUUCCGACGGAAUUCCGAGGAAAUGAAUUUCCUCGGAAUAUUCCGAAGACUUUUUUCGUCGGAAAUUCCUCGGAAUAUUCCGAGGAAUAUGUCGUCGGAAUAUUCCGAGGAAUAUGUCGUCGGAAUAUUCCGAGGGAUACACUUCCUCGGAAUAUUUCCAAAAUUCAAAAAAAAAAUUAUAAAUUUAUUUUUUUAAAUUGAAAUUCAAAAAUAUAAAAUUAAAAUUGAAAUAGAAAACAUAUUUAAAAUACAAAAAAUAAUAAAAUAGUUUUUAUAAAUAAAAAAAUGUUUUAUAAAUACAAAAUUAGUUUUAAUAAAUAUAAAUAUUUUUAUAAAUAUGAAAUCAUCUUUUUAUAAAUACAAAAUAGUUUUUAUAAAUACAAAAAAUAAUAAAAUAGUGUUUAUAAAUAAAAAAAAUGUUUUAUAAAUACAAAAUUAGUUUUAAUAAAUAUAAAUAUUUUUAUAGAUAUGAAAUCAUCUUUUUAUAAAUACAAAAUAGUAUUUAUAAAUACAAAAAAUAAUAAAAUAGUGUUUAUAAAUCAAAAAAUGUUUUAUAAAUACAAAAUUAAUUUUAAAAUAUGAAAUCAUCUUUUAUAAAUCCAAAAAACGAAUUUAUAUACAAAGAACGUAUUGUAUAUUUAAAAAUAGUUUUUAUAAAUACAAAAAUAAAAAAAUAGUGUUUAUAAAUCAAAAAAAUGUUUUAUAAAUGCAAAAUUAGUUUUAAUAAAUAUAAAUAUUUUUAUAAAUAUGAAAUCAUCUUUUAUAAAUCCAAAAAUCGAAUUUAUAUACAAAAACGUUUUGUAAAAUCGAAUUUAUAUAAACGUUUUGUAAAUACAAAAAUAAUAAACAAUUUAUAAAAAAAAUUCUAAAUCAAUUCAACACAACCAAAUCACAAUUCUAAACCUAUUACACAACAAAUCACAAUCCUACCCAAUCACCCUAACAAAAAUCUAUCAAAAAACUUCUAAAAUCAUCAAAUCUACUUAAAAACCUAACAAAUAGGACCUAAGAGAGUGGGAUAAGGUCCUUACAUGAUUUGUAAAGGAAUGGAAAGGAUUCGCCGGAGAGAUCGUCGCGAGAGAAGGUGGAGAACGCCGGAAGGAGAGAGAGAUCGCCGGAGAGGAAGAAGAGAGAAAUGGGGAAGAAGAGAGAAAUGGGGAAGAAGAUGCGGUUCGAGUUUAUAAAACCUUGGGUCUGACGGAUAUUUUCCGUCGGAAUUCCCUCAGUAUUUUCAAUUUUAAUUUUCGCGAAAUAUUUGGCGGCUUGUUUGCCCGGUUAAAUGAAAAUAUUCCGAGGAAAUUCCGACGGACACUUAAAUAUCCGUCGGAAUUUCCUCGGAAUAUUUUCAUUAAUUCGAGGAAAAAGAAUAUCCUGUGCAUGUAUUUCUAUUAAUUUAUAUUGUUCCUCGGAAUUUCCUCGGAAUAUUCCGAGGAAAUACCGAGGAACUAGUGUUUGGGGUUUCAAAACAUCAAUUUUUUUUGCCGUAUUUCAUUUCUUAUACAAUUGUAAUGCAUACCAUUGAAGAUUCUUUGUAUAGAUGAGCAUAAACCAUGAAAUAACAAAUUUCAAAACGAAUUGUAAGUAUUCCCUUUACCGUUCAUUAAAGUGUAUAAGUGUUUCUCUUAUGUUGUGGGGAUUUCGUUCAUACAAUCGGAAAAGUGUUUUUUAUAGGGUAAUGAACAAAUUUUUGACUUCAUAAUGAACGUAAGACACUUAAUAAGGGUUAUAUAGGUGUUAUUCAAACCGCAAAACGUUGUUUUCGGUUUAAAAACCCUAUUUCCUCGGAAUUUCCUCGGAAUAUUCCGAGGGAAUUCCGAGGAAACCUUUUUCUUCCUCAGAAUUUCCUCGGAAUAUUCCGAGGAAAUUCUGAGGAACUAGUGUUUGGGGUUUCAAAAUCUCGAAUGUUUUUUUAUAAACGGAUCGAUCGAUGUAUUUAUGUCCAAAAACGCAUCGAUCGAUCACUAAGAUGGACCAAAGCGUAACAAUGUGAUCGAUCGAUGAGAUUAUCCCAUCGAUCGAUCAAGGAUAUCAAGUGUUCCUCGGAAUUUCCUCGGAAUAUUCCGAGGAAAUUCUGAGGAACUAGUGUUUGGGGUUUCAAAAUCUCGAAUGUUUUUUUAUAAACGGAUCGAUCGAUGUAUUUAUGUCCAAAAACGCAUCGAUCGAUCACUAUGAUGGACCAAAGCGUAACAAUGUGAUCGAUCGAUGAGAUCAUCCCAUCGAUCGAUCAAGGAUAUCAAGUGUUCCUCGGAAUUUCCUCGGAAUAUUCCGAGGAAAUUCCGAGGAACACUUGAUAUCCUUGAUCGAUCGAUGGGAUGAUCUCAUCGAUCGAUCACAUUGUUACGCUUUGGUCCAUCAUAGUGAUCGAUCGAUGCGUUUUUGGACAUAUUCCCAUCGCUCGAUCACAUUGUUACGCUUUGGUCCAUCAUAGUGAUCGAUCGAUGGGUAUAUGUCCAAGAACGCAUCGAUCGAUCACUAUGAUGGACCAAAGCGUAACAAUGUGAUCGAUCGAUGGGUAUAUGUCCAAAAACGCAUCGAUCGAUCACUAGUUCGUCGGAAUUUCCUCGGAAUAUUCCGACGGAUUGAUGUUUCCUCGGAAUUCCGUCGGUAUAUUCCGAGGAAAUUCCUCGGGAAAUUCCGAGGAUUUCAUUUUUCGUCGGAAUGUCCGUCAGAAUACCGAUGUUUUCUUGUAGUGCGUGCUUGCGGUGCUUGGUUAGUGUGGAGUCGUCACCGAAUCGUCAGGUCAAUGCGCGGGAGAUAUCACUAGUUUGUUACAUCUAGUAGUAUUUUUUUUGUAACACCUAGUAGUAUAUAAUACAUAUCUAUAUAAUAUAGAGAGACUUCUUUUUCUAUUCCGUUCCUCCAAGAUUUCGCCAUCACCAUGGAGAAAUGCGAACUGGAAGAGAAACCCAAAAAGGCUAAAUCUUUGAAGAAGAGGAUGUGAGAGGUUGGUUGGCCUCUGGUUCAGCUACUGAUUUGAUGGUCCCAUCACACUCUAAAAUAACAUCAUAAAUAAGAUCAAUCAUAAUUUUCACAAACAAGAACUAAAAAAUGAUUUUUGAUGAAGUAUGGUAACAAUAUAAGAAGGAUUCUCUAUUUCUAAGGAUAAGCUCUAAUACUAAUUGACUAACCAAUGUAAAUCAGUGAAACUAAACACAUUUACUUUGGAUUUUCACAUAAUGAUCUCUUUUGGUCAGAGUAAGAAGCAUUAUAAGUAUGUAUGAUGUAAUAAUAAUAAUGCAAGACACAUUUAAUAACAAGAUUCAUUGGCAGUGGGCAACAAUAGUACAAUGCAAACACUUGUAUAUGUUUGAUAGAGAACCAGGUGAAGUCUUUGUUUAAUAAGUAACAAUUUGUUAAUAUUGAGAUAAUUCAUGCAUAUAAAUGUUGUACCGUCAUUUUUUAAUAAACAUCAUAAAAUUGUUGUUAAAAAUCAUAAAACUAACGCAGAUAAUUCAAUUGUUGUGACUCUUAUUUAUUUAAAUCUAUUUCCAUUUUUAUUUCAUUUAUAUAUUAAUAACUAUCUCGUGAUUUGGAUCCGAUAAGAUUCUUAAGCAACUUUAAUACUAAAAUUACUGAUUUCUUUUUUGGAUAUGAAUAUAUGCUGCAAAUGAAAGCAACGAUCUCGGCGUUGAAGUGUACCAACAUGCAGUAGAUUGUCAGGCUUUCCACCGGUACAUGCUGCAGAUGCUCAGCCACAUCCCAAUCUUGUUAACGAUGAAGAAUUGAUAAAAAGGUGAUUACUGCUUCAGCCAACAAUAUUCUGCCUGAUGAAGCUUAAAAUUGUUCGUGAUGAAGAUACGCGCUUUUUUUUACCUUUGUUCUUUUUCUCUAGCUAAAGCUUCGUUAUAGUUUCUCCGGCCGGCGUCAGAAUCCGACGUCGGCCAUACUCUUCUUCUUUUGCUUUUUUUAUGAUUUUUUAAUUUCCUUUUGUAAACGCUAUUGGAAUAGUCGUGUGUCCAUUGUUUAUAGUCCAUGGAUUUAAACCUUCACUUUGACAAUACUGGUGCUAUGAACAUUUUAUUUUUCCCUCUCCUCUCUCGCCCUCUCUCCAAUCAAUUAGGAAGAAGAUGGUUUCCCACUCCGAAGAAAGGACAUAACUUUUUUUUGUCGGUUCUAUUUAUUAUAUAUAAAGGGAUCCCAAUUUUUUACCAUAUGAUGCAUAUCCAGAAAAAAAUCCAAAGUUCAAUGAACAAAAGAAAACUAUUAGAAUUUAGGGUCAUCUAAUUGAAUAUACAAAUAUUGAGUAUUAGAAACUUUCCAUUUUGAAAGUAAUUGCAAAAAUAGCUUGUAAAAUAUGGUCAAGUCGGACGUAUAUGCCUUGCUAAUGCGCUGAGCGGUGAGCUACUGUACCGGUUUCACUUGUACGGUUAAAUAAUACGGCUUGUUCACAAACCGACAGAAUCCGCAUUAAUAUUUGAGUUAUUUUCACUCUAAAGUAGUUUUCAUGUUAUUAUAUCAGGAAAAAACACUUUCCGCUACUGGGGCAGUUUUAUUGUGAAAAAACUCAAUUUACCCCUAAAAAAGACGUAACUAGCGAUUGCCUUUCGAUUUUUCUUAGUUGGUGAUUUGAAUUUCAAAAUAUUAAAUCCGUGUGGUGGGCCCUAGGACGAAGGGAAGCCCAAUUUUAUUAAUAAUAGAGUAAAACCGGAUCUGAAAAAGAAAUUAUUUACUUUCCUCUCCGCUUUUACCGAGAACAAAAAGUGAAGAACGAAUAGGCGAUUUCCGGCGAAGAAAAAACGGUGAGGCGUAACGACGUUAAAGGCAUGUCUCGGCGGCGGAGUCUGCGGGGAAAAGAGAUUGCUGACAGUGAGUUAACUUCAGUUUUGCUUUGAUGGCUAGAUUGGUUAAUUUUGAUGUUGUUUUCUUUGAGCCUGAUUCUCUUUGUUUGAUAGAAACAGUGGCGGUAGAGGAUGUAAAGGGAAGUCUCCCCUUUGCAACGGAUCAGUACCCAUGCGAGAGGAUCAAUAUGUACUCGACGAUUGAUAAUCUACUGUGCGUUAGAGACGCACUAAACGGCACGGAGGAAAUGGCCCUAUUGUUGAGGUUUUGCUUUGGAAGCCUUCAGUUUUGGGCGUUUGAAGCCAUCCCAGCUUUGCUUAAGCGUUUAGGUGGGGACGAUGAGUAGAAGCUGUUGAAUUAUGUUGGUGAGAAGCUCACACAACAUACUAGGUUUGGUUCUGUAUAGAUGUACAUGUGGACUUGUAAACGAAUGUGUGUUUGGCUGUACAUAUGGACAUGUGAAUGAAUGUGCGUUUGGUUGUACAUGUGGACACGUAUUUUGUGGUGUCUAGCAAUUUUCUUUAAUUAUGUGUACUGAGAAAAUUGGUUGUCAACACUAUCUGAGUUGUACAUGUGUACAUGAAGCUAUACAUAUUCUCAAGCUUCAAAUCAUUGUGGAUGGUCUUAUUCCUAUGGUAUACAUCAAUGACUAAGAAAUGGAAUCAUCAAUCUAUGUAUACUUUCUCCAUGUUUAUCCCUUUGCAUAUUCUUUGUUUGUCUGUUGAUGUUUUCUUGUUGUUGGCUUUUGAAGACAUAGUUUUAGUUUGAUUUUUAUAACGUUCAUCUGUACACAUAAAAUUUACUAUCCACAUGUACAAUGAUUCAUGUGUACACUGUCUAACAUAUAUAUGUACAUUGUCUAACAAAAUUUCAUGUGUACAUUAUCUAAGUUGUACAUGUGUACACGUAUGGAACUAUACAUAUUAUCAAGCUUCAAAUCGCUGUGGAUGGUCUUAUUUCUAUGGUAUAAAUCAACGACGGAGAAAUACACGUACACAAUUAUGUUUCUUACACAACAAAUACACACCAUUUCCCACGAAACCACUCUUCGAUUCUAUUAUAUGUUCAUUACAUUGGCCAUCACAACCCUGUUAAAUGAUACAUGUACCCGUGGACUUGUUCAUUAGUAUGUGUCAUGUACACUGGAUACAUUUACGUACAUUGCUUACUGAUUGUACACAGUUUCUAAUCAACCAUGUACUCGUGUUCACUCAAACUUGUCAACAAAUUAAUGAACAUCGUCGGUUAAUAAUGUAUUCACCUGACCGAUGACAUGGUGGAUAUAUUUAGGAAGUAGUAUGCGAUGGAGAUUUACAAGGAUUGGGUUGUGCCUUUGUACUUGUGAUGAUUGUAGACAUCUGUGCGUUGUUUUGGUUUAAAAGGGAGGGUGUAUUUUAUGUUGUUGGGAUAUUGUAGAACGGGAGGACGUAUUUUGCCUUUUGUAGUAUUUGUGUUUAAAGAACAUAUUGUGUAAGGACGGAUAUUGUAGUAUUUAUGUUGUUUGGACGAAAAGGCUUUUGUUCAAGGGAAGCACCCUUAGAUAAAUGUGUGUGUGAUUAAAGAACAUAUGUAAGUACAAAUCAAGAGGUAUUGUACACUAAAGCCAGCCUAUGUGAAAUACAUGUACAACCACGAGGUAGAUAAAUGCAUGUACAUGUGGACGUGAUAAAGUAGUACACAUGGUAACCGAACAUAUUGGGUAUCAGUUGGGGUGGACAUAAAAUAUUAAAGCGUCUUCAAACCAGCUUAUACAUGUUCAUACUUGUUCUCUCAAAUUACAAUAUAGCCUGUGAAACAAAGUUGUACAGAUAGACAGGCACACAUGUACAACCCCGGACGUUGUGAACAAUGUGUACAUGUGGACGUAACGAGGAGGUACACAUGCUAAAAGACAAUGUGUACUAAUUACUCGUGGCUGAUGUCAAAAACUCGGAUUUGGAUAAGCGGACCUGAACAUAUUGAAUAUCAGUAGGGGGUGGGCAUAAAUGAUAAAAGCGUCUUCAAAACAGUUCAUACAUGUUUAUAAUUGGAUCAAUUAAUAUAACAGUGAAAAUGAAUUAAAUUUGAUAAUUGGAUGUUAGAAAACUAACCACAAGUUUAGCGGAAGUUAAUUUGUGGUCAAAUAUAAACAAAGAUGUAGAUUACGGUGUCUGUUCUUUCUAAAAUAGGUUUGAAACAAAACGAUGAAGAUGAAGAAAGGAGAACAACAGAUUAAAUCUGGACCGUAAAAAGUAAAAGACAAAAAGUAAAUCUAAGGAGUGAGAAUUUAAACAAAUAUAUGUCUUGUCAUAUAUGGCAGAUUUAUUAUGGGAUGUCUGAUGAUGGGGGAGAUGUGCGGUGGAUAUAGGUUCCCGCCAAUAAACUAGUUAGGCUUUUCCUAUGAGUAGUUACAGAUGAACUAUAUUGGUUAGGUACAAAUGGAGAAAAUGAGAUUAUUUAGAAGAAACAGUCCUAUUAGCUGAACGUGGUCUAUUGUGUUAUUAGAAACUUGGAAACUGCAGUGUAAUAUUUUCUUAAUAUUUAAACAUUAAGACAUGCACAUUAAAAGCCUAGCUAGAGAUAGUUACAUCGUCAGUUCUUAGCUCUUGUUAAGCUUCACUUUUUUCACAUAAACCCAUGUGGGACACACCCAUAUUUCAUAUCAUUCAUUAACUAUAUAACUAAAUCAGCCAAAAAUACAUAUAUAUAAGUGAAAACACUUUAAUAUACAAUCAAAUAAGAAUUAUAAAUUUGCUUGACUUGGUGUUCAUUCAAUAUUUUACUUUACAUCAAAUAUAAUUAGCAUGUAUAAGAUUUUCAAAAGAAAAUAUUUACCGUAUAUAUCCGUGUAAACAUCCAUAUACAUUUAUGUCCUAUAUAGUUGCCAACUGUCCGACUAGCGUAUAACGUAUUUUAGAACACUCAUAUUUAGUAGGAUUUUUAACGUUAAAACCCAUCAAGUAAGUUUGUUUUGGGUAAAAACCUUCAAACUAAGUAUUUAAUGAAAAAACCCUCAAACUAACGUUAUUUAAUAAAUUAAACCCUACCAGGUCAUAAUUACCAUUUCUACCGGUAAAUCUUUAAUUUAGGGAUUUCUACAUUAAGUAAACAUAGUUGAGGAGUUUUACCAUUAAAUUUUUUUUAAAAAAAAAAAUCAAAAUUUUAUAAUAUUAUUUAAAAAUUAGUAAUUUUUUUUGACAACAUAAGCGAGAACUAAGUAACUGGACCGCGCGAUUCAGAAAGCCAAACCAAAAGUAUUGAAUCGACAUAUAACAUAGCUGAAGGAAAACUCCUCGCACCACUUGCAAGCUUGUCCGCCAUAGUAUUUUGUGCUCUUCGAAUAUAUCUGAUCUGGAAGUUAGGGAAUAAAGUCUUACUACGUCUAAAUUCUUUAUAUAAUUUUUGUUAUAUUUUCUCAGUUUUUACAUUUUUAAUUUUUUACAUAUAUAAUGUUGAUGUUAAAACACAUCAAACUCAUAUAUUUACAAAAAAAAAUUAAAAAUACUAAUUUUGAAAAUUUAAGUUACUAAUUUUUAGAUAAUAUUAUAAAAUUGAUUUUUUUUAAUGGUAAAAUCCCUCAACUAUGUUUACUUAAUGUAUAAACCCCUAAACUAAAGAUUUACCAGUAGUAUUGGUAAUUAUGACCAGUUAGGAUUUACUUCAUUAAAUAAAGUUAGUUUGAGAACUUUUACGUUAAAUACUUAGUUUGAGGGUUUUUACCCAAAACAAACAUAGUCGACGAGUUUUAACGUUAAAAAUCCUAUUUAGUAAGAUAUCAUGUCAGGACUGUAUUAGGAUUAAGAUGGCUUAUAUGCUUAUGUAUGAUAGGAGAUUUUUUUUUUUUUUUUGAACACAAAUAUGAUAGGAGAUUUGAUUUUGUAAUACUUUUUAUACAACGUUAUUUUACAACGUAAGCAAAUAACGUUGUAUAAAGUAUUAGGAUUAUGAUAUAGUUACUUUCCUUAUUUUAAAGCAAUUUCUUGGAUUCAUAAGUUUUCAAAAUAAUGUAAGCUUCAAAUGUUCGUCUGGAUAGAUAAUUAAACUCCAAACCAUGCAUAAAUAUUAGAAUUUGCGUGUUUUUUAUUAAAUGUAAUUUCCAACAACUUUAUUACAAUGUUAAACCGGAUUAAUCUGGUUAAUCCGGAUAAUAUGUAUAAGUUUUUAAAUACAUCUUCUAAAAGUUAAAAGUAUAACGAUUUAAUAUAUCAUGAGUCAAACUGAGUUAUAAAAAUAUAUGGAUUAAUAUUUAUGCAUGUUUUGUAACUGGAUGCUACAUAACAUUCCAGAUCAAGCCUAAAAUAUUGAUGCAUAUUGUUUAUAAGAUAUACCAGAAAACCCGGUUUGUGUUUUGCUACAAGCUUUGUUUCUACAUGUUGAAAUCGAAAUUUGAUCUCUGACAAGUUUACUCUUAGGUUUGGUCUUAUAUAGUUUGUAGGAAAAACCAGAAAACCCGGUUUACUCUUGGGUUUGGUCUGCCAGACAACGUAUACUUUUGUCGGUGAAGAAGAAAGGGAUCACGUAAGGGAUGAUCGAAACAUGACGUCGUGUGUCUCGUGAAGCUUUUGUUUGACCGUAGUGUAAACGACGCAAAACUUCUCACGUCAAAGAGAUUAUUUAAUGCUCGGCCACUAACUAAUAGUCUAAUAAUACAGCGUAUUUAGAUCAAAAUCAGAUAAGAUUUUGACUUUGUAAGAUACGCUUACGGCUUAUAAAUUGAAACUCUGUUCUCAUAGCUUUUCAAUUCGUACUCAAAAGUUUCCAUUAAAAGAAAGCUUCCUAAAAUGUCAUCACUUCUUUGUAUCUUCCUCCUCUUAGCGGUCUUCAUCAGCCACCGUGGAGCCACCACCGAAGCCGCGGUGGAGCCAGUAACCGACAUCUACGGUCAACGUCUCAGAGCAGGCACCAAAUACUACAUCUUGCCUGUAGUUCGCGGCCGCGGCGGCGGACUAACCAUGUCCAAAGCCGAAAACAAAACUUGUCCUAAAAGUGUUAUCCAAGAACGGUUUGAAGUCUCUAACGGCAUGCCGUUGACAUUCUCACCGUCAGACAAAUCAAAAGUGAUCCGUGUCUCAACUGAUCUGAACUUCAAAUUCUCAGCUACUUCGAUCUGGAACUUAGACAAUGUCGACGAGAAGACGAAUCAAUGGUUCAUUGGAACUUGUGGCGUUGAAGGGAAUCCAGGCAGGACAACUGUUGGUAACUGGUUCAAGAUCGACAAGUACGAAGAUCACUACAAGAUCUUGUUUUGUCCUUCUGUAUGCGAUAUCUGCAGAGUCAUGUGUAGAGACGUUGGUGUGUUUGUGCAAGAUGGGAUUAGAAGACUUGUGUUAAGUGAUGUUCCACUAAAAGUUAUGUUCAAAAGAGCAUAAAUUACAAACAAAUUCCACAAAAGUUGCAAUGUUUUUUUACACUACCUUCAAUAAUAAAUAAACAAUGAGCUUUCUUCAAAGCUUGUUUCUCUCUGCAUAUUUGAUUUGAAUAUCGGAUGAAAAGUAAUUUAAGCUCUCCGUCAAAUUAGUGAAGAAACAUACUAGAGAAGUAGAUCAACUGGAUAAAAAACCUUAAAUCAUUAUCUGGGAAACAAGAAUCUGGUCGGAAACACUACAAAAAGAGGAUCGAGCGAGCAAACAUUAAUAAUGAUAUGUAAAACUCAUAAGUGCGGUUUUUGUUGCUGUUGUUGUGGUCUCGUCGCUUUUUGUCUUAAGAAGAAGCAGCAGCUACUUUCUCUUCAGCAGCAGCUUCGAAUGUCUCACCAGCUACAAGUUCAGGGACAUCAUCGUCCUCAUCAUCAUCCUCUUGAAUGGUUGCUGGGACAUUACCUCCACCAGGAGAUUGCUUCUUGAACUGCUCUGCUAGCUUCUUCAGAUUCUCCAUGUUGUCUGGUCCUGAAAGAGACCAAAGAAAAAAACAUGUUUCAAGGAUAACUGUUUUGGGGUUGGGGGGGGAGAAGAACAUGUAACAAGUACAAAUUACAUGGAGCACAUACCUAGAUGGCUGAGAAUCUGAGGUAGGAUAUCUUCCAAUUCUACAGAAAAAGGUUUUUAUAUUUAAUCAGAAAAGAUGCAAUGAAGAAGAAACAUGAAAAUAGACACGGUAAAGAUGCAUACUUUUGGUCUGAGGAGAACCGCUAACAGCCCAUGUGUUUGCACCAACUGCAGCUUGAACUGUAGUAAAAGAGACAAAAAAAAAAAUUAUCAAUAACAUGAGAAGGUUUACAAUUUCCUUAGUAUAAUGUUAGAAGGUAUACCCUUAGGGUUGGUGAACUGAAUAACAACAUCAUCCUUGAAGAUGUUAACUUCUUCAAUAGCAGGAAUGGAGUUAACUCCAAUUCUCUUGAGAGUGCUUUGGAGCUUCUUGUCAUCAGUAGUAUUGGUCUUGUGCACAGCCUUCUUCUUCCUGCAUGCAGACAAUCAAAUGGUUCAUAUAAUAGACAUAAAAUUAAAUGCUAUGGUAAAAAUGAAAAUGGUAAAACAAAAAAAAGAAGAAGCAAAGUGUUACCUUCUAACUGUACCCUUGCCGCCAGUGCGGACAGUGUUGGCCAUCUUCAUCAACUUCUCACGAUUCAUCUGUGUAUAAACCAUACAAAAAGCCACACUCAUUAAGCCGCAUCAAUGAGAUUAAACUGCUACUAGAACUAGGGAUAAUACAUUCACAAAUCAAUGAGAACAUAGUGAAUCUUUUGUAGACACACACCAGACAAAUAAUGACACUAUAACUAAGGCACAAAACAGAGAUGCGUAUAUGAAUACGAGCUAAGAGCACUAUUGAGAUUAACCCUAAGCAUCUAUUAGAUUCUCUCUUUUCGACCAAACAUGCAGAGAAGUGGAAAACUUGUAAAACAUAUGGUCUUUCAUAUCUCAAAACACAGAAAAAAAAAAAGCACAUCUCAAAUCGAUAAUGAAGAGAAACGAAUCUAGGAAAAAAAGAUGUCUGCAUCCCGACAUAUUUUUAAAAAUCGGACAAUCAAGACAAACCCUUACACUGAAACGAUAAGACACAGAGAAUUAAAAGGACACAACAGCUGUGGAUUUACCUUGAGAUUUUGAUGAUUAGGGUUCUGUGUUUCUACAGAGAGUGGAAAGAGAUAACAAGCGAAGAGAGAGAGACGCGGGCGGCGCAAGAGAGUUUUGCGUCUUUAACUAUAUGCUAUCGAGGCCAAGCUCAUUUAUUGAUCCAACGGUGUAGAUAUCAUAAGCCUCCAUCUCUGCCGUUGGAUCGUUUAACAUGUCUCGAAUAAAGUUAUGGCCCAAUAACAGGGACACCUAUUGGCCCAAUAACUAGGAAACCUAUAGGCCCAAAAUAGAAUGGGCGUCCACAUCUAAUCGUUUCCCACGUGCUAUAGCGGAGCGUUUUGUACACGAAAGCCAUCUUAAAAAAUACUCUGUCCAUUGGAACGCUUGUGCGUGCGUUAUAAGACUUUGUAGUUGACUAUGAUUUGAGUAAAGAACAAGGUAUUUUGAUUAUUAAUAUUCUCAACAUAAUUGGUUUUAUUACAAAAUAAGUCUGCUUAAUUUGCUCAGUAAUAUGAAAUCCACGAAUACAGAAGUUACAUAAGAUAGAGAGACACAGAGCCAAAACGCAGACGCAUAAAAUGAUUUCUUUCACUGCUUCUUCUGCACAACAUUCUCCAAAUACCAUUGAUAAGUCUGACGAAGCCCAUCUUUAAUCGAAACCUUCGGCGUCCACCCCAAAGCCGCAAGCUUCGAGCUAUCCAUCAGCUUCCUCGGCGUCCCAUCAAGCUUACUACAAUCCCAAACAAGAUUCCCUUCAAACCCAACAACCUCCUUAACCAACUCAGCCAACUCUUUGAUCGUCACUUCCACACCACUCCCCAUAUUCACAUGCUCAAACCCACUGUACCUCUCCAUCAAGAAAACACAAGCCUCAGCCAAAUCAUCCACGUGCAAAAACUCCCUCAACGGGCUCCCACUUCCCCACACCACAACCUCCUCCGCAUCGUUGGCCUUAGCUUCAUGGAACCUCCUCAUCAGAGCAGGAAGCACAUGAGAGUUCUCAGGGUGGAAAUUAUCGUUCGGACCGUAGAGAUUCGUCGGCAUGCCGGAUUCCGGUUCGCAGCUAUUAAUUUGAUUGAAACCAAACUGUAGCGAUUGGCGCGAAAAACAAGGAAAUGAAUGCAAGCAGGAGCCAGUAAUUGCAGUAGCAAAUCUGGCAAUGAGGUGUCUGAAGAAGACAGGGAAGAAAGAAUCUGACAGAUGUAAGAGACGUUUCUGCAGCGUUGGAGAGGAUCUGUUCAUCUGCAGAGGAAUUUUAGGUGAUUGACAGUGCAAAUUAGACAUAGCACCCGCAUCUCCAUGUUCUACAUUGUUUUUUUCUUUUACCAAAAUAAGAAGUUACACAUAGCCAAUUCUUGGAAACGGUUGCUGCAGGAACAAUGAUAUAAGGUAAUGAAAACGUUCCGAGUUAUAUAAUAUUGUCAAACACGUUAACGUAUCUAUUUAAGGCUUGUUAAGUUUGUGAUCUUUUUGUUUCAGAUUUUCAAAUCAUUUUGAUUUAUAUUGCAUGACCUCACAUCAUCUUAGGUUGAUGAACUGAUUAUUAACUAUAGUUCAGUGGUAAAAAAGGGAUUUAUGACAGGUGAUAGAUAAAACAUGGACAACAUUUAGACAAGAAACAAUUUGUAACUUGACAAAAGAUACAAACAGAAGUCAAUGCCCGAACCAUACACAAAAGUCAUGGUGCGUUCUUGACUCCCACCUCCCACCAAAUAUUACCAUUUCAAACACACAAAAAAAAAAAGAAACUGAACAAGAGAGUGAAGAGAGGAGACAGAUAACCAGAAGAGUGAUGAUUUUCUUACACUCUUUGCUGGCACUGAAGGUAGAAUAAGUGCUUAAUAACUUUCACUUCUCUGAUCAUUAAUGACCUUUAUCAGAAAUCAGAUGGGGGAAAUGAGCUAUUAAUGGCGUCCUCAAGCAGUUGAAGGACAAUUCAAGGUGGUUUUAAUGUGGUGGACAGUGGAACUGAUGAGGUUAUUAACUGUCUCCAUUGACUCCAUAUUCAAUUUUCCUGACUGCAAGCUACUCACCAUUAUCUGAAACCCAACCGUUAUCAAUGAACCUCCUCCUCCACUUCCUCUUCCUUCAACUUUGAGCUCUGGGAUUUGGUCAUUCCUGCUUCCAUCUGGUGAAACCGCAAAACCCGAGGGUAAAAUGGGAAUGUAAGAUGUGUCUUGACCGCUCAUUGCCAUGUUCAGUGCUGGUAAAUCCAAUGGAGUGUAGACCACAAGCGAGCCUGAUGAGUCUACGCAGCUUUCUUGUAGAAUCAGCAUGUUGUUUUGUGAUGAUGAUGCAUUGAACCCCUAAUGUAAAAAAGGUAAAAAAAAAUAACAAUCAAUAGUCUCAAGAACCGAACAUAUGUGUUUAAUUAAGUAACUUACACGAAGAAUAGAAAUACAGUUUCCUGGAUGUGAACCGUUUGCGAUAUGAGCAACUUCUUGAACUGAACUUCCAUUCAAUAGAACGUCCCACUAUAAUAACCAAAGAAACAUUUUAAAACAAAACGUUACACAAAGUGAUUAUAAAGGCGUGUAGUAGUAGUAGUACCUGGGGACGAGUUCUUUCAUCUUUGAGGAAAUUGAAAACGAUAAGUGGAGAAACUGGGAGCCAGAAGCUGGUGGCUGCACACAGAACCAUUCCAUUUGGUUCGUGCUGGCUCUUGUACGAAGUCACACGGAUUCCAAACUCAUUCAUUCCCGAUACAACCGUUGAUGAUCGAGUGUUGUUAGAUGUGCCAACGCUCAAGCAGAAGUUGUUUACCAUUCUUUGAGCAAGUUUCAUUACACUUCUCUUCCCUUCCGGCGAUGGAAUCACCGAGGAUGUUGCUGGUUCAUGUAGAGCUGUGAAUCUCUCGCACAUUCUUUGGAGAGUAGCGAUCCAACGUUCAGCUCCAAAAGCUAAUCCUUCACGGACACGAUCUUUAAACAUCUCAUGAAUAGGCUCUUGCUCCGAGAUUUCAAUAUGUUCAACCCAAGUAACCUGUUAUUGUAUAAUGAUCAGAGAUGCUAAUAAAAAAAGAAACAAACACAUUAGUUUACACACAAACCUUGCAGUAGCCAUUGGACAUGUCUUGAAUCAAGCAACCAGAAGGAAGUCGAUAUGGCCGAGAAGAAGAUAUAAACUGAGGAAGCUCAUAGGAGACAUUUACAAUAGCCCAAGUUCCAUGUUCGAUUUGCUGACAGUAUCUUAGCACGCUGAACUCACGUGUUGGAACCAAUGGCGAAAGCAUUUGAAGCUCUUCAAGCAUCUAACACAAGCCAAUAGCAAAGUUAAUCAAAAGCUUCACACACAAACAAUGAUCAAGUGUUUUUUUUGUACCAAAUGUAAGGCUUCUCCGUGGUUUCCACGCAAUCCAGAUGAAACCACUGCAAGAGUUUUAGAUGAUGCAACGACUGAGGGAAAAAGCUCUGCAGAUUUAACCUGAAAAAAUAAACUAUAUGAGAAAAAAACAACAACAAACCAACUGAGUAAAAUCUACAGGUUAGGUUGGUUUUACUCACAGAGUCCAUGAGCAUGUCCACAAGUGUCAUAGCAUUAAUGAAAACUACGCCAGAAGAUCUACUCGCUUCCACUCGAACGUUAUGAUUCUUUCCUCCACGGCUACUUGCUCUAGGGAACAUAUUCUCAUAGCUUCCGAGGUUGAGAACGUCUCUUGCUCCAUCAUUUUUGAUCCAUAGAGGCUCGUUUGUUUGGGUAAGCCUAAUCAACUCUUCCAUAGCGGUCACGGCAAUGUUGGUCAUAACAGACUUAUCAAUGUCUGAUAAAACCAAGUUUGGUUGAGAUGGUAAAGUAGGAGCAGCCAUUGAAGAACAACUUCCAGGAAUAAGAUCAAAAUCAAGCGAAGGACCACCGUGGAAUGGCAUCUGGUUUAGUAGUGGUGGGAGAUGAGAAAGUGGCCUCCCCAUGAACUUAGCUGCAAUGCUUGAAACCCUUUCGAGCUACCAAAGAAAAAAAGAGAGGUGUUAAUGGGAAGGUUAAGCACUAAGAUCAAACCACAAUGCAUGACAAAAAAGGUGUGCAUUUUAGCUAGAACCUCUUCUCUAAGGUGUGCAUUUUCGAUUCGAAGCUUCUGUUCAUCGAAGUAAGAGUCUUCAUGAGAAGGAGCGUCACCACAGGUGGGGCAAAUGGUGUGUUUGAGAGCUUCUUUGAUGGCAAUGUUCUCGCAACGAAUCCUAUCGUUCUCUUCCUUGAGUGCACAGUUAUCAGCUCUCUCGUGUUGUGCCUGCAACAUGAAACGAUGAAGAAGAGAGACAAAGCGAGUAAGAUAGAAAGUAAAAAGUCUAAAACCUUCUUUUGUGUUCGUCGGUUCUGAAACCAAAACUUGAUCUGUCUUGGAGCCAAACCCAAUUCUCUGCUAAGUUGCAUCCUCUGUUUCUCAUCUGGGUGUUGACACUCAUUGAAAGCUCUGCAAACAAAAACCAUAAGAGAACAGAAAGAAAGAGGUGGAGAAAACAAAUGAGUAGAGGAAAGAGAGGAAUACGAUUCAAGGCGUUGGAUCUGGUGAGGUGUGUGGCGGUGGAAACGCUUCUUCUUCAUUGUCUUCUUGUCCGUUUCAGAGCUGUCACCGAGAAACUCCAUCUUUGUUCAAAAGUAUAAUGUGUUUGUAUACAAAGAAACAGUAAAAAAAAAUCCUUUUGUAACCAAACAAGUGAACUCUGGACCAUCACACAGCUGUCGCCAUUAUUAACACAACAAAGAGAAAAAGAGGGAACAAAGUUUCAAACUUUGAACAAGAGAGAGAGAGAGAAAAAAAAAUGUAACGGAAGAGAAUCUGAAAAAAAGAAAGAAAAGAAGAUAAUGGGAGGGAGGAAGGAGCAAAAAGGGAGAUUUGAUAUAAGAAUCCAUAUAGCCAGGUAGUUAAUGUCUCUUACAGAACCAAUGAAGAGAGAGGCAGAGUAAUAAUAAAUCUCUCUGGGUCUUUGUUCUCGAGCCUAUCAUAAGCAAGCCAUUAGUGCUUUCAUCAUUCCCACCUUUCGCUCCUUUUACAUUCAUUACACAUUCCAAAAUCUCUCUCUCUCCUUACCUGUCUCUUGAGAAAUUGUGUAACUGAUACUGAUGGGGGGAUUUAAUGGCGUUUGACAGCGGGAGGAGAGAGAGAGGUUAUGGGUUUUAAAUUCUCUUGAUCGUUUCUCCAUUACGAACCUUCUUCUCUCUCUCUCUACCCUCAUUUAGAAGUGCCGGAGAGUUUAGAAACGGGCGACUUUAUCCACUUGCUCCGGCGGGUUCUCUCAACGUCAUGUAGUGACAAAAUGUAACUUUUCUUUGGGAUUUUGCUGACCUAUUCUUCUCCUUUUUUUUUCUUUUCCUUUUUACUUAAGAAAAUAAAAUAUGGGUGAAUUUGCGAGAUAUCCAAAAUCGAGAGUAUAAUUAAGUAGAUGACUAUGAUUUUGACGUUAUUGAGUGAAUAACAUUUUACCUUUUUCCAAGCCGGUUAUAUCCCCACUGGAAACAAGUUAGCGGUCAAAACAAAAGGAGAGAUGACAUUGAUGACUUAAGAGAUGGAUCACAUUUACUGUAUACUAUUAACUAACGAAUCAAGCAAAUAUAGCCACGUCACAUGCUUUCUUACCACGUACAUGUUAACUGUGCUAUAUAAAUAUUAUAUUCCAUUUAUAAAAAUACUAUGUUUGAUAGAAACAAACAAAACACCUUCAUAUGAAACAUAACUAGAAACUUUAAACUCAACUCCACACCUAAAUACUAAACACUAAACUCGAAUCUGUAAACCAAAACUCAAAUAUUAAAUCUAAUUUCUAAUUAUAAUAUUUUUUAAAAUAAAAUAAAAUAUAUAAAAUUUGAACUAUUAUUCAAUACUAUCUAAAAUGGAAUGGAGACUAUUCUUCUGAACUAAUGCAUUUGUGUUCAACCUUAAUCCACCUCCAACCAAAAUAGUAUAUAACACCAACCCCAUCCCAACCCCUCAAUAAUAAACCAUAUAACAACCCCACCAUAAACCCCUAAAUACUUAACCUUAAACCAUAAUCAUUAUACCCUAAACUCAAAUAUAAACCAUAAACCCAAAUAUAAACCCUCAACCUAAAUAAAAUGGAACUAAAUAAAUAGCAUAAUACAUAUUGGUGAAAAUAUGAAAUGUCUAUGAUAUUAUCGAAGAAGUUAAUGCUAACUCCAUCCUUACCCCCUCCACCUACAAAAUACUAUACCCUAACCUUUAAUCACUAAACCCUAAACCCAAAUAUAAACCAUAAACCCAAAUAUUAAAAGUAUAUAAAACAUUGUCAUUCUACAUGAGACAUACAAAAUAGAAAAUCUGAAAAUGUAAUUACAAUCUAAAAAUCAUCUUAACAUAUCUCUCAAAUGUUGAGAUGGUUAUGCCUUCAUGGAAGAUGGUAAUGUUUGUCACAAUGUCAACCCCAACCAUACAUAAACUAAACCCUACACGGAAUUAUAAACUCUAAUCCACUGUCAAACCCAAUCUUUCAUAAACUAAACCCUAGCCACUAAUCACUAAACCCUACAUGGAAUAUAAACCCAAAUUUCGAAAUGCAAGUAACAUGCAUUUUCAUUCUACAUGAGCAUAUAAAAUAGAAAAAGUAACAAACGAUAUAGCACAAUACAUAUACAUUGUCCAAAAUUUUGAAAUGUCUAUGAUUACAGGGAAUGACGUAAUGCUUACACCAAAUUCAGAUUGAUUGUAGCGAAAAGAAAUAGAGAUUAAUGGCAUUAAAAGAGGUGGAAGAGACAAGAUAAUAUGAAUAUCAUUCCCAUUCAACAUCACACUGUAUUCUCUUUUAUUUGAUGUCAUAAUAAAUUAUGUUCCAUUUACGUUUAAUAUAUUAUUUUCUCUUUACAAAAUCAUAUACAGACUAAUAUAAAACACAUGUAUGCAUCGAUAUAAAACUCAUAUCAAUAGAACAUGAAACAACAAAGAACAAGAUUGAACCAUUUCUUUCAAGCAUCGAAUGCAAUAUAACUUACUAAAUAGUACAUUCUAUAUUAAUAAACAUGACAAAUAAGAGAAGAGAUGUUCCAUUUCAUAAAAUAGUAUAGAAAUACUAUUACCCUUCAAGCUCAUCCAUGACAAACCUGAAAAAAACAAUGAAAAAUAAGCACACGUUAGUAAACAAAUUGGAAGGAAAUGACAGCAUAUGAGAUAAGCUACUAGUAUAUGCUUAGGUUAAUUGUUUAGUUGUGUCAUUCGGAAAUAGCUUAUGCGAGUAGAGAAGUAACAUAUGCAAUUAGAAUUAUACCAUCUGAAAUAAUAUAGAAUAUAUAUAUAUAUGGAAAGGAACUGAAGGUCAGAUGGAAUGGAAAACGAAUAAUAUAUUAGUUUUGAUACAAUUCUUCAGAAAUAGCAGAGAAUGGAAUGACACGUAACCAGUCUCUAAAACUAAGAUUUUCCAUUUCAAAUAGCACAUGUUCUAUAAGAUAUUUCAUUUCACAGAGAACUAAACUUGUUUUAUCGUAAAAGGACUUUUCAUUCUAAAAUGACUAUCCCCCUUUGCAGUAAACAAAUGAGUACGACGAACCAAGAAAAGUUCAACCCUAAAUCAAUUUGUUUGCCUUAGCUUACUAGAUCGGGACAAAAACGAUGGGUUAGAUUUAUCAACUUAGAAUAGACUAGGGCCGAAUCUAUUCCAAAUAAGGGGAAAAACAGGGAAAUAAUAUAAUCUAUGGCACAAAAUAGAGAACUUACAAUAUUGCAACAGAUCUCAACCUAAUCGCCAAUAUGAAGGAGAUGAGACUAUGGUGGUCGUUCAUGCCGAUCACACUUACGAACUCUUCUGAAUCUUCUUCGAAUUCUGAAUCGGCGCGUUCGCUUGACGAACCUAUGACGAGUGACGAGUUUGAAUGGAAGACGAUGGCUCCGCGGUGGAUGGAAGAGCAAUAUACGGCGGAAUCUGCUGCUUGAUUUCGCGAUUCAACAAAUAUCGGCCGGAAACUUUUCACCUUCUCGGGAAGUGACGAAGAAGAAGAAGAAGUUACUUUUGAGAGAUGUGUGACUUCCUGAUGACCACGCGUAAUUUUUGCUUGGUUGGGUAAUUAAUUUUUUUUUAACUGCAGGUUGCGCCGGUUGCGUUGAAGGCUAGCAGGGUAAUAUUAUAUAAAAUACACUCUAUAUCGAUGUAUGGUAGGGCAUUUGGCUAUAAAACUAAAUACUUUUUUUUUAGCCAUUCGGCCUAAUUUCCCAUAAAAUAUUAAUACCAUUUUCAAAAAACUUGCUUAAAUACAACUUAAACUGGAAAUAAUUAUUUUUCUAUCAUAAACUAUAACAGUUAAAUAAUAUCUUGAAUUUAUGUACGCACCUAACGGGGUUAUAAGAGAGGUUUUUAAGUGGUGGGUCUCAUCUUUUGUUUAAAAGCCGGUGAUAGAAGAUAUGAAAUAAGGAUCGACUUUGGUCUGUUUCUUUUUUCUUUUUUUUUCAACAUUUUUACUCGUGAGAGCCUGAGACCCUCAAUGAGGGUGCCAAACCAAGAUCUCUACUUCUAAAGUUAAACAAUUAUGAAAGAGACCUUGGCAAAAAACAAUUAUCAAAGAGUAUAACCAUGCAUUUAGACCACCUCGAACACAUGGUUUUAAUCUGGGUUCUUAAAAAGGAACCAAAAAAAAAAUGAAAAAAGAAAAAAUCAAGAGAACCGGUGUCUAAGGGGUUCUAUUAAUCGUCUCUAGAGUAUGCACGCUUAUUAAAAAUUUAAUAAAUGUUUAUAAUUUAAUUUAUUUUUUACUUUAUUAUACGCUUUCCAAUAACUUUUCACCCAUAAAAUUUAAUCAAUUCAAAUAUUCUCAAUUAAUGUUCUUCAAAAGUAUAAAAAAAUACUUUUAACAAUAUAAAAAAUCUAUUUUCGUGGAACAUGAAAAAAAAUCGAAAACAUAGUAUUAAUCGUCUCUCUCUCUUCGUCGAUUUUGUUGUUUGUUAUUGGGUAAAUCGAUUGAAGCCAAAUGAUAUACUAUUCUCUGUUUUUGUUGGAGGAUCAGCCAGCUUCUUGGUCAAGUUCUUUUUCAAGCCUGGAUUGCUUGCUGGAAUCUGAGAGUAUCACAUUCGAGGUAUGUCCUUAGAUUUGAUAAAAAAAAAAAUUGGAUUCUUUUGAAUUGGGAAUUCUAUCCAUGUUCUUGUUGUUUUCUGGAUAUGGGAGUUGCUAGAGAAUAUUUGUUUCUCUGUUGAAUUGCUUCUUUGCUUAUGAUUGACACUGGAGAUACAUGGUUUUGUUGGUUUACGGUUGUUUGAUCCUAGAUUUUAUCUCUGUUCCUAAAAUGAUUCUUGUUGAAACUACUACGGACCAAUAAUCAGUGAGCCAUGUUCUGUUUUUGCAGGUGGAACGAAGACAUAAAGCUUGUGGAGCAAUCAAAUGUCAUUGAUGUGCCUGGUUUGUCUUAUAGAAACAUCCCUUCCCUUGCCUCAACUGUUACUGGAGAGAUGGUAAUUUCAUUCACUCACUCCCCUUUUUUGUUACCUCUUUGUUAUUUUUGUUUUUUUUCUAAUAAUAAUGAUGACUGCAGGCUAUACCUACUGAGGGUAACUCAGCUUUAUCCUUGUUUUGUCCUUAUAAAGGUGGCUCCUUUCUUUUCAACUGUUCUAACGAUAUUAUGAUGAUUGCUGAAGCAUGUUUUUGUCUCAGUUGUUGCAGGGUUUUCGAAUUUGGAGGUUGAGUCUAAUCCAUGUUUUACUACCACCCGCAAGAACAGGAUCUAUGAGCUGGUGGAAUAAAAUAAAAGAACAUAUAGAUUUGUUUUACUGUCUUUUAUCCUUCUCGUAAAAAGGUUCGCUUAUACAUUUUUUCGUUGCCUUUUUGUGUGUUAUGCAGUUGAUUCCUGCCAAUGUGGUGAAAGAAAAUGGGCUUACAUUUUGUGACCGCAUCAAGUACAUUGAUGGAGAAGGGAUCAUGGGGCUAAAGGCAAAUGGUCUGAUGUUAGGAUUUGCAUCAAAGGAUGGGACAGGAUUUGCAGAAGAAACAGGCUUAAAGAGGGUGAUACUGUCCACUGUGAGAUGCUUCAUAUCAGGAAGAAAAUUCACUCAAUCAAAAUCACAAUCACUCGUGGCUGAAUCCAUCAUCAUCAUUAGCAGUUCAUCACCACACCCUUCAUCCAUCACUCAUCAUCACCACUAUCAAAACAGUUAUCUAUGUCUUAGUAUGGCUUUUGUUUGUUUUAUGAGUGUUGCAGUUUUCUUCUCAGGUUUUUAUCUUAGUAGUACUUUCUUUAUCCCCAAGCCACCGUGAACUUAUUGAUGUUUAAUGUUUGUAUUUUGAAUGAGGUUCAAAUCAUUCAACUUUAAAAAUAAAAAUAAAAAUAAAAAUUUAAGAAUUUCAAUGAAGUUCUCCUGUUGGAGGAUGAAAAAAAUAAUUAAACUAACUUUUCAAAUCACAAAAUUAACUACUAAUUUAUUCAUUAGAACCAAUUAGGAUCUCUAACGAAUGGACUUGCUCUUAAAGCAUAAACUCUAAGUGAUGAUGGGACUUACAUCUCCUCUCUUCUCCCAAGUGAAUGCCUGAAACUAUCUGUUUUCAUCCGCUCCACUCCGUCUGUUCCUCUCUCCGUUUGCGUUUAUUCGUUGUUGGAGCCUCAUACCAAUCUCCUACUCUCAAUGCAUUUGACAUACACAUCACUGCUUCCACAACUGCUUCUCUCUCCUUUGGAUGUAGAUCCUCUAGUAACAACGGUGAAGCCACCUCGUCGAAUUAGAGUAAAGCAGCUUGCUACAAAACAAAACAACAACAGUAUAAAGGCGCCAUGUUUUCUUAAAAGUAUAUAAAAAAAUUUAUCUUAAAAUAGCAUUUAAUGAUAAAAAAUUUAAAAUAUCACUCAUUUAUCCACAAAAGUUCUAAUUAUUAUAUAUAUAUUUUAAAUUCUGAUCUCACGGCUAAUAUUUCUCUAUAAAUAAGUAAAAUAGCAAAAAUAGCAAAAACAUAUUUUAAAAGUAUUUAAAUAUAGUAUGAUGAUAAAAAAAAUCCAAACUCAUUUAUCAAAAGAAAAAAUAGCACUCAUUUGCUGAUGAAAUUGUUACUUUUUGUCUCAUGUUCUCCUUGUUAGACAUUCAGUGUGGCAGUAUCAAAUUGUUAUUUAAACGUGGUUAGAGUAGCAAAUAUGAUAGCUAAAUCUCGCGAAUUUUUGUAAAGAAUUGCCUCCUCGGAUAUCUUCCGAAGUUUAAUGUGUUUCAACCAUGGAUAUUAACUGCAACACGACAAUUAAUGUGUGAGCUUUAACAAGCAAGAAAAAAAGGCUAGAAAACAUGACAACCCACAACACACACAAGUAAGAGCAUAUGGCGUGACGUAUUGUAACGUAGAUCUCUAUUUACUCACGUCAUUGUGCAUUCAGACUAGACAACUUCAUAAGAUCUGGAGAAUGAUCAGUGGGGAACUCUGUCAAAGCGAAUAUCAUUCUCAUCAAUUAUUCAAAUUUAACAUUUUUCUCGAAAUGUUCUCUUUUCUCAUCCCAGUGUGGGACGCUAAUAAGGUUACUAUUGCUUCCGUGGCCUCCGUAGUCUUCUUAGCCUUUGCGGGUCUAACACUCGCCGUUUCGGCCGUGGCAUUAGUUGUAUCCGCACCUCUUUUCAUCAUAUUCAGUCCGAUUCUCGUACCCGCGACUAUAGCCACUACCCUCCUAGCCACUGGGUUCACGGCCGGUGCCACUCUCGCACUGACUGCCAUUGGCCUCAUCAUAGGGCUCAUUAAGUAAUUCUAAAGAAACUCUUUUGAUGAUAACUCAGUAUGUUUUGAUGAUAAUAUUUAACAUACGUACAAAUAUAGAAGCCAUACACUCUAAAGGCGACCGUAGCUUGUUAUUUCUCAUUUUUUGAGUUCGAUCAGCUCGAUCUCCACCCAACAUAUAUCUUUCUAAAACGUUUCGACAAUAUUAGCUAACUUGUUUAAUUCUCUUUCUUUUGUCCACGAUUCUUUUUACACGUUACAUCUUUCUUUCUUUUUGAGCUGCACUUUAUUGUUGUUGUUUUUUAACACAUAUUGUUGUUAUUACCUUUUUUAUAAAUUAACAGAUUAAUUAGUUCUCUUUUCCUUUAAAACCUGUGUGUGUGUGAUAGGACUGCGGAAGGAACUCGGUUGGCUCUUUCCGCCCAAAGACCAUUGAAAUUGCUAAAGUUUUCAGAUGGAUAUUGGGGAUUCUGGGGAGGAAAAACAUUUUCAGGAUCAUUCGGAGACAUUUUAAAAUGGUUACAAAAACAACCUUGGUUCAAAGGUAUACCAGCAGGCGGAGCUGCACCAGCGGCAGGCGGAGCUGAACCACCGGCAGCCGAAGCUGCACCACCGGCAGGAGGAGCGGCACCACCGGCAGGCGGAGCUGCACCACCAGCGGCAGGCGGAGCUGCACCACCAGCGGCAGGCGGAGCUGCACCACCAGCGGCAGGCGGAGCUGCACCACCAGCGGCAGGCGGAGCUGCACCACCAGCGGCAGGCGGAGCUGCACCACCAGCGGCAGGCGGAGCUGCACCACCAGCGGCAGGCGUGCACCACCAGCGGCAGGGGGAGCUGCACCACCAGCGGCAGGCGGAGCUGCACCACCACCGGCAGGCGGAGCUGCACCAAGCAUGUAGCAUACGUAAAUUAUUGAAUCUGAAACCAAGCGUUUUGAAUACGUUUUACGUAAUAUUGAAUCUGAAACCAAGCCAUUAAGGAUUUUAUGACUCGGAAACUAAAAGGAGACCAAGCGUUUUGAAUACGUUUUACGUAAUAUUGAAUCUGAAACCAAGCCAUUAAGGAUUUUAUGACUCGGAAACUAAAAGGAGACCAAGCGUUUUGAAUACGUUUUACGUAAUAUUGAAUCUGAAACCAAGCCAUUAAGGAUUUUAUGACUCGGAAACUAAAAGGAGACCAAGCGUUUUGAAUACGUUUUACGUAAUAUUGAAUCUGUUUAUAUUGAUAGAAGUAAAAGACUCGAUACAAAGUUUAUUGAAAAAUAAAGUAAAUCUAACCACACGAUUGUGGCGAGUGGUAAAGCGAGGUUACAAAGGUACCCCGAGUUCAAAAUUCACCAUUUCAAGAUAUGUCUACUUGCGUGCUUAGGUGAUAUAUAUGGAUCAUGUGCUAGUUCUGUGUAUAUUAGUUCUUAAGCUAUUUCAGGAUCAUCUGCUAGUUCAGUGUAUAUUAGUUUCCUUUCGAUUGUACUUCACAUGUUCAACGACGCUACAUUCAGAGUGUAAUUCGUAGUGAUGAAAAUAGCAAAGCUCAUUGAUUAUUAUCUCUUUGGUUCAUAGCAUCCUUAUUUUUCAUUUUGAUCCCUGAUAAACCAACUUGUUAAAAGAUCGGUUCAGUGUAAUCAGGAUCCGGUUUGCUUGAUAGAGUAUAGUUUUUGCUUAUAAAAAUGAUAGAUUGUAUUGACUUUCUUCCCAACUAACUCUACCUAUUUUCCUACUAAACUUCACCAGUAAUUUGAUUCUGGUCUUGUUCCUACGAUCCACACGUGCACGUGAGCUUUAAAACAAUUUGAUUAUGACUUACCUAGGAUUUAAUCGAUUAGUUGAUUGGAGUUUAAGCUAUAUUUCCUAUCAAUCCUUAAAAACAACCUAUAAACAGUUUUGCAAGCAAUCCCAUGUACAACAUAUCACCUUUUUCAGGUUUUUCACUUUAUUCCAUCUCUUAUUUAUAAUUCACAAUAAUUUUGAAUUUUCUUAGGUUUUUAGGAUGUGGGACAUAUGUUGAAAACAGAAAACCUGAUGAAUACAAAUUUCAUGUUUAUAUUAAUUUUUUAAAAAUAUAACUAUAUUUGUACUAAUCGCUGUAGACAAGAGAUAAAGUAAUAAGUGAUGUGCUUUGAGACCAAACAUCUGACCAAAUAAGAUGCGACGAAGUGUCAAAUUAUUUUUGUUAUAAAGUUUAGAAAGCCGCUGAUAUAUCAAUCAGUUAGCGAAUUAAUUAACUAAGACACAGAGUCGUUUUAGGGUUUCUACGUUGGUCCUAUUUAAUCAAAAGAAACAUUUGGUUAGGUCUGAAAGGUUAACGAAACAUAUCAAUAGAUACUUUAUUAUUUAUUAUACGUGACCUGCAAUUAAACCACAGGUCCCCAACAUCUUUACCAAACUCUCCCCGUCUUCACCAGUCUUCAAUCUUUUAAAAAAUUUAUGAUAUUCUCGAAAGCUUAAAGCAUGUUAGUAUCUUGUAACAGCCAUUAGCUAUACCAAAGCAAUACGGUUGAAAUCUAUCAAUCAAGACUGAUUUCAACAAAUCCUGGAAUAACAAAAUAAAAAAUUGAUUUUUGGUGAUGUAAGAUUAAUGUUAAGUUGAGAAUUUUAGAAUUAUUUCCACAUGAGAUAUCGACGAUUUUUUCUUUCAUAAUUAUCACUUCAUAAAAGGUGAUAAGAAACACCUAAACGUAGGAAAAGAAACACUCACACAUUUAAGUUUUUCUUAUCACCUUUUACGACAUGUUUCAGCCUUUUACAAAUUAUAAACGUAGAAUCAAAACAACAAAACAUUAUUUUAUUUUAUUUUGCUACAAUGACAUAAAACAAACAACAACAAAAUAUUUCUGCGUUUAACUGUAUUUUCAAAAUGAAAGUAUUUUCAAUAUACAAUUCAAUCUGCACCGUAAAUAUAUAUCUGUUGUGCCAUGUGUUUGUACGUAGGACUUCCCAUUUUGAAUCAUGUUCUAGAAGUUAUCAAUAUAUUUCAAGCUACUGGCUAUAAUUUUUUUUUGCUAUAAAAUAUUACAUACAUAUAUACGGUUAUGUAAUUAAUAUAUAUGUGUGUGUGUAGCUUGCAGAAGAGUAUGCAAACGUAGAUGAAGUAUUGGUGGCUGAAGUAGAGGGCUUAGGUUAGAAAAACAAAUAUUUGUAAGAAAAAAAAAAUAUUUGUAAGAGUAGACGUUGAACGUUUAACGAAAAUCACGCCACCAAGCAAUCUCUCCUCUCUUUGUGUAAUUUCUUUUAUUCUUUAUUAUUUUCAACUUCAAAUAUUCCACAACAGAAAUCGAUAAUGGAAAAUGUUAUAAGAGAACCAGUGGUGGUAGUCCAAUGGCGCUUGAGGGAAUAAACCCAAUACGGCAAACCCUGGUUCGAAUCCCGCUGACCACAUGGAUAUGAGCUAUUGCUUUCGGCUCAUUUGAAUGUCCAAGAGAGGGUCUAUCCGUGGGCUGUACCUCCACCCGGGGGUUAGGUCUGUGUCUUUAAUAAACCCGAGUUUAACCAUUUUAAGUUACAAAAAUAAAUGUUAUAAGAAAUAAAAAUAAAAAAAAUAUAUGGGAUUUUUGUAAAAAUGUAGAUUACUUAAAAGGAGUGUCUUUGGUUAGGGAAGACGUUGGCAUCAAUCGCCGGUGAAAAUGUCCCUCCAAACUCUCCAUCAGACCAUCACUCUCUAACGAAUCUUAUAAUAUUAAUUUAUUUCAUUUCUCCAUUAUAAAUAUAUACAUUUAUAUGUAUGGUGCUGUUGGUCUUCAGCUUUCUUCUUGUUCGUACAUACCCAUCUUCCCUCACCUACAUCAAACCUAGGGUUUCUUAUAUAUAUCAGCAUACAUAAUAGACAUCUAUAUAUAUGUAUUUGUGAUUAACCAUAAGAUCAGAGAGACAGGAAAAGGAGAAGAAAUAAAGAAUGAUGUGCAGCCGAGGCCAUUGGAGACCUGCAGAAGAUGAGAAGCUAAAAGAACUUGUCCAACAAUUUGGUCCUCAUAAUUGGAACGCCAUAGCUCAAAAGCUCACUGGUCGAUCUGGUAAGAAAAAGAACUCAGAAAUCAUUUAUUUCAGUUUCUUAAGUUAACAUAAGGGUUUAGUAUAAUAAAUACCAUGUUCAUGUGGUUUAGUUUUGAUUUCUUUUUUUUUCAUUUCUCAGGUAAGAGUUGUAGAUUGAGAUGGUUUAAUCAACUGGAUCCUAGAAUUAACCGAAACCCUUUUACGGAGGAAGAAGAAGAGAGGCUUUUAGCGUCUCAUCGGAUCCAUGGGAACAGAUGGUCUGUGAUCGCAAGGUUUUUCCCCGGUCGAACUGAUAACGCUGUUAAAAACCAUUGGCACGUUAUUAUGGCUCGUCGUGGUCGAGAACGGUCCAAGAUGCGUCCACGUAGCCUUGGCCAUGAUGGCACGGCGGCUGGGCCUGGGAUGAUGGGAUAUAAGGACUGUGACAAGAAGAGAAAAUUGGCAACCACAACAGCUAUCAAUUAUCCUUAUAGUUUCUCUCAUAUCAAUCAUUUUCAAAUCCUCAAAGAGUUCUUGACGGGAAAGAUCGGGUUUUGCAAUAAUACCACUCCAAUCAAUGACGGUAACUAAAUCAAUAUGGCUUAAAUAAAUUCGUGUGUUUAUGUAGAAUUGUAGAUAGAUAGAUGCAUAAACAAAAACAUGUAUACGGUCAUUGAAAAGAAUCGCAAGUCUUGGGAUAGCUUUAUCAUAGGACAGUUCUAUGAGGAAGCUCCUGCCCGGGCCAAAAUCCAUGCCAUCGUUAACGGUAUGUGGAGCAAACACCGCCGUGACAUAGCAGUCUCCAAGAUGGAUGGUAAUGCUUUUCUAUUUCGGGUGCCCUGUCCAAAUGCUCGAAGACGCAUCCUAAGCCAAUGUCUAUGGCAAGUAGAAGGACAGACAUCGUUUGUCGCAAAAUGGUCUCCUGGAUUAAAACCUGAGAAACCUUCGCUUGCCACUGUUCCAGUCUGGCUCGAUUUCACUGGAGUUCCGCUUCAGUUCUUCAAUGAAGAUGCUUUGAAAGAGAUUGCCGGCCUUGUUGGGCAUCCGCUCUGUCUGCACCCAACAACAUCAAACCUCACAAACAUCGAGGUUGCAGGAGUUUACACAGUAAUUGAUCCGAGAAAACCCCUCCCUGAAGCGGUCAAUGCGCAGUUUGAAACGGGUGAGAUUACUCGUAUCACAGUUUCAAGCCCAUGGCUUCCGUCUCUUUGUAGCCACUGUAAGAAGGUCGGCCAUACCAUCUCAAGAUGCUCUUCGGCACCUCCGACCUGUGCCACAUGUCGUUCUGUCAAGCAUAACACCGACGCUUGCCCAUGAAACAUGAAUCAUCAUAGGCAGGGGAAGGAACCAAUUGCUAGUCAAUAUCCCAUUGUUCCAAACCCAGCAGCCUCUCGUUACAAAAAUAAUCCUGGCCCCAGAGCCAAUGGCCCUGCUCCCUCCUCCCACUCUAAGAAAGGCAACUCUUUAUGGAUCAGGGCAGACCCUUCACCACUAGAAGAUAAUGGGAAACAGCAUGCCUCUCGUUCUAUACCUCUACAUUCAGCUGGUGUUCCUCGACAUGAUGUGGGGCUAAAGGACUUCUGUGUUGACCUAAGAUCCAAUAUGUUUACCUCAGGGUCAAAAGCUCCUUCUACUGCCUCGUCUACAUCUCAGUCGGAUUCAGAGGACCUCUCCUAUGAUGACGAUAACCCUGACAUUGAGGGAGAUAAGUACAUCGAGGUUAUUUCUAAGUGCAAGAAGAAGCUUUCCAGAGCUUUAGCAAGGGCUAGAGCCGGCCCUCUAAACCUCUAAUUUUUCUCCUCUUAUGGAUAUUUUUUGUUGGAACAUUAGAGGUUUCAACUAUAAAUUAAAGCAACGCAGAUUUAGGAAAUGGAUGCGGAGUUAUAAUCCCAUUUUUGGUGGUCUCGUUGAGACGCACGUCAGCAAUGUGAAGGCUUCGUCUUUAAUAAGCAAAGCUUUCCCCGUCUGGAAAUAUGAAUGCAACUAUGAAUUCUCGGAUUUAGGAAAAAUAUGGCUCCUGUGGAAACCGUCUGUUCAAGUCAAGGUUCUACAUAAGUCGCUUCAGUCUAUCAUGUGCCUAGUCAGGCUUCCUUUUAUUACUUCAGAGUUUGCGGUCUCUCUCAUUUAUGGUUCAAAUCACAAGAAGGUCAUGAGAGAGCUAUGGUCUGAACUGGUUUUCUUAUCCUCCUCAUCUCAGAUCUCAGGCAUUCCUUGGAUCGUGCUGGGGGACUUCAACCAGGUCUUAUAUUCUUCUGAGCACUCUUCUAUUGAUGAGUUCUUCUCUUCCCGGGGUAUGCGUGAUUUUCAACAAUGUGUCACCACAACCUCUCUCUCGGACCUUCCCUACUGUGGCAACUCCUACACUUGGACUAACAAUCAAGGUUCCACCAUCAUCUCAAAGAAAUUGGAUAGGAUUUUGGUCAAUGAUGAGUGGUUGCGGGCUUUUCCAAACUCGUUAGGUGUCAUUGGAGAGUGUGGGAUCUCUGAUCACUCCCCUUGUUGUGUGUAUAUGGAUUAUCUGAGACCAAAGCAGAAGCGGCCAUUCAAAUUCUUUACCAUGCUUAAUGACCACCCGGACUUUGCGGUUCUUAUAAAGGAGUGUUGGAUGUCUCUUCAGUUUGAUGGUACUAUGAUGCUCAGAGUCUCAAAGAAACUGAAAACGCUUAAGAGCAUUAUUCGUACCUUCAGCAAGAGUAACUAUUCAUGGAUUGAGUUAAGAGUGCAGGAAGCUUUUGAUCAUCUACUUUCUUGCCCGCAGAUUCUACUAAACGAUCCCACACCUGAAAUAGCUGAGGUUGAAAGGUUGGCUCACCGCAAAUGGUCUGUUCUGGUUAGGGCGGAAGACUCUUUUCUCCACCAACGCUCUAGAGUUAACUGGCUGGAUAAAGGUGACUGCGGUUCUGCUUUCUUUCAUCGCUCUAUUCAUACUCGGCAAGCACAAAACCAGAUUCUCUUCUUGCUGGAUGAUACCGACAUGAUUCUUGACACCAAAGAAGCUAUCAUGGACCAUGCAGUAGUAUUUUAUCAAAAUCUACUUGGUGGAGUCGUCUACCCUUCGGUUGUAUCUACUGAGGAUAUUCAGCAUUUACUCUGCUACAGCUGCCCGGACACUAUCUCCGAAUUACUUGCAGCGCCCUUCAGUAGACUAGACAUUCAAACGGCUUUCUUCACUCUCCCGAAGAGUAAGUCUCCAGGGCCAGACGGUUACCCGACAGAAUUUGUCACAUCUCAUUGGAAGACUGAUAUGAUUGAUGCUGUGUCUGAAUUCUUUCACUCGGGUAAGCUACUGCAACAAUGGAACGUAACAAUCCUUACCUUAAUACCAAAAAAGCAGAAUGCAGAAAGGAUAGCGGACUUCAGGCCAAUCUCUUGCUGCAACACAGUCUACAAGGUCAUAGCUAAGCUUCUUGCAAACCGGCAAAAACAAGUUUUACCCGAGGUGAUUUCCAACACCCAAUCUGCUUUUAUUCCGGGUAGGCUUCUAGUAGAGAAUGUUUUGAUGGCGACAGAGCUUGUGAAUGGUUACAACUGGAAGAGCAUAUCAAAAAGAUCAAUGCUAAAAGUAGAUCUCAAGAAAGCCUUUGACUCUUUAAAUUGGAGCUUCAUCAUCUCUAUUCUCAAGGCUCUCUCCUUCCCUGAUUUCUUCAUCAACCUUGUAUCUCAGUGUAUCACUACUACCCGGUUCUCUGUGGCUAUAAAUGGUGAAUUAGGAGGGUAUUUAAAGGCACGAAGGGGCUGAGGCAAGGAGACUCUCUUUCUCCCUAUUUGUUUGUUUUGGCGAUGGAAGUUCUUGCUCAGAUUCUCAAUAAGGAUUUUCGUGAUGGCAUGAUAGGUUACCACCCUUCAGCAGCUUCCCCACCCAUUACCCACCUUGCUUUUGCUGAUGAUAUUAUGAUCUUCUUCGACGGUGAGAAGAACUCUCUUCAGAAUAUCUCGGCAGCGCUUGAUACGUUUGCAUCUUGGUCAGGUCUUACUAUGAAUCGCGAUAAAAUAGAACUCUUCGUGGCAGGAAUGAGCCAAUCUGAAUCCUUUGAUCUCGCUGGCUUGGGUUUCUCUCUUGGAUCGUUACCUGUCAGAUACCUUGGGCUUCCUCUAAUGCAUAGGAAAUUGCUAAUUUCAGACUACAUGCCGCUACUAAAUCAACUCAAGACCCGGUUCUCAUCCUGGUCCUCUAGGGCGCUCUCUUUUGCUGGCAGGAAACAGCUUCUUUCUUCAGUCAUCUUUGGAAAGAUAAACUUCUGGUUCUCAACGUUCAUCCUUCCAAAGGGUUGUGUCAAAUCGAUUGAGUCUCUAUGCUCAAGGUUCCUCUGGAAUGGAAACAUAACAAGCCGUGCAGCAGCAAAGGUCUCUUGGUCAUGUGUUUGUAUGCCUAAAGACGAGGGAGGAUUGGGACUUCGAGAUCUCACUACAUGGAACAAAAAUCUAUGCCUAAAACUUAUCUGGCUUCUUUUCUCUGAGAACGAGUCCCUCUGGGCAUCAUGGAUCAAGACUCACCGUAUCAUAGAUGCCUCGUUCUGGUCCAUUGAUGAAUCCAAACAGUCCUCAUGGACCUGGAAAUCUUUACUGAAGCUAAGACCCAUUGCUCAACAGUUCUUGCGAUGCGAAGUUGGUGAUGGUAAUAUGGCAAGUUUCUGGUUUGAUCAUUGGUCGCCGUUAGGUCCUCUCGUCAAACUCUUCGGAAACUCUAGGCCUCGUCAGCUAGGUGUACCGCUGAAUGCAAAAGUUUCUACAUGAUGUACUGAUAUUGGCUGGUCUUUGAGACCUGCAAGGUCCCCCGCAGCAGAACAAGUCCACAUCAUGCUUUGCUUUGUCUCUCUGCCAUCACACUCAAACUCUCCCGAUAAAAAUCUCUAGCAUGUGAUAGAUCAAUCCCUACCGACUUACUCUGCAAAGCUCUCCUGGGAGAUUCUGAGGCAGCACAGACAAAAACAAGGUUGGGCAAAGAAAGUAUUGUUUAAAGGACAUGUUCCAAGCCCUGCUUUUCUCAUGUGGGUCGCCCACCUUAACCGACUUCCUACUCGGGUUCGAAUUGCCAACUGGGGAAUGUAAGUUGUCAAAUCUUGCUGCAUCUGCAACCACUAUGACGAGUCGCGUGAUCAUCUAUUCCUGAGAUGUGAUUUCAGUGAACAUUUAUGGCUCCUCAUCACAAAGCACCUUGGAUAUAGGCCCUUUCGCUUCCAUACAUGGACUGCCUUGAUUGAGUGGCUAGAUAUCAGCGACAGCUACUGCCCUCCAACCCUGAAAUGCUUAGUGAUACAAGCCACUGUUUACAAUGUGUGGGCUGAAAGGAAUAGAAGGUUACACUCGUAGGUGUCUUCCACUCCUCAAGUCAUCUUCAAAGCGAUCGACAGAUUGAUCAGAAACACAAUUCAUGCAAGGAAAGGUAGGAAGAACUUCAGGAACAUGAUGCACCUCUGGUUGAGGCACGCAUAGUUAGUCGUUGGUAGCUGCUCAUUGUGACUCCAACCUAUAAAUCUUUUGUUUUUUUUAUUCUUUUUUGGUUUCAAAAGACUUCUCUGCUUAACUCUCUAUUUUCGUUUUGUAAAACCAGCUUCAUUUUAAUGAAAUUCACAUACUUAUCAAAAAAAAAAAAAAACAUGUAUACGAGCUCAUAACUAUUAGAUAUGUAUGUUUCGUCUUUUUAAAAGGUGUAAUUAGUUGUGCAUUCGUGUAGAACCUGAUGUGUUUUUAAUUAUCUUUUUUGAGUUUAUAUGGAUUACACCAAAAAAAAAAUUGAUUUGUUUUGUUUAUUAAAUUUGUAGAAAAUCUCGAAAUAGUCUUUGAAACGAACAUAAUCAUCUUCAUAUGUAUACACGCGCUUGUGCGUUUACGAUUAUAUAAUUGUAAAACUUCUAAAAACUAACUCCGUGGACAUAUAUCAAUCAUUUGGUCAGGAGCAAUAGACCAGACUAAAAGACCAAUGGAGUUCUACAAUUUUCUCCAGGUUAAGACGGAUUCGAAGAAACCUGAAGUGAUAGACCAUUCAAGAAAAGACGAAGAAGAAGAAGAUGUUGAAAAUUGUGUUCCAUUUUUCGACUUUUUAUCUGUUGGAAACUCUGCCUCUCAUCAGGGUUUAUGUUAAUUAGUUCGUACCACAUGUACUAUAUUCAAGGUGGAUCAUAUGUUAAUGACAUGUAGAACUUACUAAUCAGUUAGAGCUCUUGUUUGAGCCAAAUGUGAAGAUUAGACAUCCCAACCUUCUUCUUAUAUAUCAAACCAAAAGAUUGUAUUUUAUAUAGGUUUAGUUUGCCAUAUUUAUUCUAAGAAUGUUCUAGUCCAGAUAAACAUACUCGAUCCAUAACUUUUUUCAAAGAUAAUUAAAUCAAACCAGUCGACAACAUUCUUGAGCAGAAACUUAACUGAUUUGGAAAAGUUAUUCAAGUUUAAAGAAAUGUCGUGAAACCAGACAUAAUCUGAACCAAUACCAAUCUGGUCUUGUUUUAAUUUAAACUCAUUUUGGGAUAUGUCUUGUCUAAGCCAGAACCAAUACUAUACCAAAUGAAUUUCCUUAAGUAAUGCACUUAUAAUUUCCUAGGCAGACUGUAUUUGACUCGUAUAACUUGUGACGAUGAAGCUCUAAUCUUUUUGGUAGCUGGAUGUAAAAAAAAAAAAAGAACAUUUACAAGGUUUAGUUUAGUUUCUUUAUUAGUGAAGUACAAUAAGUUGAUAACAGAAGACGAAAUCGAGGUUGGAGUAUAGAUAUGAUUAAGUUGGGAGUAGUUAUCAGCCACCAAGAAAUAUAAUUCAAAGUAGCAAAUCUACCUUUGUCUUAAGAAAACACAAAUAAAUAAUUCGUUUUAUUUAGGUGGAGAUGAAGAACACACAUCUUGACACGACUUAUAAUACUUCUCGUUUCCAAAUAGAUAAAUUUAUAUUAAAUUAAUCAGAUCCUUUUUCAUAUUGUUUUUUCUUCUCUUAAAUUGAUGUCAUUAUGGUUGCUAGGAUUUCCUGGUUGAGUUCAAUAUGUAUGUCACCUUUUGUUUAAGACAAUACAAAAAGUCAAACCCAAAAAAGAUAAGUAAUAACUGUAUAUACAUAUUUUACUAUGAAAGAUAAUUAAGCAAAACGUUGAUUAUUGUACAAAUAUGUUGAAAUCAAUCAUAUUUGGAUAAGAUUAAGAGUUAAGACACUCAAGAUACAUUUCCGAUUAUAUGUAUAUUAUCUCAUUCUAGAAUAAAAUUUUUAAGUGCGCAUAAUGUCUUGGACUAUGUCAUAACUUUAUAAAAAAAAUUCUUUUAUUGUAAAAAAAGAUUCUUAACUCUUGCGGUGGAUGUAAAAGAAAAAAACUCUUGUUGGUGAAAAGUGAAAGGUGAACAUUUUGAGAUAUCAUGAAAAAUCAUCUUCAAUCCAUUGUUUUAAAAACUACUAUAUUUUUUACUUAAUAAUAUUAUAUUUUCAUUAUUAAUAAGUUUCAAGUUUGUAAAUUUAACAAAUGAUAAGCAAAUUACCUAAAAAUAUGAAAACACCAUCUGUUGUGAAACAACAAAAAUCACUUAAAAUAUUAUCUAUCUUGAACCAGAGAGAGUAAUAUUAUUGAGAUCUCGGGUUUUGUUUUGGACCGAAUGUAUUUUGUAUUAGACGAGUCUGUUUCUACCAAAUUAGCCUGCAUGUUUAAUAUAAGAAUAUAAGAAGCUAACAAAAAAAAAACUGUAUUUAAAAUAUGUUAAAGCUUUCUUUUUCUUCUAAACGGAUCUUCUAACAGUCGACUCAACAAACAUUCCCAUAACCCUUUUCACUUACUAAAGAAACAAACAGAAGAUGAGAAAAAAAAGAAGAAGAAACAAACAGAAUUCAAAACCAUACUGAGACAAGAGAACAUAUACUUGUAGAAGAAACUUUUAUUACAGACGGAACACAAUGGAACUGCAACCAAGUGCAGAAGACAGAGAUAAGUCCACAAUAAAUAAUCACGCAUUCACUCUACAGAGAACAACAUGUUUAUUUAUAUGAUAACAACAGAUGAAAUAGAGCAAAGGGAUACAGAGAGUAGUCAGCGACCAAGUUGAGCGCUAGAAAAGGACGUUGUUGCUACUCCACCGGAGAUUGAUGACACAUGAUAAGUAGCAAUAGGCAUUUUGUGUGGCAGAUUAGGCAAUGGUGCCUCAAAAUUCAACACCUGGAUCGCCUGCUUUAUCGAAGGCCUAGAGUUUAUAUCAGGGUGAGCACACCACAACCCUACAAUCAUAAGGCACUCUGCUUGUUUCAUAUCAAAAUCUUUACCCAUUUGAUGAUCAAUGGCUGAGAUAAGUUCUCCUCUUCCGUACUGAUCCCAUACCCUCUCUACAAGACUUGCUUCAGGCUCAACUUUUCCUUGUCUCGGCUCCACUGACUUUUUUCCUGUAACAAUCUCCACCAAUACAAUUCCAAAACUAUAGACGUCAGAUUCUUUGCUUGCCCUUCCGGUGCUUAUGUAUUCAGGAGCCAUGUAACCAAAAGUUCCAGCCAAUCCUGUAGUCUGGGGACCUAGUUCGUGAUCCAUCAACCUAGCCAACCCAAAGUCACCUAGCUUGGCAUUAAAGUUUGAGUCGAGCAUUAUAUUACUUGCCUUAAUGUCCCUGUGGACAAUGCAUUGCUCCCACUCCUCGUGAAGGUAAAGCAACGCAGAGGCUACACCUAGAGAUAUCUUGCACCUAACAGCCCAUCUGAGAUGAGGUUUCUUACCGAAUAGGUGUGAGUCAAGGCUACCAUUUGGCAUGAACUCAUAUACAAGGAGAAGCUCUUGUUUCUCAUGACACCAACCAAUGAGUAGAACAAGGUUUCGAUGUCUCAAGCUGCUGAUGAUCUUAACCUCCGUGAUGAACUCUUUCUUUCCCUGUUUAGAAGCACCGGAAAACUUCUUCACAGCGACCAUUGUAUCCAGCUCAUUUAAGUAUCCUUUAUAAACUGCUCCAAACCCUCCUUCACCCAACUUUCUUUCAUAUAGGAAGUUGCUUGUAGCAGAAGCAAGAUCUUUAUAAGAAAACCUUCUUGGUCCUGCUCCUCUUUCAAGAUCUUCGUGUAGCGAUGUCAAGUUUUCUGUCUUCCCUGCUCUCUCCUUUCUUUGCUUCCUCUUCCGGAACAAUGCAAACGCAGCAGCAACCAAAGAGGUCAACAGGACAAACCCAGCAAGAGAAACACCAACAAUGAUGCCUGUCAUAUUUUGAGUUCUCUCUCUAGGUUCUGCUGCAUCCAAGGUUGAGUUGAACUCCCAAGACAAGAUCCUAUGUGCUUCCAUUUUUGCUCCUGUAGACCCCGAAAAGCCAAUGGUAACUUCCGCAGGAAGCACCUUGGCAAGGUCAAUGAUGUAGGAAAGGCUUGAAGGAUGAGAUGUUCCUUCAUAACUCCAAGCGAUGCUCAAGUUUUUAGAAGUAGAAUCAUACGUGAUCCGUGCAUGGCAUGUUUCUUGGCUGUGCAAGCUUGCGUUCCAAGAAGUGUAGUUAGAGGAAGCAAGCGAGUUAUUGUUGAUCCCAACAUGAGACGUAAUGUCAAAAGGAUCCCAUUGGUUAUUAUAGAAAGUAUCAAAUUCGAUAUGCACGAGCGGAAACCGAGAUGAGUAGCCGUUGGUUUCGUUAAAGAGACCUAAGAAACCACCAGCUGAAUUGGGAAAGAUAUGGAUGCCUUGUGGGGCAAGAAAGAAAGCAAACCCAUGGCCAAACUCUGUUAAGUUACGCUUACGCGUAUCAAUCUUGAAGGUGAAACUUGUUGUGAAGUCGGUAGCCCUCUCUGUUUUAGGAUCCCAAAUAGCAACUUUUUUAGCAUAAGUAGCCCAACCAACACGACAAGUAUAAUCAGCACUGUUCAGUUCGAUGGCGCCAUUUGGUGUAGCGUCUCCUUGGUAAGUUAUGCUUGGAUCACCUUGUAUGAAACGAGAGAUUUUAAAGUGGAGUGAGGUAGCAAAAGGGAGAACAAGAAGGAAGGAAAAGAACAAGACUGAGUUUUUCAUUGUGCAGGUAGUAAGGUCUGAAACCCGUUAUGCCAUUACUUAUAAAUUUUUUUUUGUCGAUUAGGGACCAUCAAGUCUCCGGUACAAAUGUAAUUAAAGAAACGGCAGGGGACCAUCUUUGUGAAACAAAUCAGAUUACAUAUAUGUAAUUAACAGAACUCAAAAAAAAAAUUUAAAAGAACUCGAGAGAAGAGCAAAUAUAAACUAUUUUUAUAAGUUAUAUUUAUUUUUUUAUCUAUUUUUAUUUAAAUUUUUAGAUUUUGUUAAAUUACACUCUAAAAAUAAUUUUUAUUUAUUAUAUAUCAUAUAUAUGAUUAUGUAUAAUAUCUUACUAUGUAUUUAUAUUUAAAUGUAUAAAUUUUAUUUUUUAUUUUGUUAAAAUAUUAAAAUAAAAAUUUACUUAUUUAUUAACUUAAUAAAAUAUGAAUUUAAGUGAUAUAAGAUAAUUUAUUAACUAGUUCAUUAAAUCGACUAAUAGUCAUUCAACAAACAUAUUUUAUGGUGAUCAUAUAUGACUAACAGUCGUCCAACAAAGCUAUACAGGUUUAGUUUGCUAUAUUUGUUCUACGAAUGUUUAGUCCAUAUAAAUAGGCCUGAAACUUUUAUCCGAGAUCCGGAUUCGAUCCGUGAUCCGAUCCGAAAAUCCGGAUAUCCGGAGAGGCCGAAUCCGGAUCCGGAUAGUAAAAUGUUGGAUCCGUCAAAGCCGAAUCCGGAUCCGGAUAUCUUGAUUUUUUAGUCCGGAUAUCCGGAUCCGUAAAUUUUAUUAAUAAGUAUUUCAAAAAUAGUAAUAUCUAUAUAUAAAAACUAAUUUUAUUUAAUAUAUUUUAGGAUCCGGAUAUCUUAAAAUUGCCCGGAUACCCGAUCCGUUCCAGGUAUACAUAUAAACAUACUCGAUAAAUUGUUUAUUUUAUUUUUAUUUUUUUAAAAAAAAUCAAAUCAAACCAGUCGGCAACAUUCUUGAGCAGAAACUUAACUGAUUUGGAAAACACAUUCAAGUUUUAAAGAUAUGUCGUGAAACCAAACAUAAUCUGAACCAAAACAAAUAACAUACCAAUCUGGUCUUGUUUUAAUUUAAACUCGUUUUAGCUAUGUCUUGUCUAAGCCAAAACCAAUACUAUACCAAAUGAAUUUCCUUAAUUAAUGCACUUAUAAUUACCUAGGGAGACUGUAUUAGACUCGUAUAAGUUGUGACGAUGAUGCUCUAAUCUUUUUGGUAAUUAGAUGUGAAAAUGAACUUUUACAAGGUUUGGUUUAGUUUCAUUCAUGAUUUAUUGUGAAUUUGUAAGUUAAUAACGGAAUAUGAAAUCGAGGUUAGAGUGAGAUAUGAUUAAUGUCCUGGUUUCUUCGUUACUAUCCGCAAACGCAACUUUUACGGUUAUUAGUGGUUGUUGGUGUGUUGCAACAAUCACAAAAAGCUACAAAUCGCUUCAAACUUCUUAAUUUCAAAGGCUUGUUCCCGCUAGCGUAUGCGGUUGCGGACGAUUACGGGUGGAUAGAUAAAUAUAAAAAUAUAUUUAAAAAUAUUUUAAAUUUUAAUUUCAAAUUUCAAAUUAAAAUACUAUAAAUAAGUAAGUAUAUAUAUAAUUUAAAUUUAAAUUCAAUAAUAGUAUCAUAAUUUAUUUUAUAAGACUUUAAACCAAAAGUAUUCACUAUAAUUUUAAACAUUAAUAUAUAUAUAUACAUACAUAAAACGAAACAAAAUAAAUUUAUUCUUAUUGACAUUAUAACUUUCAUUUAAACUACAAAAAAUAAAUAAAUAAACUAAUAUUUUUAUAAAAUAUAUUUUAUUAAUAAUUAUUAUAUUUAUCAUAAUAGUAUGUUUAAGAUAUUUUUAUAAUGUUAUAAUGAAUUAAUAUUGGUGAUUUAUUAUUAAACCGUUGCAAUAUCUCAUUAUCAAUCAGUAACAAAUAUAUUUUAAACGCACCAAUUUUUAACGGCUAUACAAGUUAUACAAAUCACUUAUUAAUACUUAAAACCAUAAUCAUCUACUCCACAAACUUCUGUAACCCAAAUGGUAUCCGCUGCGUUUCGACUCGUAAGUUCCUAAGUGGGAGUAGUCAUCAGCAACCAAGAAAUAUAAUCUAAACUAGCAAAUCUACCUCUUUCUUAAGAAAACACGAAUAUAAUAAUUCAUUUUAUUUAGGUGGAGAUGAAGAACACACAUCUUGACACGAACUACUCCCGACUGAUAUUAAAUAAAUCCAACCCUUUUUCAUUUUGUUUUUUCCUCUGAAAUUGAUGUAACUAUGGUUGCUACUUGCUAUGAACCUAUGAGAUCGUCGUUGAGUUGAAUAUGUAUGUCACCUUUGUUUAAGACAAUACGAAAAGACAACCCAAAACGAUAAUUAAGCAAAACGUUGAUUAUUGUACGAAUAUGUUGAAAUUGUUGUGAACGAAGAGGAGAACUUGUGUUAAUAUUACUGUCGACCAGAAGGUCCAUAUAUAUACAAGGUAUUAGACCGUCAUAAGGAUAAAGAUAAACACUAUGUCACAGAUAUACAUGGAAUAUAUACUAGAUAAACACAUAGUCUCUGGUUGUCUUUAUCAUGUCCCGGAUUGGGCCUGCAGUACGGGCUGGUCCAUGGUCGAUCAUCAUUUGGUUUUUAACACUCCCCCUUGAUCGACACAUCCGGUACAGGUUCGUUGCAUGCUUAAUGUUGCUUCAUUAAAACCUCUCCUGAAAAACUCCAAAACCAAUGUGGCAAAAUGGGAGACCAAGGACAGGAAAAAGAGUACAACACAUGAACUCCUCCAGAUGAAUGCAUCACUGUAGUAGACGCAUUCCCAUCUGGUAUCCGAGUCUUCUUGAACGUUGAAGUUGCCUAUGACUUGGUGAAGAUGAUCAGCUGGAUUCUCCUUGAAUGAAUUUGUAAGUCUUGGACGUUGGUAUGUCUUUUGGAACUCCAUUAAGAUGUGGUCAGGAUGUACAUCUUUGCUGCAGAUCACUCCAUGUCUUGGUUGAACUGAUGGUGCUUCAAACGGUGCUCGGAUGGACUUUAUAAUCUGCAAUAAAACUUUACUUGCAGGUCCUUUUUCAUGUCCCACGGAUUCUCUUUGGUUAUAUGGCUUUCCCAAAAUGUGGACAUUCAAUAUAUAUUGAGUCAUAGACCCAGAACACAUACGAACAACUUUACUUCAUAUAUUUCGUUCAUUCGGACUUAUAUCUCUUCGUAUGUGCCAAUAGCUUUAUCCAUUGUAACCAAUCAUUCUUUAUUUUCUUUUGUUGAUCCAUGUUGAGCUAUAGACCUUGUCUAUAUUCGUUCAUAAUCAUGAGUGUCUAAGGUCAUACCAUCAAUAAUUAUUUGCUGCAAUGAAACUCAUCACACAAUGAAUUCGCAGUCAUACACUCAUGUCCUUUGUACAUGGUUAUCGAUCUUUUCUUGCUUUAGCAAUGCUUAUAAUCAUUAAGCCACGACCAAACAUCCUUCUGGUCACUAUCAUGGUUUAUGGUUCUCACUUAGGCGUGCUGACUUAAUCAUACACACACACACGGCUAUGAUUUAUCUACAGACUUUCCAUAUGUAAAACAUAGCCUGUUUAAUCAAUCGAUAACUUGUAUCAUUGAACCUUUGAACCAUUAAACUUUUUUCUCUCAGUUGGUCUUUAUUAUGAUCACAAGGAAUUAUAAUAUUUUCUGUAUGGACUGACUGCACUAAGUAAAUACUUAGUCUUUCAUAUUACUUACAGCUGUUGUAUAUUACAAUCCAUAAACAACUUAGGAACAAAGCUUGUUCUAUGAGAAUUUCUUUCUCAUAUUUCUAUGGUACGUUGAUACCUUUAUCCAGUGAUCCAUUUGCUGCUUACUACACCAUUAUUUCUUUAGUAAAUAUCCAGACAAAAUCAAAAUUGAUUUUCUGUAGUAGCAUCCACCAUAUAGGAGCAUAUCUCUUUAUAAAUUGUUCGUUGGUCCUUGUAAGUAUCCUUGUGUAAUCAAGCUAUACUUGAACGUUAUUUAGAAGGAACAUGGACACACUAUACCAUGUGGUCAUGUCCUUUAAUCUCACGGAAUUUCUUAUCUCACAAGAUCAAUUCACUGGUUUCUUUCUUAGAUGGCUUUUCUGUAUGUACAUGGUUACUACGCCCAUCUGUCUUAUAAUUACUUUGAAUUCUUUGAACACCCCACGUCCCUAUAUAGGUUUUAUGAGUACUCUACGUGGGUUCAUGAUCCUCAGGUUAUAUCCUUCAAAUCCCAAGUACUACAAUCUUUUAUGAGCUCUUAUGUAUGUAAAUACAUCUUUGGUGUUAACACUCUUAUCUUUAGUUUCAUACUGUUCCAGACAUGAUCUAAUUAGAUUUUGAGAUCUUAUUAUCCAAGACCUUUAUACCUUGCAGUUUGGCGUCCCAAACUACAUGGCCUGGUACCUUAGAUGUGUGGUUGCGCAACCUUAUUUCUCUGUCUGAACUGGUUUCUCUUAUGAACUCGGAUUUGUACGAUUCUGAGCACCUUUCAUUACUUUCCAAGGUUCCUUAUUAUUUGGAACUUAUUUGUCUAUCUCUAAUAGACAUUGUAGCAACUUGAUUGUGUCUCUUAGACAUCAAAUUCGUGGUGCUUAAGCUGGUACGACAUAGUCAUUUUUUCUUUUCGGGUCAGUGUGUCUGGCAUAUAUUUCUGCUAGCUUUUAUAUCUUUUGAUCAUAUUCUUUUAGAACGUCUAGAUCAUAAUCUUUGGUCUGAGGAUCUUGCCAAGACAACUAUGGUUGAUACCAUUAUAUUUCUCUUUUACUCUUUACUCUUUAUCAGCAUGAUAACUUUCUCCUUUCAAAGUUGGAUAAUCAGAUUACUAUCUUUUGUAAUCUGUGUUCUUGGCCACUUGAUUAAAUCAUCCAUGUUUGGCACAAGAUACAUUAUAGUUUCGUGGAGGAAGUCUUAUUUAUCUAAUAUAUAUUCUCAAUCCUCAUCUGAGGUUCCAUCUUAUAUGGCAUACAUAUAUGUGGUGGAAUAUUCGUACUUUCUUAAGAUGGUUUGUGUAUAUGUCUGGUUUAUGACCCUUAAUCAUUCAGAGGUGGGAAUGUCUAUGCUUACAUGUAUGGCCUGAUGUAAAUCAAUAUUUAUAUACAUAAUGUCCUUAAGCUUUAGGCUGGACGUGGGUGAUGUACCAUUAGUGAGAGCUUUAAAGCUUUCCAGCCGUGUAUAUUAUGGUUGUAAACCAUGGAAUCCGAAUUUAUGAUAUGAUCAUGGACUGUGAGUUUUAGUCCUCUCUCCCCCUCAUGAACAUACUCAUAAUUUCGUAGUGCUUAGGACAGUGGAGCCUUAAUUAUUUUAGUGAUUUUCCCUUUUGUGUACUUAUAAUACAUAGUGAGAUUUUAUGGGAUCACUUUUGUGCCUUAAUUAAUUUUUCAUCAUGUUUUGGAUCAAGAUGACUAAUCUGGUCAUGCCAUAAGUGUUUAUUUCGUGGUGAACCAUACUGGUUACCAUGGCUUUAUGCCUCUUUCAUACUAAUCCUUAGCAUAGGAUAAAUCAGUAGAAAAUAUGGGUAUAGGCAUUCAUAAUGCUUUUAGGCGAUUUUUCAAAAAUCUGAAAGAAAUCGUAUUUUCUUUGCUCACUGGUUCAAUGUAGAAUCUUUAUAACUCAAUGGGUCUGAAUAAUGUCGUGUCUUUUGCCAUUGUCAGUACCAAUUAAUUGAUUUCAAGUGAUUGUAGGAAGGUAAAAUUGAACCUAUACAAUCAAGAUGAAGUUAAAUCUAUGCGAGAAAUCAAUCUAUCAGUGAACUGACUCAUUAGUCUACACCCAACAAUUGAUUUUAUGUGAUUGCAGGAAGAUAAAGUUAAACCUAUACAAUCAAGGUAAAGUUAAACCAUGCAUGAAAUCAACUAUCAGUGGACUGAUUAUCCUUUUAUUAAUGUUUUAUUUGUUAUUUAAUCAAGAAUCAUCAAGCAAGACCAAGCAAGAUAAUAUAUAAAAACAAAAUCGUUUUUAUUAUUUCAAUAACAUAAAUGAAUAACAAAUAAAUCAAAUCAGAUAUGAAAACAUAAAAUCAGAAUGUCGGAAAAUUAUUCAAUGUAUGAUCCGACCUCAUGGUCCAUGAGUGUCCACUCGGAAUCCUCCUCAGAUCUCUUCUUAUCAAAUGUGGCUUUAUUAGCUUCAGGGAUUUUCAUCUCACUGUCUAGUACUUCAUAAUAUAUCUCCAUGAUGUCAUUAAACCGUCUGAUGUUAUCCAUCCUUUUCUGCUUCUUUUGCUCAAUGUCUAAUAAAUAUGAGAACAUGUCAUAAUAGGUGGUGAAACCUUUGGCCUGAUGUGAUAACAACACUUCCUCUGAAUGGAAUGUGUCAUGAGUUUUGUUUACCAAAUCCUCGUUUGUUACCAAUUCACCACAUAGUCUAAGACUAUAGGUGAUUCUCAUAAGUAUCAGAGUGAUAAUUGUCCACGGAUUCAUAAUCCUGGAACCUUAGAGCUUCCCAUUUUUUCUUGGAUUCGUGCAACAAUGGCUCACAGAAUCUAGAAUUCAAAAAUGACCAGAGAUUAUGAGGAUCAUUAACAUAUCCAAACUCGUCUCUCAGGUCCUCACAGAGAUGGUGUCGCAUAAUCAUUAUGGCUCUGUGUCUUUCACACGCAAGGGUGUCAUUGCCAUACUUGAUGCACUUCCCAAGUCCUCUAGACUUCAAGACGGCUGAAGUGUUUAUAGCCCAAUCAAGAUAAUUAUCUCCAGAGAGAUCAAGGGCUUUGUAAUCUGAGGGUAUGAAACUCGACAUCUGAAAUCAUUAUUCAAAACAGGUCUUAAUCAAGUAAUCUUUUUGAAAUUUUUCAUGCUUCAUAUCAAUGCCACACACGGACCAAAAGAAAAAAAAUAUCUAAAUGAUGCAUUUUCUUAAAACCAUACGGUUUAAGGUGUGGAUCAAUGUAUUUUUCAGAUUUAAGGUCCUCUUAUUUCAAACGCAAGGUUUCAAGGCCUUUAGGGAUUCUAUCUUAGAUGAUCAGGAAAAUGUUCCAUAUUUUCUUCAUCCCAUUGGAUCGGAUCAUUUAGUAUAAUGAUUUUUUUUUUCAGUUCAGAUCAGAUUGCUUGAAAACUAUGAAUGAUCUAUAUCCCUAACAGUCGAGAUUUCAUGUUCAGUAUGCAAUAUUAGUAUGCAAACAAUAUGCAAUCAAGCAAACCAAUUCAAUCAUGAAAUCAGGUUAGGGUUUUCGAAAAAUAGACCAUAUAUUUAUUAAUUUUUUUUUCAAAAAAUAAUCAAAUCAGAAAUUAUUGUGACUUAAAAAAAUAAAUCAGGAAGAUUUGAUUUAUUCAAGCAAUUUAUUAUAUAUUUUUGAUUUAAAAAUAAAUAUAUUUUCUCAGAUAUAUCUCUGAUAUUUCGAUUUUAAAUAUUAAAAAAAUAUUUUUUUCAAUCCUAAUCAAGUUCUAGUCGUUAUCAAUCAUCAGGAAAACAAAUUUCUCAGACAAGAACAGGAGGUAAAACCUCGGAUUAAUUUAUGAAACCAUGAUCAGAUUUUCAAAAAAAAAUUAUGUAACAUGCAGUCCUUAACAGUUCUAGUUGAUUCAGAUCAUAUAAGAACAUUAAACAGGACAAUAAUGAUAAGUUUAAGCAAGUAACAGUCGGUUUCUUUCAACAUAUAGCAGUCAGAAAAAAAAUUGUUUAACUUUCAAUCCUAAACAGUUCUAAUGUGAAACUAUCAUCAGGAAAAGUUUUAAACAAUUUUAAAAUCAGUUUCAGAUUAAGAACAGGUUCAAAACAAGUUCAGGUUCGAGAUUUUAAAGAGUUUAUGGUUUCUGGUUUUAUUUUAUUUGCAGAGACAUGUUGCUAAAUAUAGCUACAUGGCUGCGGAUGGGGAUAUUUAAUACUUUAUGGGUUUUAGAUGAGUUUUCGAUGAUACCUGAAAACUUUUGAUGGGUUGAUCGGUCUAUCAGUUAGAGAUCUUCCUGGUUAGCUGAUGUAUUGCUCGGAAUUAUUGUUUUUGUUGCUGCUUGUUGGAAUAGGAGACUGGUAUAUGGUUGAGAGAGAUUUUGGUUUCUGGAACAAAUUUUCCGCCUGUAUUGUAGCUGAGCGUGAGGGCGCGUCCGAACUCCGAUUGAUGCGGGGUUAGCGGCGUUGGCUUUGUCUCGUCAAGAGCUUUAAUUUGGUAUCUGGCUCGUCGUCUGGAUCCACCGGAGUUGAGCGAUAGAGCUGUUUGAAGUUCGUCGGGAAUUAGGGUUUUUACUGCUCGGAUUUAUUUUUGGUUUUUAGGGUUAGGGUUUAUGAGAGCAACCUCUUGCUGAUAACGUGUUGUGAAUGAAGAGGGGAACUUGUGUUAUUAUUAUUGUCGACCAGAAGGUCCAUAUAUAUACAAUGUAUUAAACCGUCAUAAGGUCAUGUUUAUCCUCACAAGAUAAAGAUAAGGAUAAACACUAUGUUACAGAUAUACAUAGAAUAUAUACUAUAUAAACAUAUAGUCUCUGGUUGUUUUUAUCAUGUUUCGGAUUGGGCCUGCAUUACGGGUUGGUCUAUGGUCGAUCAUCAUUUGGUUUUUAACAGAAAUGGAUAAGAUUAAGGCACCCGAUAUACAGGUUUUAUUAGAUAAAUAGUAUCUCAUCCUAGUAUAAAUUUCAAAAGUGUGUAUAAAGUCGUGGACUAAGUCAUUCAUAACUUUAUAAGUUUUUUCUUUUGUUAUAAAAAAUAAGAAUUUUUAACUCUUGUUGGUGAGUACUGAGUAGUUGAAAAGUGAACAUUUCGAGAUAUCAUGAAAAAGUCAUCUUAGUCCACUUUUAUUUUGUUUAAUCUUAACAUAUAUUUUAGUUACUAAACUUUCAAGUCUGAUUGUAUGUUUAACCAAUGAUAAGCAAGUAUUUAGUAUGUGGUGUACCACACAAAUCAACCAAUGAGCCACAUCUAUAGAAUGCAAUGUUUAAACUAGGACUGGACAUUUUAUCCGUUAAAUUUGAUUCGAUUCGUUAUUCGUUUCGAUUCGGUCCGAAAAUUCCGGAUAUCCGUAAACUUUCGAUGCAAAGUAAAUAAUAAAAAUCAAUAUCCGUUAAAAUCGAAGCAAAUCACAAAUAUUAAAAUUUUGGGAAUCGGAUAUCCGAUCCAAAUGGUAACCGCUGCGUUUCGACCCGNNNNNNNNNNNNNNNNNNNNNNNNNNNNNNNNNNNNNNNNNNNNNNNNNNNNNNNNNNNNNNNNNNNNNNNNNNNNNNNNNNNNNNNNNNNNNNNNNNNNNNNNNNNNNNNNNNNNNNNNNNNNNNNNNNNNNNNNNUUUUUUUUUCAGCAAGAGUUCAACUGGAAUUCCGAUGAGACGCUCUUUAUCUAUCACCACUUCGUCCAUAAAGUUAUGGACAACUAUGGGAAGCAGAUCCACGAGUGGAAGAAGAAGUGGGAAAUCAAUAAGGUUCGAUUUAAUUUAUUAAACAAUUUUUUAAUUUAUUAAACUAUUUUUUAAUUUAUUAAACUAUUUUCUUUUUUUAUUUUAUUAAAAGGUCCCAAAGUCGAUGAACGACACGGUCUGGAAGGAGCUGUGUGCGCAUUGGGAUAAGGAAGAGACGAAAGAAACUUCUUCCACCAACUCCACCAACCGCAGGAGCGACCGUAAAGGGAAGGGCAUCUACAAGCAUUACUUGGGUGCUCAAUCUAUUGCCACUCUGGGAGAUCGCAUGGUAAGUUCAACCGCUUUUUCUUCAAUUAUUUGAGUUUCAAAAUUUUAAUUUAUUGUGCAUUUCUUCUAAUUUCUAAUGUUUUUUUAAUUUAUGUUUUUUUUCAAGGCGGAAGAAAAUGAUGGCGAGCCGGUUGAUGAUCUCGCCCUAAUGAGGAGGGCGUAUACCAACAAGAAGACCGGCCAGAUUGAUGACGGUCUUGUGAGGGACGUGGUCGACCUGGUCCAAACUCAGGUGGUAGACGAAGUGUCUCAGCUUCAAACCGAGGAUGACGCUUCGACGGCUUCGACCAACUUGUCCCGGUUUCGAAUCAACGAAAUCGUUGAAUCCGUAAGUUCUUUUUUUUUUUAAAGUUCAAUUCAUUUAUUUCUUGGUUUAAAUUUGUAAAUUUGGCUAUUUUCUAUCCAGUCGGUUCCAAAGAAGAAGGGACGUUUGGUCGGUUUGGGUCGUCGCACCCGGUCGGUUCCUCCUUCUUCUGCACCACCGCCCUUUGUUGAUCCAGAAGUACUUAAGGCUCAGUUGAAGGACAAGGAUGAUCGCAUAUCUUUGUUGGAGACCCAGAUGGCGGCUCAACAGGCGGGCUAUGAGGCACAGAGGAGGCUGAACCAGCAAAUGAUGGAGAUGAUGCAGAGGAUGUACCCGAACGAGGUGUUCCCGGACGUGCCAGACCCGUAGUUUUUUUUUCCAAAAACUCGGAAUGUUUUAUUUUUAUUUGUGAAACUUUGAAUAUUAAUUAAUAUGAUUUCAAUUUUAAUUUUAAUUUUAUAUUUUCGAAUUUAAAUUUCAAAAAUUUUAUUUUUAAAAAAAAAUUAAUAUUUUUUACAUUCCGAGGAAAUUAAUUAUAUUUUUUACUCGAUCGAUCGAUGCGUUAUUGGACAUAAAUCCAUCGAUCGAUCUGUUUAUAAAAAAAUGUUCGGAAUAAACUGAGGGACAUCUUCCUCGGAAUAUACCGAGGGACAUGUUCCUCGGAAUAUUCCGAGGAAGAUUUCCCUCGGUAUAUUCCGAUCGAUCGAUGGAUAUGUGUCCAAAAAAGCAUCGAUCGAUGAGCUUCCGAGGAAAUAUCCCGACGAAGUUCUCCCUCGGUAUAUUCCGAGGAGAUUUCCGACAAACUAGUGAUCCUCGGAAUUUCCUCGGAAAUUUGUUUCCUCGGAAUUCCGUCGGAAAAUUCCGAGGGAUUUCCGAGGAAAGAAGAAAUUCCGAGGAAUUAUUUCCGAGGACUUGUUUCGUCGGUAUGUCGUCGGAAUAAAGUUAUUCCGACGAAAUUCCGACGAUUUUUUCCCUCAGUAUCCUUGUUGUUUUCUUGUAGUGCGUGUUGUAAAUGAAGUGUUGGGGAAAUACUUCUGUUAUUAUUACUGUCGACCAGAAGGUCCAUAUAUAUACAAGGUAUUAGACCGUCAUAAGGUCAUGUUUAUCCUAACAAGAUAAGGAUUAAGGAUAAACACUAUGUUACAGAUAUACAUGAAAUAUAUACUAGAUAAACACAUAGUCUCUGGUUGUCUUUAUCAUGUCCCGGAUUGGGUCUGCAGUACGGGUUGGUCCAUGGUCGAUCAUAAACGCUUAACUGAACGUUGAAAAGUGCGAUAACGUUUUCUAGUUGUAUUCAAAAGUUCAAAACAUUCAACUAGUCGAAUAAUUCUCUGGACCAUCAAGGAAUAUCAUAGUUUUUAUAAGCAAGGAGCAAAGUAGGAACACAUCAUCAAACCAUUGUUUGGGUGCAAAUUUGUUUAGUGUAGGGCACUCUUGUGGUUGUGGUUGGGCAUAAGUCUUUUAGAGGUCACUCUCUGUGGACCUUAAAGAGUUAAGCGCCUGAUAUAAUACAAAUCGGAAAUUUCAAAACUAUAACUUAACUAGAGAAAAAUAAAGAAAAGAAGAAGACCAACUUCAAAUUUCUUACUAUAGUAAGGACCAAACAUGGCAAGCCUGUCAUCUAAUACAAACAUGUACUUUAGUUUGUGAAAUGUUCCAAACAAACUGGAUCAGGAUUCUUUGGAAAACUUAUCGUCCACAAACCAAGAUUCAUAUUUCUACACCAUUUGUAUAUCAUGAACAAAAUAAGAUUUAUCAUGAACUAGAAGUCUAUAAUUAUGUAACUUUCUUUUUAUAGUCAGCAUCAAUUUGGUCUACAUGGCCGAUAUGUAGUAUCUAUCUAAUCUAUUAAAAGAAGAUUACAAAAUUAGAUUACCCCUUAUUUUAUCACUUAUUUACAAUGGCAUGUCAUUGAGAUAUUUAUUGAACUUAUAUUUAAGUAUGUUUGUCAUUUCUUAAUUUAAAUUAUAGAUUUCCUUAAUCGAAUAUUUAACCAAAAUAGCCGUAAACGUUUGAAAAUAUAGUUAAUGUUAAGAAUAUUUACCAUUAAUGAUGUAGAAAAAAAAUUAUGUAUAGAAAAAUGAAAGCAAACACUCGUGCGGUUGCACGGAUCAGGGUCUAGUUUAUACUUAUUUUGAGUCAUCGUAUAUCACUACAAGAAAACAGCAAGGAUACUGAGGGAAAAAAUCGUCGGAAUUUCGUCGGAAUAAAGUUAUUCCGACGACAUACCGACGAAACAAGUCCUCGGAAAUAAUUCCUCGGAAUUUCUUCUUUCCUCGGAAUUUCUUCUUUCCUCGGAAAUCCUGCGGAAUUUUCCGACGGAAUUCCGAGGAAACAAAUUUCCGAGGAAAUUCCGAGGAUCACUAGUUUGUCGGAAAUCUCCUCGGAAUAUAUCGAGGGAGAACUUCGUCGGGAUAUUUCCUCGGAAGUUCAUCGAUCGAUGCGUUUUUGAACAUAUAUCCAUCGAUCGAUCCGUUUAUAAAAAAAUGUUCGGAAUAUACCGAGAGACAUCUUCCUCGGAAUAUUCCGAGGAACAUGUCUCUCGGUAUAUUCCGAGGAACAUGUCCCUCGGUAUAUUCCGAGGAACAAGGAAAGUUGUCCCUCGGUAUAUUCCGAGGAAGAUGUCCCUCAGUAUAUUCCAAACGUUUUUUUUAUAAACAGAUCGAUCGAUGGAUAUAUGUCCAAAAACGCAUCGAUCGAUCGAGUAAAAAAUAUAAUUAAUUUCCUCGGAAUGUAAAAAAUAUUAAUUUUUUUUUAAAAAUAAAAUUUUUGAAAUUUAAAUUCGAAAAUAUAAAAUUAAAAUUAAAAUUGAAAUCAUAUUAAUUAAUAUUCAAAGUUUCACAAAUAAAAAUAAAACAUUCCGAGUUUUUGGAAAAAAAAACUACGGGUCUGGCACGUCCGGGAACACCUCGUUCGGGUACAUCCUCUGCAUCAUCUCCAUCAUUUGCUGGUUCAGCCUCCUCUGUGCCUCAUAGCCCGCCUGUUGAGCCGCCAUCUGGGUCUCCAACAAAGAUAUGCGAUCAUCCUUGUCCUUCAACUGAGCCGUAAGUACUUCUGGAUCAACAAAGGGCGGUGGUGCAGAAGAAGGAGGAACCGACCGGGUGCAACGACCCAAACCGACCAAACGUCCCUUCUUCUUUGGAACCGACUGAAUAGAAAAUAGCCAAAUUUACAAAUUUAAACCAAGAAAUAAAUGAAUUGAACUUAAAAAAAAAAAGAACUUACGGAUUCAACGAUUUCGUUGAUUCGAAACCGGGACAAGUUGGUCGAAGCCGUCGAAGCGUCAUCCUCGGUUUGAAGCUGAGACACUUCGUCUACCACCUGAGUUUGGACCAGGUCGACCACGUCCCUCACAAGACCGUCAUCAAUCUGGUCGGUCUUCUUGUUGGUAUAUGCCCUCCUCAUUAGGGCGAGAUCAUCAACCGACUCGCCAUCAUUUUCUUCCGCCUUGAAAAAAAACAUAAAUUAAAGAAACAUUAGAAAUUAGAAGAAAUGCACAAUAAAUUAAAAUUUUGAAACUCAAAUAAUUGAAGAAAAAGCGGUUGAACUUACCAUGCGAUCUCCCAGAAUGAAAAUAGAUUGAGCACCCAAGUUAUGCUUGUAGAUGUCCUUCCCUUUACGGUCGCUCCUCCGGUUGGUGGAGUUGGUGGAAGAAGUUUCUUUCGUCUCUUCCUUAUCCCAAUGCGCACACAACUCCUUCCAGACCGUGUCGGUCAUCGACUUUGGGACCUUUUAAUAAAAUAAAAAAAGAAAAUAGUUUAAUAAAUUAAAAAAUAGUUUAAUAAAUUAAAAAAUAGUUUAAUAAAUUAAAAAAUUGUUUAAUAAAUUAAAUCGAACCUUAUUGAUUUCCCACUUCUUCUUCCACUCGUGGAUCUGCUUCCCAUAGUUGUCCAUAACUUUAUGGACGAAGUGGUGAUAGAUAAAGAGCGUCUCAUCGGGAUUCCAGUUGAACUCUUGCUGAAAAAAAAACACAAUUAGUUGAAAAUUUAUAUUAAAGAUUAAAAAUAUAAGUAAAAAAUUAAAAUACUUACCGCAAACUGACGAAACCACAGAACCUGCUUGUCGGUAGGGAAGUGAGUGAAAGUCGGAUGUCCCCUGUCGAGGGCCGAGUACAUCAUACGGUUGAUCCAUGCGCUGAUCCCGUUCCCGGAUCGGUUGAACCUAAUAAAAAGAACAAACGGUUAAUAAUGAAUCCAAAUUUAAAGAAAAAAAAUGCUUAAUUACCAUGUUUGACCUCGUCCAUGUGGAUACGGAGUGAGAUACGGAAGAUGGUCACGACCGAUAAUAAUGAAUCCAAAUUUAAAGAAAAAAAAUGCUUAAUUACCAUGUUUGACCUCGUCCAUGUGGAUACGGAGUGAGAUACGGAAGAUGGUCACGACCGGGCUGUUGAACCAACUCCGCAACACUCAUCACUCCCGGAGGAUCCGGAGGAGCAGGAGCGGAUGCAGCAGCGGGAGCGAGAGGAGCAAGAGCGGGUGCAGCAGAGGGAGAUGUAUGGUUGGAGCUGUGGGGCGAAGGGGAAUCCUGAAAAUGGCUGGAAUCCCGAGACUGGCUCCCCGUACCACCACGACCACGACGCUGUCGAGGCCGGGUCUGAUCAUCAUGAGACCUAUAAAUUAAAAAAAAAUAUUUAAUAAAUACAGAAAUAUAUAAAUUAAUUUUUUUUUUAAAUCCCAAAUAAUAGUUUUUAAUCACAAAAAAAGUUUUAUAGAUAUUAAAAAUGUUUUGUAAAAUCCAAAAAAUCGAAUUUAUAUACAAAAAAAGAUUUUGUAAAAUCCAAAAAUCAAAUUUAUAUAGAAAAAUCGUUUUGUAAAAUACAAUUUAUAUACAAAAUUCGAUUUUAUAAAUACAAAAAAAAUAAAAAAAAUUAUAAAAAAAUUCUAAAUCAAUUCAACAAAACAAAUUAUUCAACCAAAUCACAAUUCUAAACCUAUUAUUCUACCAAAUCACAAUCCUAACCAAUUACCCUAACAAAAAUCUAUCAAAACUACACAAAAACCUAACAAAUAGAACCUAAGAGAGUGGGAUAGGGUCUUUACAUGAUUUGUGUAAGAGAAGGGGGAGAUCGCCGGAGAUAUCGUCGGAUUUCAGGGGAAAAUCGCCGGAGAGAAGAGAGGAGUCGCGAAGAGGAAGAAGAGAGAAAUGGGGAAGAAGAAGGGGCUCGUGGUUAUAAAACCUAGGGUCCGACGAAUAUUAUCCGUCGGAAUUCCGUCGGAAUUAUAAUUUCAAUUUUCGCGAAAUAAUUGCCCGGUAAAAUGAAAAUAUUCCGAGGAAAUUCCGACGGAUAGUAAAAUAUCCGUCGGAAUUUCCUCGGAAUAUUCCGAGGAAAUACCGAGGAACUAGUGUUUGGGGUUUCAAAACAUCAAUUUUUUUUUGCCGUAUUUCAUUUCUUAUACAAUUGUAAUGCAUACCAUUGAGGAUCCUUUGUAUAGAUGAGCAUAAACCAUGAAAUAACAAAUUUCAAAACUAAUUGAAAGUAUUCCCUUUACCGUUCAUUAAAAGGUAUAAGUGUUUCUCUUAUGUUGUGGGAUUUCGUUCAUACAAUCGGAAAAGUGUUAAUUAUACGGUAAGGAACAAAUUUUUGACUUCAUAAUGAACGUAAGACAUUUAAUAAGGGUUAUAUAGGUGUUAUUCAAACCGCAAAACGUUGUUUUCGGUUUAAAAACCCUAUUUCCUCGGAAUUUCCUCGGAUUAUUCCGAGGGAAUUCCGAGGAAACCCUUUUCUUCUCUCGCUGACAAACCCUUUUCCUCGGAAUUCCGUCGGAAUAUUCCGAGGAAAUUCCGAGGAACUAGUGUUUGGGGUUUCAAUACGUCAAUUUUUUUUUAAACGGAUCGAUCGAUGGAUAUAUGUACAAAAGCCCAUCGAUCGAUAGAGUAUAUCAGGUGUUCCUCGGAAUUUCCUCGGAAUAUUCCGAGGCUUUUCUGAGGAAACAGGGUUUGGGGUAACAAUGUGAUCGAUCGAGAACAAAAUCUCGUACGUUUUUUUAUAAACGGAUCGAUCGAUGUAUAUAUAUCCAAAAACGCAUCGAUUGAUCACUAAGCGUAACAAUGUGAUCGAUUGAUUAGAUUAUCCCAUCGAUCGAUCGAGAAUCUCAAGCGUUCCUCGGAAUGUCCUCGGAAAAUCUUGUAAGUUUUUUUAUAAACGGAUCGAUCGAUGGAUAUAUGUCCGAAAACGCAUCGAUCGAUCACUAAGAUGGACCAAAGCGUAACAAUGUGAUCGAUCGAUUAGAUUAUCCCAUCGAUUGAUCGAGAAUCUCAAGCGUUCCUCGGAAUGUCCUCGGAAAAUCUUGUAAGUUUUUUUAUAAACGGAUCGUUCGAUGGAUAUAUGUCCGAAAACGCAUCGAUCGAUCACUAAGAUUGACCAAAGCGUAACAAUGUGAUCGAUCGAUUAGAUUAUCCCAUCGAUCGAUCGAGAAUAUCAAGUGUUCCUCGGAAUUCCGUCGGAAUAUUCCGAGGCUUUUCCGAGGAAAGAGGGUAUAUCAAGUGUUCCUCGGAAUUUCCUCGGUAUUUCUUUAAAACAAAAAAAAAAUCAAUGGUAGUCUGUUUCCGAGUCAUCAUCACCAGAUGAAUCUGAAUCUGGAUCUUGGUGAAACUCUCCAAUCACUGGUUCAUCCUCUACGUGAACGACGGCUUCCUCUCCGAAGUCGGUUAAAUCGACUACAAGGCCAACUCCAGCUAAAUCUUCUGCUGCACUUAAGUUGCCGGAUGUGCUUGGUUGUAGUGGGUCUUCCAGCUCAGAACUUCCCUGAAUUCGGCCUCUCGGGUUGAGUCUUGUAACAGUAACCCAUGAAUCAUCUCUGUUCCUUACCCGGGGAUACUUGAUAUAACAAACCUGUAACAUUUAGAAAAUUAUUAGUAAAAUUAUAAAUUAAUACAUAUGAUGAUGAAUCAUUCUGAAUAAUUAACAUUUAAUUACUUGAUCGGCCUGAGAAGCAAGAAUGAAAGGAUCAUAAUAUUGCAGCUUUCGCCUCGAAUUUACUGAUGUAACACUAAAUGCAUCUGUUCUCACACCUCGAUCUGGAGUGUUGUCGUGCCAAUCACAAUAGAAAACAGUACAGCGCAAUCCAACCAUGCCCAAAUACUUGAUUUCCAAAAUCUCAUGUAUGUGUCCGUAGUAUACAUCAUCUCCUGAUGCAGAACAAACGCCAGCAUCAUAAGUCGUACUCGAACGUCUCCUCUUCUGAGUUGUGAAUGCAUAUCCUCGAGUACAAAAUCUCGGAUAUGACUUCACAACAAAGUUUGGUCCAACGACCUUCUCACGUAUCGAAUCGUCAAAUGUUUCACCUCUGGCCAAACCAGCAGACACCUAUUAAUAGCACAUAUAUAUAUGUUAUAUCAAUAAAUGUGAAUUAGUAUAAAUAUGUGAUAAAAUAUAUUUUAAUUUGUUUAAAGCACUCACAUAAGUAAACAUUCAUCCAGUAAAUUCUCUCUGCUUCAUUUCUUCUAGUUCGUCCUCUGUGGCGUAUCUAUACUAGAACCGCUUUUCUGCCAUGAAAAUCCUGUAUAUGAUGACAAUAAUGUAAUUAAUUAAGAUUUAAAUUUCAACUUGUUAAAAUAAAAAUUUGUAAGCUAAUUUAUUUACCUCUCAUAUUGAAGAACGUCUUCGCAGUUGGUGAGCAAAUAUGUUUGCAAAUGACUGUGCUCCUGCUCAGUAAGUCGACGGUCCUUUGGUUUUCCGCUAAGUCGUCCAACGUCUGUGAAAAUGUCUGGAACCGUAACAUGAUAUGUUGCCCGUUCGCCUCUAUCAUCAUGCCGAGCAGGUCUUCUGUUUUUGGUCUGAACUUCUGCUGGAAAGUAGUACUCGGCAAAGUUUGAAGUUUGUUCAUUGAUCAUCUGUGCGACUAUAGAACCUUCCACCCUACUUAAAUUUUUCAUCAUCUUCUUCAAAUGGAACAUAUACCGCUCAUACAGAUACAUCCAUCUAUACUGCACAGGACCACCAAGUUCCAAUUUUCUUGCCAGGUGAAUAACAAGAUGCUUGAUGUUAAGAGUUUUCAAGCUCCUAACACAAAUGUUGUAGUAUAGUGAUUGUCGAACCAGUUCUGAGGGAUAUCAAAGCAAUGAGAAUGCAAGUACUCACUUAAUCUAAGUGCAACCAAUGAUUUAGAUGAGUUUUAAGUUAUGACUAAAACUAAAAAGCAAUAACAGAAUGAUACUUUCUUGACUAAGGGAAAAGAGAACUCAUGGGCAUAGGGAUUAGACCUUGGAUGAUCAAGUUUCGAACUGAGGAUGACAAAUGAUCAAUCAAACUAUCGACCUUAAGCCUAGACAAAAUUCUAAGCAAGCUCUAUGUCUAGAUGAAUGCUCAUUUGCUAACAUAUCUCAAACAUCAAAUGUCUUUGGUUGAAUAAUAUGAAAGCAAUCAUUACUAACAAGUCUACUAGCUAUUUUAGCACCUUUAACAACAAAUGUCUUUGGCAAAGUAUACUAAAAGCCUAGGAGAGUUGUCUCAGGCAUUUCAUCAAACACCUUUUGGGUGGGAAAUGCCUAUUGAUCAACUUUUGAGUGGCCAACUCAGAAGAUGCAUUAUGAAUACUCUACUAGCAAGGAACAAGAGUGAUCUACACUAAAACAUCCUAGAACUAACCUAAUCACCCUUGAUCUCCCUAACCCAUGAAUUCAAAAAGGUGAUUACUCACUAAUCUCUAUGAUUCCUCUUAAACCCAUAUUGGAUUUCAGAUUAAUCAUGUAGAGAAAUAGAUAAGAAAUCAACAAUAACACAAGAACAUAACAAUCAAAAUCCAAGAGAUGAAUUUCUCAAGAGAGUUUUUGUGUAUUUCUCAAUAGAUCAAAAGAUAAUCUCCUCCUCGUGGCUUACAGAGUAUUAAAACAUAGCUUUAGAAAAUAAAAACGUGCAUCAUGAAAUGACCAAAAGGCCCUUAAGUAAAAUAGAAAAUCGACCCAAUAAUAGACGCGGAGCGACCUCGGCAUGUCGCUCCGAGAGGUCGCUCUGGCCUUUGGGAGCGACCUCAGUGGGUCGCUCUGAGAGGUCGCUCCGGGCUUUGCUUCGUGUCGUCUCGCCAUAGAGACGCGAGCGACCUUGGGGUGUCGCUUUGGGAGGUCGCUCCGAGAGGGGUGUGAGAUGCGAGUGACCUCGGCGCGUCGCUCUGGACUGGUCGCUGUGGUGAGGUCGCUCUAGGAGCUGGAGCGACUUCGCCUUAUCGCUCUGAACUGGUCGCUCUAGGAGCUGUAGCGACUUCGCCUUGUCGCUCUAGGAGGUCGCUCUGAAGCGUAUAGGGCGAGCGAGUUCAUGGCGUCGCUCCGGUAGGUCGCUCUGGCUGGAGUGACUUGAGAUAGUCGCUCUGGGCUGGUCGCUUCAGGCAGUGCUCGUCCAAAGAUCACUCUAAUCACCUCCUUUGAGCUCCAAAUGCACCCAAGUGUCUCCAGGAACUCCAUGUGGUACUCCAAUACCUGAUAGAGACAUAUGUAUGCAAAAUGCAACCUAGAUAUGGCUUAAUCCUAAUCUAUAUGAUGAAAAUGCACAUGAAUAAAUGGAUAAAACAAUGUGAAUAUGCAAGAUAUCAAUGCUCCAUAACAUCAAAAAAUGAGGGAGGAAAUAUCUUCUCAAGGUUACACUAAAUCACGGCUAUGUUAGUCUUCAAAUUUUCAAUACCUUCAAGAGUCACUGAUCUCGUGCAUAAAUCGCGAAAGAAACCACUUAUCCCUGCAAUUGCAUCAUGAACAUUUCGUGCUAAUAGUUCCUUGAAGGCGAACGGAAGGAGGCGCUGCAUCAUUACAUGGCAAUCGUGGCUUUUCAAGCCAGUAAACUUUCCUUCCUUUCUGUCGAUACAGUUACGCAAAUUUGAUGCGUAACCGUCUGGAAAUUCCACAUCGUUUGAAAUCCAAUCAAAGAACGCAUCUUUUCCCUCUGCAUCAAGUCGGUAUAUGGGAAAAGGAGCCCUACCAUUCUCAUCAACAUGAAGUUCUGAACGAGCACAUAUAUCGACUAAAUCCAGUCUUGACUUCAAAUUAUCCUUUGUUUUACCUUGAACAUUAAGGAUCGUGUUCAUGAGAUUGUCAAAAAAGUUCUUCUCAAUAUGCAUGACAUCUAAAUUAUGCCUUAGCAGAUGAUCCUCCCAGUAUGGCAGAUCCCAGAAAAUACUUUUUUUUGUGCCAGUUAUGUAGUUCUCCAACAGCAUCUACCGGAAAACGCUCAUGUCCACCGACGUCUGGCGUCUUUUCUGCACCAAAAUCUCUUAGUUGUAUCUUCAAAUCUUUCCCACAAAUUUCCGGAGGUGGACUGUCAAACACCCUCUUGUUCUUCGUAAACAAAUUCCUACUCCUACGAUAUGGAUGAUCAGGUGGUAGGAAUCUCCUGUGACAGUCAAACCAACACGUUUUCCUUCCGUUUUUUUAGUUGGAAAGCAUCAGUGUUAUCUUGACAAUAUGGACAUGAUAGCCUUCCAUACGUUUUCCAUCCAGACAACAUACCAUAUGCUGAAAAAUCACUUAUUGUCCACAUUAGUACUGCCCGCAUUUGAAAGUUUUCUUUGCACGAAACAUCGUAUGUUUCAGCACCUUGAGCCAUAUUUGUUGCAACUCAUAUAUUAGUGGCUGAAGAAACACAUCAAGUGAUCUCUUAGGAUGCUCUGGUCCGGGAACGAGAAUCGAGAGAAACAAAACCUCUCGUCGCAAGCACAAGUUUGGGGGUAGGUUGUAUGGUGUAAGAAUGAUGGGCCAUAGAGAAUAAUGUCUUCCACUCUUGCCAAACGGACUGAAACCAUCAGUACAUAAUCCAAGGUAGACAUUUCUUCUCUCAUACGCAAAGUCGGGAUACUUUGAUUGGAAAUGCUUCCACGCUUUUGCAUCUGAAGGAUGUCUGAUCUCACCAUCUGUUGAGUGCUCCGCAUGCCAUCUCAUUGGUUGCGCUGUGCGUUCAGACAGAUACAACCUCUGCAACCUUUUCGUCAAAGGUAAAUACCACAUCCUUUUAUAUGGCACUGGAACUCUUCCACUCGUAUCUUUAUAACGAGGCUUUCCACAAAAUUUGCAUGUAACCCGCUGUUCAUCCGCCCUCCAAUAAAUCAUGCAGUUGUCGCUGCAUACAUCUAUUACCUGAUACGAUAAACCAAGACCAGCUACGAGUUUCUGAACCUCGUAGUAUGAACCAGGAGCUACAUUAUCCUCGGGUAGAAUACCUUUUACAAAAUCAGCAAUCGCAUCCACACAGUCUUCAGCCAAAUUAUAAUCUGUUUUAAUGCCCAUCAAUCUUGUAGCAGAUGAUAAAGCUGAAUGACCAUCUCUGCAACCUUCGUACAAUGGUUGCUUUCCAGCAUCCAACAUAUCAUAAAAUCUACUAGCUUGUGCAUUGGGUAAAUCUUCCCCUAUAAAAUGAUCAUUUACCAUCUCCUCAGUACCUACACCAUAAUCUACAUCCGUUCUAAUUGGUUCUUCUAAUCUAACCGCUGGCUGAGGUUCGCUAGUACUACCAUGUUCAUAAUCAGUUUCCCCAUGAUGAUACCAAAUUUUGUAACUUCGUGUAAACCCAUUCAAAUAUAGAUGAGUCCAAACAUCCCACUCUUUAAUAACCUUUCUAUUUUUACAAUUAGAGCAAGGACAUCUUAACAUACAUGUUUUUUCUUCCGGUUGUCGGUGAACUAACCCCAUGAAUUCGGUUAUACCUCGUUGGUAUUCUUCCGUAAGCAAUCUCGUGUUCGGAUCCAAAUGAGGUCGAUCGAUCCAAGAACGAAAAUAAUUUGAAGAACACAUAUUUUUUAUGAAUCAAAUUCGUGUGUAAAUAGAGUAAGAGGGAGGAUGAAGAUAUGGAGUGAAUGAAGAGGAAGAGGACUGCUUGUAUUUAUAGUUUAAAUCCUGCCGACAGACCGAGGAAAUUCCAACGGAAUUCCGACGCCAACGGCUAGUUCGUCGGAAUUUCCUCGAAAUUUUUUAAAAUCCCCCAACGGCUCUCUAACGGUUAUAAUAUUUCCUCGGAAUUCAUCGGUUUUUUCCGAGGAACACAUUUUUCCUCGGAAUAUUCCGACGGAUUGAUAUUUCCUCGGAAUUCCGUCGGUAUAUUCCGAGACCUCGGGAUAUUCUGAGAAUUUCAUUUUCCGUCGAAAUGUCCGUUAGAAUACCGCUGUUUUCUUGUAGUGUAUUGCUAAGGAGAUUGAUAACUCUACACAUUUAUACCUUGUUCAAUCUAAAUGGGGAAAGAUGUAUUUAAAAUUUAUUAUACUAAAGAUUUACUUACAAUUUUGUUUCUAUUAUUUUUACAUUUUUUUGUUGUUUCUAAAAUACACUAGAUUUUCUAUAAAGAUCCUAAACAUACUCUAUAUAUAGUUUUUGCUAUAAAUACAGACAUCUUCACCACCUAUGCCAAUAAAAAAAAGACCAUAUCUCAUUCAUCUCUUAUUUAUCGAAAUUUAUAGUGCCUAUCAAGUAAAAAAAAAUUCCAUCUUAAAAUCAGUUUAAUGUUCAAUAUAGUGAAACUCUAUUAUUUUCCGUAGAUAAGAAUGUUUUAGUAAAUCUAAUAACAGGGCUUUAUGGAAAGUUGCAAAUCUGGCCCAGCUAUUUGGAAAAAUCUUAAACCCAUCUCUAUUUAUAACUAGGAGGGUGUCCGCGUUAUUGUCGUUAAAUAUGAUUUUUGGAAGAUGUGAUUAUGUGGUCAGUAUUUAUUGUGAACAUCAUUAUUUGAUUUUUUUAUGUUAUGUAGUAGUAGCUAAUAAGUUAAUAUAUUAUGUGUUCGUCUUUUUAAUAAAGUGUUGUUGUAUGUAUAAUACUACUUGUUAGUGGUGAAAUGAGUUUCUUAUGUAAAAUAUAUUGAAUUUCAAUAACUUUGUCUUUAAGAAUUUGUUGAUUCUAAGAUUAACAGCGUCAAAAUUGUAUUUUAGUUUUUCACAUUUUUGAACAUUACUCUUUUAGAUGUUUUUUGCACUUUCCCCCAUAUUUUGACCUUGAGCCGUCACCAUCUAUGUAUUUCGUUUACCUCUCCGUUGUGCAGUGCUUCUCACCAUCACUGGGAAAAUACUCACCUUUGUGCUCUUGUUUUGCUCACCUUCUUUUUCUUUGAGAUUAUAUGUUAUUUGUUAUAGAUCAGACAUAUUAGUUCCAUGUUGUGUGGUUGUUUCUUACGGCGUUGUAUGUUAUUUCGGUCAAUAUUUGUCGUUUUUUUCUUUCGAUUUUAGCUAAGGUUAGAAACUACUUCUCAUUGGGUUUGGUCAGAGUUUAGUUGUCAUUGAUGUUGUUUUCCUUGUUGCUGGUUUGCCAUCGAUAGUCUCUGCUCGUCUUGGUUCUCAAGAUCUGGUUUUUGGUGAUCUGACUUUUAUGUUCUUUUUUCAUAACUCGAGGAUGGAUCCACGGUUCGUUGAUUUCAUUUUGUCUCAUUUUGUCUCUUUUUAUCUCUUUGUUCUCUCAUCUCGUUGCACCUUUCAUUGCUGAUCACGUCUAUGGUGGCUCUCCCUUUCGCCAUAUUUGCUACUCUAGGUUUGGAUAGUGUUUUUAUCUGUGUAUGCUUUGUGCACUUGAAAGGUUUUUUAUGGUCUCAAACUUAAGUUUUGGUUUCUCGGUGGUUGGCUUUCAUUCUCCCACACUCAAGUUGUUUAUAUUCUUCUCAUGCAUCCCUUGGUGUAGGUAUGCGGAGCUACUCUUUUGGAGCUUUGGUUUCUUCUAUUCAGAAUUUUGUGGUUCUUCGCUGUCAUGGGCGUCUUCUAUGUACUUAUUUAGUUUGUGAGGUGCUUCUUAUCUAUUAACUGGUGGUUGUGCUUCUGGUGCUUUAGACAUGCGUCUUUUUGUUUUGUGGUGAUUUUGUUCUUCCGAUGAUUAUUCUUUCUCUGGCCCGCUUUUUUGGUUUUUUGCUCUGGUGCUUGAUCACGAUCCUUUGUGUUCUGGGGAUUGAUUUAUCUCAUAUUUUAUCUUUUUACUUUUUUUCUGACAUCUGCUUGUUCUAACCAAGACAUUCUAUGGUAAGAUGAGAGAGAUUAGUCUUCUUUGCUGGUCUUUUUUCAGCUCCAAACUUUUAUUGAGUUAGUAUUACUAUGGUAUUUUGCUUUUUCUUCGUGAUUGCGGAAGUUUUAUGUUUAGAUUAUGUAUUACACUCUAAUUUCUUUUUAUUAGUUUGGUCAUUUUAUAUUUUUAAUAGUUAAAUAAAUAUAUAAUUUGUAAAUUAAAUAAUAGAAAAUGGUAAAAAAUAGUAAAAUAACAAAAAUUAUGUUAUUUUUAGUUAUGAAUAAAUUAAAUAUGCAAAAUUAUUUCUAUUAUUUUAUUUAUUUAUUUAUUCAUAUUGAAUUUUAGUAAACAAUAAAAUAGAUUGUCAAACUUCAGACGAUAGUUAGUGCGAAAAUGAUUAGAUAUUGCAUAAUUAGAAAAGAUUUGGCCAAAUUACACUAAUCUAAAAGAAUAAGGACCUAAAACGUAUGAAAAAAUACAUGGAUGACAUGUGUCGCAAAAGCCCCGUGCCACUUGUCAGAAUAAGGGAAAAAGCCAACUUUAUAUAUAUAGAUUUGAUCCAAGUCCAAGUAUCUUCUAUAUAUUAAUUGAGGAUUUUUUAAAAAGUUGUAAAUUCAAAUUUGUACUAAUUAAAUUUUAGACUUGCUUAGGUGUCAAUUUUUUAAAUCUUCUUAUUACUGAUGUAGCAACCUUACAUUGAGUUUACACAACUUUACAGGGGUGGGCAAAAAACUCAAACCGAACCGAACCGAACCGAACCAAACCAACCGAAGUUAAACCGACCCAAACCAAACCGUCCUCUUUACAUAACUCAAUUGGUUCAUGUUUUACUCAAUCCGAAUGGUUUGGUUUGGUUUGGAUUUAAACCGAACCAAACCGAACCAAACCGAUAAUCCAAUAUAUUUUUAUCUAUAAAUAUAUAUAUAUAAUAUAUAUAUAUAUAUAUACAUAUUAGCAUAUUGUAAAUUUUAGUUAAAGUUUCGUUUUCCAUUUUUUCUUAACUUCCAUAUAUUUUCUAAAAAUUCCAAAUAUGAUUCAAAUAAAACUAUUAUAUAUAUAUAUCUAAUCCUAAUACCUAAAGAAUAGAUUGUACUGAAAACAAAACCUAAAAACUAUAAGUAUCUACGUAGCCGUCUCGUCUCGUUCAUCUUCUCCGGCUUCCAUUGCCUAAAGGUAAAAUUACGUAACAAAGUGAUUAUAGGAUCAAUAAAAAAAAAGGUAGAUGCAAAUAGUCUUUUAGUUAAUAGGUUUUGGAAUGCUUACAAGUCUUUGUUACGCUAAUUAGAUUACAAAUAGUCUACUCUUUGUCUAUUAUGUAUUUCUUCCUUUGACGUGGUUAAGACCUGAGAGUUUUAUCACCGAGGUUUAAAUUUUUUUUCAUUGACUUUUAAGUUUUAAUAGUAAAUACACGUUACAACUCACUGUUUCUAAUGAAAAGAGAGAAGUAACUGAACGUUCUUUCUAUUUAAAUAAUUUAAUUAACAACUUCUAUGUUUUCUGUGUAGAUGAAUAACAAAAACAAGGCCAGCGGUAAAAGAAAGGAAUCUGAUUCUCCACCAGUACCGCCAAAGCCAAAAAGAAAACUACCAACACGAUCACCGGCGUGGGAAGUUUUUACGAAACUUGAAGAUGAUGAAUCAAAGUGCUCAUGCAAUUACUGUGGUAAGACCUAUUCAUGUCCUUCCACAAGUGGAACUAGCACUAUGAUGUCACACAUGAAGAAGUGCAAAGAUUAUUUAGAUUGGCUCGAAUCUGAUUCUCAGCAACACUUGUCUAGUGGUGGAAAUAAUGUUCAUGGUGGUAAAAGUGUUGGUAUGACUAAACCUUUUGAUCAUGUGGUGUGCAAGCGAGCAACAGUGAAAAUGAUUAUCAUGGAUGAGUUGCCAUUUUCUUUUGUUGAGAAUGAAGGGUUUAGACAGUUUUGUGAGACUGUUAUUCCUUGGUUUAGUAUUCCAUCACGAAGAACUAUUACAAGGGAGGUUGUUGGUAUGUAUAAUGCUGAGAAAACUGCAUUGAGGACUACUUUUAGCCUAAAUAAGCAAGCGAUUUCUUUUACCACCGAUAGAUGGACUGCUAUUACAACUUUGAGUUAUAUGGUUAUAACUGCUCAAGUGCUCAUUUCAUUGAUAUGGAUUGGCAACUGCAUAGAAGGAUUAUUAGUUUUAGUCCUAUUCCUGAUCAUAAAGGAGAGACCAUUGCAAAUCAAUUUAUAAGAUCUUUGGAUGAUUGGGGUAUUGAGAAAGUGUUUUCUGAGACACUUGAUAAUGCAAGUAGCAAUGAUAAAGCAAUCAGCAUUUUGAAAGAUCGGCUGCUCCAAAAGAACAAUGAUGCUUUGAUGAUGAAUGGUGAAUUUAUGCACAUACGCUGUUGUGCACACAUACUGAAUCUGAUUGCCAAUGAAGGGUUGGAUGAUAUAAGUAAGAGCAUAAUAAGUGUUCGUAAUGCUGUCAAAUAUGUGAGGUCUUCUACUUCAAGACUAGAAUCUUUUAAGCGUUGGGUGGAGGUUGAGAAGAUAACAAGUGGAAGUGUGGUAUUGGAUUGUCUUACUAUGUGGAACUCAACUUACUUGAUGCUGAGAAGUGCACUUAAAUAUCAAACUGCAUUUGAAAGGAUGGCUGAUAUGGAUAAGCCGUAUGAUGCAUGGUUCAAAGAACUUGAUUCUAACGGGAAGGUGAGGAAAGGACCUCCAACAGCUGUUGAUUGGGACAAAGCGCGGCAUAUGGUAAAGUUCUUGAAGUCUUUCUAUGACUCAACUUUAGCCUUCUCUUCUUCUAUAAAAAUAACAUCCAAUGGUUGUUAUAAUGAGAUAUGCAAAAUUCAGUCAAGUGUCGAGAAUAUGGCUUAUAGUCAAGACGUUGAUUUAAGGGAUAUGGCUUCUGCAAUGACAACUAAGUUUGCUAAAUAUUGGGAAGGUACUGAGAAGAUCAAUAAGAUAUUAAUAGUGGCUGGUAUACUUGAUCCUCCUCGCAAAAUGGUUUUCAGAGUACAGCUUUGAAAUUAUCUAUGGAAAAGGUAAUUCAAAGUGCAAAGAAAUGUCUAAGUUGGUGAUGGAUGUUUUGGGGAGCAUAUUCAAGGUAUACAGUGACCGGUACAACACUUUGAAUCUACAAGAUUCUGCUGCUCGUGAUGGUGAGAAUGUAACCGAGUCAAGCCAAGAUUGCAAGGAUAUGGAAGAUGACAACAUUGAUGAUCCCUUUUUAAAGUUUAUGGUUGCUAAAAGAACAACUUCAGAAGUUGUAAACGAGCUGGACAAGUAUCUCAAAGACGAGCUGUACGUACAAGUUGAAAAUGACUUGGGGCUUCCAUUUAAUCUUUUAGACUGGUGGAAGACAAACAGCUCAAAAUACCCAAUUAUGUCUCUAAUGGCCAGAGAAAUUCUUGCUAUACCAGUAUCUUCUGCUGCAUCUGAGUGUGCUUUUAGCACUGGAAGUCGUAUUUUAGAUCAGUAUCGAAGUUGUUUGACUCCUGAUAUGGUUGAAGCGUUGGUUUUGACCCAAGACUGGUUACGUGCAUCACUUCGUUCAGAAGCAAUAAAGACUCUUGAAAAUCUAGAAGAAGAAAACCAAUUCAUGGAUUCAGGUAUUUUAGUUUUUUUUUUUUAAGAAUCCUAAGUGAGUAAUGUCUCACUGUCUCCCGUAUAUGAACUAAUAUCUAAUUUUUUUUUUAAUUUGAAUUUGUUAGAGUUUCAUCCUCAGUCUCAGAAUGAAAGUGAGCUUCACCCGUCUCUGUUAGCGUAAAACGGUAAGCUUUGCUAAGGUUAUAUUAGUUUUAUAUAAUGCUAUAUAAUGGCUCUAUAUAAGAUAUGAAUAUUGGUUUGAACGAUUAUUAUUAUUGUCUUGUUGCAGAUUAUUGUUGGUGGCAUGAGAGAGACGCUUGGAUUUUUCUUCUUUCUCUUUAUAGUUAAAUUGGGUUUUUGAUUUUUGUUCGGCUUUAUAAUUUAGUGAAGAUCUGUUUUCAGUUGGACCAUAUUUGGUAUUUAGUUUUUGGAUACAUUGUUUUUGACUUUUAGUAAUGGAUUUUUUAGCUAACAAAGUUUAUAUUCCCUCUUUAUCUUUUAUAAGUUGAUGAUUUUUAAGUAAAACUAAUGCCAUCAUAUUUUAUAACCGACCCAAACUACACCGAACCAAACUACACCAUAAUAAAGCAAACCGAACUAAAUCAAAACCCAACCAAACUUAAUAUAAACCAAACCGAAAUAAACCGAACCAAACUAAACCCAAACCGAAUCCAAACCAAAACUACUAUGGUUUUAAUUGGGUUGAGUUUUACAAAACCCAAAUUACCCAAACCAAACCGAACCCAAACCGAACCAGAAACUAAACCGAUAUGCCCACUCCUACAACUUUAGACUAAUAUUUUAUGCCACUGACAAUAUUUUUUAUACACGUUAUCAGUUACAACGUCUUUGUAUUUGAAUUGAUUACAGCUUAGCUUCUUCCAUUUAAAAACUUUUUUUUUGUGAACUUUAUGAACAAAAUAAAAUUCUGGUUAUUUGUGAGAAAUAUGCGUUGUAAAGGUGUGCCUAACUCGGUCUUUAUAUGUUUGCAAUUGUAUUAUUUAAUCGUUGUUAAACCGGACCAGGUCAUUAAAAACUUUGGCCGGUUUAUUGGUACCAACUCAAUUAGUAGUUAGCUUCGUAUGGAAGUUUAUGUGAAGUAACAAAAUAAUAUAUGUGAUAUACAAGUUCUUACAAAUAUAUAUUUGACAAUAUUCAAUUCAUUUAUAUUCAAUAACAAAUAUCUUACUUUGAUACUUCAUCCCCAAGUAUAUAUGAUUUGUUUUAUAUAUGAUUUGUUCUAUAUAUGGUCAUAAAUCCAUCCUAAAAUUUAGGGGAUGUCGAUAUCCUUUUACCAAAUAUGCAAAAGAUUUGUUAGUGGAUAUUAUUGUUUGAAGAAACAAUAUUUUGUAUUUAAUGUGGCAUGCUAAUAUGUGUAAUUUACCCAAAAAGUAAUCACAUUAAGUCACAUACAAAUUUCUUUUAUGGUUUAUACAAUUUAUAUUACUAAUUUUUUUUUGUGUAUAAAUACUUUAUAUAAGGCUACUACAUGCACCCUAUGCAUGAAAACAAAGAAUACAAAGCAGAUCCCGGAGACUUUUUUUUUUUUUUUUUGAUAACUCUGGUAUCUGGACAGCCACAUUCCCAACUAUCCCCCCGUAGGGGGUCCAGCGCUCCAACGGAAGGGAUGUUAAAUCCGCUGUGGCCGGGGCUCGAAGUCGUGAUGGCGGGCACCUCAGCCGAGGUUCCUUUACCACCAGACCACGAGGCCCGGUUAUAACUGUAUAGGUUGAACUUUUUAUAGUGACUGGGCUCACCCCGAAGGGCCACCUCGCCAGAAAUCCCCGUAGGGAUUUUUUAGCUAACCCAGUACCACCCCGCUUUCUCCGAGUAUCGAACUGGCGACCUCGGGUAGUCGUGUGUGAGAAACGUUCAGUACUGCCGCUAGGCCACCUGACGUUCUCAAAGAUCCCGGAGACUUUAUUUCUCUUUCGUAGAUAUUAGCUCAAAUAUGGCGAAAUAUCAAUGGAUCUUCGGUUUCACAAACAUAUUUUCGGUAGAGACAAAAGUAGAGAUAAAUUUAUAAGGGAAAACUGUUUUUUAGAGCAAAAAAAUAGUAACUAUGUCCCUUUACACUAAUCUAUAUUUUGUGUCAUAUUUUCCUAUAAUACCCUUUAAUAUUUAUGAAAAUAAUUUUAAUAAAUAGUUUUAGAAACAAAAAAAAUUUGGAAAAAUAGUAACAUUUGUUAAAAUACCUAUAUGAACUUAAUGGUAUAUUUUCCAGUUAUAAAAAAGUUAAAAUUAUAGAUUUCAGAUUAUGUUCUAAAAAAAGUAGAAAUGACAUUCUACGAAGUAGAAAACGAAAUCUACUUUUUUCAUUGAAUCUACAAUGUUUAGAAUACGUGAUCUACGUAAAUAGGAGUAUUCUACAAAUAUGUAGAAUACACAUUCCGCGCUUAACCUACCAUUCUAAAAUUCUUAGAAAUCAAAAUCUACACAUUAAUCUAAUUCUAAAACAUGUAGAAACCGACUUCUACAGAUUUACUAUAAAUCUAAAACAUGUAGAAAUCAAAUUCUAAACAUUACUAUAAUUCUAAAAAACUGUAGAAACUGAUUUCUACAUAUUAGUUGUAUUCUACGGAUAAGAAAUCAGUUCCUAAAAAUAUGGAAACAAAAUAUUUGAGAAUAUUCACUUUUCUAUUUUUUUUUAAAAUCGAUUUUUUUUAAAAAAAAACGAAAAAGGAAAAAAAAAAUCGACAAAAAAACCUUGGCAACCUUCUUCGCCGUCUUCUAUAUUCCAUUGAUUGUUCACAAAAUUUUCACAAAAUUUUCACAUUAUUUCUACCAUGAUUCAUGUCUAUGCUUCAUGUGGUGUUUGGGAAUUGGUUGUAUCUUCAGGUUGGAGUUUUAAUGUUGAUAAAAAGAAAGGGGGAAGGUUACUUGCUUUGGAAUUGAAGUCUUCUCUGGAAGAGUUACAGAAAAUUGUUAUAGAGGAUUUUGGUUUUGAAGAAACAGAUGCUGAUUUGGAGUUGAGUUACCUUCCUAUUGGAUUGAUCAAUUCAUCAAAUUGUCCACCAGUGAUCAUUGGAAACUCAAGGCAAGUUCAAAAUUUUCUAGGGUUUUGUAAGAAGCAUCAGUCAACUCAAUUGUGUGUCAGCUAUAAAGCAAAGCAAGGAAAUCCAAAUAAGAUCGAUAUUGAUCUUAAUAAGAUGCCAACUGAUGCAAGUACUAGUGAAGAGAACGAGCGAAAUCCUUGUGACAUUGGGACCGCUUCAAAUAUUGUUAAGGGGGCUAAGCAUAACGAGAAGAGGAAAGGGAAGAUGAAGCAAAGUGAAGUUGAUGGAGAUGAUUAUGAUGCUGACAAGCAUAACGAGAAGAAGAAAGGAAAGAUGAAGCAAGACGAGGUUGAAGGAGAUGAUUAUGAUGCUGACAAGAUCAAUUCUGAAAAAGAAAACAGAGAAAAAUUGGCAAAGAGUCAGGUGGUGGAAUUGGUUAAGACGGGAGAUCUUUUCCUCAACAAAACAGUUUUGAAAGCGAGGUUUGAGUUAUGUGCAAUGAAGCAUAACUUUCACUACACAGUUACCAACUCCAAUAAAUCAGUUUGGUGUAUUAGAUGCGCUGAUAAGGUGUGCUUUUGGGGUGCUCGAGCUGAGUGUUUGAAGGGCUCCACAUAUUUUAUUAUUAAGAAGUAUGUCGGUGUACAUUCCUGCGCACCUUCAAACAAAACCAGUGCCGGAAAGACAGCUUCAGCGAAAACGAUAGGCAGUCUGCUAAUGCAUAAAUAUGAAGGUAUCAAGGAAGGGCCUAAAGCGAAAGAUAUUGUUCAGAUUAUGCGUAAUGAUUAUGGAUGUGAGAUCUCUGAUUCUUUAGCAUGGGAUUCCCGUGAAUAUGCAGUCAACGCUGUUAGAGGUAUUCCAGAGGAAAGUUAUGGGAAAAUACCAAAAUAUUUGCACAUGCUGCGAGAGGCCAAUCCGGGUACACAUUCCUCUUACAAGACUGACGUCGAUGGUAGAUUUCGAUAUCUGUUUAUAGCGUUUGGUCAAUCGAUCAGAGGCUUUAACACAGUCAUGAGGCGUGUCAUUGUUGUCGAUGGAACAUUCUUGAAGAGUAAAUUCAAAGGGGUGCUACUGGUUGCAACUGCUAUAGAUGGAAAUUCAAAUUUAUAUCCUAUUGCAUUUGGGAUAGUAGACUCUGAGAAUGAACAGUCUUGGGAAUGGUUUAUGAGACAAUUAAAAGUUGUUGUUGCUGAUGAUAAUGGUUUGGCUUUUAUUUCGGAUAGACAAGUGUCAAUAGCGAAGGCACUGGAGAAAGUGUAUCCGCUAGCGAGACAUGGUAUUUGUAUUCAUCAUUUGUUGAAUAAUGUGAUAUCAUAUUUCAAGGGGAAGGGAUUAGCUGGGUUGAUUUCUAAGGCUUCAAAGGCUUAUAGAGUGGUUGAUUUCAAGAAGACGUUUGCUCAUGUUUGCAAUAUCAGUCCAGCAAUUGGAAAUUAUCUUAUGGAAGCAGAUGUCAAAAAGUGGGCUAGAUGUCAAUUUCAUGGAUACAGGUAUGACAUUAGGACAAACAAUCCUGCAGAGUCGAUAAAUUCUGCGUUGCGUUCGCCGAGAGAGUUUCCCGUAAUUCCUUUAUUGGACAGUAUCAGAGAAAUGCUGACACGCUGAUUUUUUAAGCGUAAGCAAUCGAUUUCAAAGCACACCCACCGUUUGACCAUAAAUGUGGAGGAAAAGAUUGAUAGGAGAAUUGGAAAGGGGGGAAACUUUCAGAGUUUACCCUGUAACCGAUAGCCAGCUGCUUGUUAAAGGCGAUACAAUUGACUGCUUUGUUGAUUUGGACAAACGGACUUGUUCUUGUGGGAAGUACGACCUCUUGAAAAUCCCUUGUAGACACGCAAUAAAAGCUGGUUUCUUUGUUGGUAGAGAACCAUAUACAUUGACUGAUUUUUUGUAUACCACGGGAGCUUGGAGAGAAGCUUAUCAAGAAAGCAUAAAUCCCAUUUCAGUUCCUGAAGAUGGUUGGUCUGUUCCACAAGUAGUGGAAAAUUCUGAAGUGCUACCGCCUGAGACAAGAAGAUCUCUUGGAAGAAAUAGAAAACGCAGAUAUGAAACUGUUGAAGACAAAAUCUGAUCAUCACAAGGAUCACAGGGGGGUCAGCUUCGUAAGUGCAGUAGAUGUGGUCUUGGUGGUCAUAAUAGAGCAACUUGCAAGAUGCCAAUAUAGUGGAUUUGUUUGUUGUGUUCUUCACAAUUUAGUGAAAGUUUUCCAGACUUCAUUUGCUUGAUUUCUAGUAACUUUGUUUCUGUUUGUGACAAUUUUGUUUCAGUUUUUCAGAUUAUAUUUGCUUGAAUUUUAGUAACUUUGAUUCAGUUUGUGAGAACUUUGUUUAAUUUUCAUAACUUAUUCUUAAACAAACUGUGAUGUCCGCUACGUUUGGAUCGAUCGAUCUAUAUAUUGAAUGGUCGAUCCGUCGGUCGAUCCUGAUCAAUAUGCAAAACAGAAAAAAACACGGACAAUCUUUUGAUCGACCUGGUACAGUUCUCUCGAUCGGCAAAGCUCGAUCUCAUACCGACCGAUCGAUCGACUAUUUGGAUCGAUCGAUCUAUAAUUUAGAUCGAUCGAUCGGCCGGAUGAAACGAUCGAUCCCGUACUCUGAUAAAUCUUAUUUGAACCGAAUUUAACUCAGCAAAAUAGAGAGAAUAGGAUAAAAACCUCCAUUUAUCUUCUCCUUCAUGACUAUACUUAAUAGAAUGGUAACUUACUAUAGGUUAUAUAAUUAAUAAAAGUUAUAAUCUAAACUGGAUAUAUAAAACAUGCAAACAACCCAGAUCCGAAUUCGAAAUGCGCAGAAAAUUUUAAAAAACCGGUGGAACACAAUGGAAAGAUAUAACUGAUACUAAUCAUUGGUGGUCGUCAGGACUGCAGCUCCUACUCUGUCCUGGUGCUCGUCUGCUCCUAUGGAGGCGUGAACCUCGCUCUGCAUCGGUUGCUUCAUCAGAUGGUUCAUUUUCUGCGUCGUCUCUAGUCAUACCAGCUGCCUCUGUAGUCUGUGGAGCGCGGCAGCAGGAAGGAGUAGGUGGAUAUCUAAUCUUUGCGAGUGCACCCCACACAGUCUGCAUCAUCGUCGAGAGCUUGACUAAUGUAUCGGCAGUCCAUGCAAACUGCUGCUGCUGUGUACCAUCUAAUGGUGGUGCUCCAGAAUCAAACUGACCAGUAUAUGGUGGUAACAAAUACUCCAUGGAAGGGUUUGGAGUAUGAUCGACUGAGAUAUCCGGGAUGGUGUCAUCCUCACAUUGUGUCUGCGCAGGACCAGAAGAAGAAGAACCACGACGACGUUUUGAAGCUGGUGGAGGAGGCGUGUAAAGAACUUCAGCAGGGGGCAUGAACUCCAUGUUCUCCACAGACGUCAGAGAUGUGAUAGCGGGUUGUGGAAGCUUGCAAUGAAGGAUUUUCCCAUCAGGCAUGGUAAAACGGUAAAUUUUACCAGAGUGAAGGAUCUUGGUGUUUAGGAAGAACUGGGCAUCAAAUCUGUCAAUCGUAUCCACACAAGGAGUAUCCGAAAGAUCAAUACCAUGGUGCAUGAAGAUCCGAGUAAGUAGACUGCCAAUAGACUCCUCCAAAGGCUUCCUGUCAAGAGGACGAAGACCCCUAAACUUCCUUUCAAACAACAUCUGAGCAAACAAUGUUCCCAUGUUUACCGAAAGCUCUGCUGGAGGUUCAUCUGCAACGUCAUACGUCGGCCUGAGAGCUAAUGGCAGCCCGUAGUGAAUAAGCUGCGCUUCAUCCUCGGUAAGUGAUCCUGCUUCUGACUUUCCAAGUAGAAGAUGACCCAGAUAUUUUGCUACCACUCGCAAGACCAGGUUUCUGAGCAUUGCAAGUUUAGCUUCCCGAGAUACAUAAGAACUGUCUGCAAUCUUUCUCCACAACAAGGAAGCACAAGGAAACUUGGGCAAAGAGCAUGCCUCAUGUCGGGUCUCAAAUCCGAAUAGUAUACACAGCUCGUGUAUAGACAUCUCAUAAAGCAGUCCUCUACAUAGGAAUGUAAGUUUACCUUCGCUAGCAACUUUGUUUACCUCGGACUUGUAGUGCAAUUCAACAGAAGAGAGAAAUUGUAUAACCAAGUCUGGAUAUAAGAGUUGUGGAUUGUAGCCAAGAGUUCCAAGUCCCAUGUUUUUCCACAUCUUUUUGACAUCCCGCAGAAUUCCCAACUCCUUUGUAGUGUAAUCGCAUAUGAACUUUGUUGGUUUCAAUCUCAUCCGCUGCAAACCAUUGUAGAGAAUGCAGUGGUAAUCACUCCAACCAGCAUAGUAAUCGCGGUUUGUGUAGGAUGCAAGUUCUCUCAGCUCCUUCUUACUUGAGAUAUGUCGGUUAUGAAUUGUAGGGAGUUUAGAGAAUGGAGUCAAUGGGUCACGAGGCCAAGGGGCUGCUUCCCAAGGCUCACCACUUUCGGGCUGCGCUGAGGUCGAAGCAGCUGUUGUGUCACGUGUCUGUGUUGCCGCCGGUGCUGCUUCCUUGGUUUUUUUCGGCACUCCUUUUUUCACCAUUUUCUGCACACAACCCUUAACAAAUGAGUUCUCAAAGAUAAAACUGAGUUAAUUGGCAUGGACAAUGAUUCAACACCUAUGCAACUCAACAACUAACAUUACAGCAUCAGCAAUCUCAGUCUAUUAAUUCUAAAUUUUCAAAAAAAAUUUUUUAAGAAGUAACCCUAAUUUCUUAAAUCAAACUUAAAACUACGAAUUAAGGCAAGAGCUAUAAGGAAAAUCGUCACUUAUCAUCACCCUAACACACGAUUUAAGCCAAAACGACUUAAAAACACUAAAAUUUCACUUUUUCUAUUUCAAUUUCGAACUAUAAAAGUGGAGAUAGAAUUUCAUACCUUUACAGAUCGACCGAAAGAGUGGUAGAUUCAGAAUUAGCUCACAAAAUCGUAUGGGUUAGGCUCAAGAAUCGUCCAAAUCGAAGUUAAAUCGAGAGAGAUAGGGUUUAUGAAGUUGGGUUUGAUCCCAUUCUCUCAAAAAAAAUUGGGGAAGGAGAUAAAAGUGAGGUUUGAUCUGAGUCUCACGAUUUUAUGAAUAAAAUCGUGUUAGUCCGGUUCAAAUUAAGUGGGUAUUAAACCGGAUUUAACCGAUGAAAACCAUAAAAUCGAUUUGAGAGACUUACCUGGGUGCGGGAUCGAUCGAUCCGAAAUAUAGAUCGAUCGAUCUGUAGGCGAUCGAGCUUUGCCGAACGAGCGUACUGGAACAGGUCGAUCAAAAUAUGUUGCGCGUUUUUUUGUUUGUUCUGCAUAAUGUUCAGGAUCAACUGUCUGGAUCGAUCUGGUCCUACACAGAACGAUCUAUCUAUCUAGAUCGAUCUUUCUGGAUCGACCAUCUUGUUUCGAUCGAUCGAUCUAUUUAGGCUGACCGGAUUUGUAAUUCUUUUUUGAGUUUAGUGAACUUUAUGGUUUCUCAAUUGAUAAUGUUGUCUUUCAUUUUGUAAACUCAAGUACUGUAUAUAGAAAAAAUACCAUUAUAACAUAAAUUCCUAAAAUCAUUACAAAAUAAGUUUAAAAAGCAUAACCAACAAUAAAUCAUAAAUCAUCAAUCUCAACAUACUCGGCAGGCUUACUACACUUAAUAGGCUCAUACUUUGACAUUCUCUCAAUCAGUUCUAGAUCAUUAGCUGCUUCCCAUAGAUCCCACAUAAUCUUUAUCCGAGCUCCCCAAAUGUUCUCAUCACUCACCAUAGAUAUGUCCAACCCAAGCACGUGGCAUUCGAUGUGUUUUAUAGUGUACACACCACAAUGACAUUGAAGUCGGUUAAGACCACUCAUAGGUACAUAGGAAACAUUGUACGGAGUGAUGUGGAGAUGCUUCUGUAUUGUCAAUGACUGCACGGCCUUGACAAUCCGAGGAAUAAGCUGCGCGAAAGCUUCCACUUCCUUGAUUUUUUUUUUACCCCCGCAGUCAAACACCUGGAUAUUCCUAGUCACAAAACUGAUGCAUAAAGCAAUCCAAUGGUUGCAAUUGACCCAGACAGGAACGUACAUCCGAUCCACAUCGACAUUCCACAACAUCUGUGUUCUUCCAUGGGAAGGCAGUUCACCUUUACCGUAUUGCAGUAGUAAUGGAUCCAUAGUGUAUUUCUUAAUACCCUUACAGAAAUUCUGGUAAUCCUUAGCAAUGAGGUCGCUGAAGACGCAUGUCAUGAAAGCAACACGGUCUACGUUCCAUCGUUUCAAUGUUGUUCUUUCCCGAAAAACAUACAUUAUAGCAUCAAUUUCCUACAAAAACAAAGACAAAUCUGUAAUGUAUACAUUUAUAUAAUAGGUAACAUUUUAUAGAAAUAACCGGUUGAAUGCUUAUGUAGUUUUUAAGCCAACUGCUGGCAGACAUAAUACGUCCGGCUAGAUCACCGUCUAACAUAGAAGGACCAAUCUGUAUAGCUCUGUAAACAAAAUACAAUGGUAGAGAUGUCAAUUAUUAAGAAAAUCAACCGAAUGAUAUAUACAAAGGAAUAACAUACGUUCGUGUAUCUUGCCAGUCCUGCAUCUUCUUAAAAUCUGUAGGAUGCACAAACACCAAGCAGCGAUCAGGGAAAUUUUCGCCGUCUAGCUCUAUAUCUCGGUCAUCUAAUCGGACCGCUGGCUUCUUCAAUGAUUUUAGAAGUUCCAAUGAAUCUGUUGGCUUCUUCAAUGAUUUUGGAAGUUCCAACCAAUCCAAUGAAUCUUCGACUUUAGCUUGAGAAGGAUUCAAACCUUUCACAAAUGUUUCUAAUGGAAGGUUCUUCAUGCAACUUUCCAAAAACUCUUGUGUACCCAUACGAAGAUCACUAGCUGAUGAUUGAGUAACUUUUGCACGAGGUAAAUUGACACACGAAUCAGCAGUCUUUAACUCUUGGUUUUUUACAGCCUGUUGACAAACACGUACAAUUACAAAUUACACAUACAAAUUUCAUGUUCAAAAUAGAGAAUAGACAUAAACGCCAAGUUCGAAAUCCAUAAUAAACAUACAAACUUCCAAAUACAUAUUACAUUAAAUAUAGUCAUUACAUAAACGACAAGUUUCAAAUACAUAUUACCGCCUCAUUCCAAGUUCCAACAACCUAGCUUCAAAGACCUACAUUCCAUCGCCUAGUUCCAAGCUUUCAACAACUUUUAACUCUUUCUCUUAUUAGUUACCUUUUUCUUUGAUGGAGCAGUGCCUUUUUUGCUGGUGCUAGGACCACUGUUGAUUUUGGUCAUGCUAGGACCGCUUGCUUGAUCACUCUUUCCCACCAAUUCAGUCACCACUAAAGUUGUCCUGAGCUGUGUAACCUCAGCCUCAAUUUUCCCCAAUCUGUCGGUUACAACUGUCUCAAAUUGCUCAGUUCUCUCUGAAGCUGUCCUGAGUUGUGUAACCUCAGUCUCAAUCUUACCCAACCUGUCCGAGAACUGCUGACAGAAUUUCUCCCCAAAAGUAGUAAAAGAAGCUUGUACCAGAUCCUCCAAGAAGUUUUUCAUAUAUGUGUCAAUAUUCCCUUUUGAUGAAGCAGCUAGGUGGCACAAAACAUUCUUCUUCCUUGACUCUGCUCCUCGGUCUGCAUGCUUUCUCUUGUUUCUUCCCGAAACAUCAGCUGUGCCAUCAACAUUCCCUGCAACAUGACUAUUUUCACCUCUCUCAGUAUCAGCUGUUUGAUCCUCUCCUUUCUCUUCGCCAGAUUCCUCAAAUUCAGAGUUCGUAGCUUCUUUUACUCCCCAAACAUGAUUGUUCCAAUCAUGUUUACUAUUGAUCAUAUCCAAAAUGCGAUCUACUCUUUCAUCUUUCUUCUCAUCCUUCUGUACAAAAUCAGUUGCCAAAAGGACUACUCCAUCUAUGUUGGAUUCCAUGAAUGAAUGCAAAAUCCCCUACAAACAAUCAAAUCAUUAGUAAAGUGAACAAGACAAUAAAUAUUUUAAUUAGAAAAAUAUAUGCAUACAUUUUCUGGGAAUAAGUUCUCAACGCCAAUGAUAUCUUCAUAAGAACAUUUUGCACAUCCUCUCCAAUUACCACACAGUGGACCUGUAAAAUUUUUACUGACUUUUGUGCCACAAAUCUCUCCUAAAGCAGGAACAGCUUCCAUUAUCCAAAUUUGGAAACCAAACAAGAAUCCUUCCAUCAGAUACCCCUCUUUCUGCUCUAAUUUAUGCCUUGUUUUAUCAAUUUGCUUCAGAAGGAAAUCAAACGAAUACAGACCCCAUGGGUAAUUCCGAAGCUUCUCCAAAUCCAUCGCCAACUUCAUGUACAGAUGCGGGAUAUUCACCUUCUCAUCCUUCCCCAUCACCACACCCAUAAUAACGCAAAGAUAUAUCAGUCUCACCCUAUCAACCCAAGUCCAGGUAUUGCUCUCUUCCAAAUGCUUCUUUUUAAUGAUCUGCAAAUUUAUUUUUCCAUUUGUCUUUAUCUGCUUGCUCCAAAAACCAUCAUCAUCUUUCCAUGUCACUAACCCACUGUUAUUCUCUCGCUUCACUUUCAGACCAGUGACAGCAUGAUACUCUUGCAAUCCAAAACGCAGAGGUCUCCUAGCGAAAGUGAACCACUUCUCAUGUCUCUUGCUUGUCAUCAACUCCUUACACAAAAAAGAGUGUACCAACCUCGCCGAAAACUUCAGAUCAUUUUUUUUGUUCUGAAUAAUGAUCGGGAUCGAUCGAUCCACUAUACCUUGUAAAGUGGGAUCGAUCGAUCCCCCUUGUCGAACUCAAUAUAUAUCUUUUAAAAAAAUUACAAUUUUAAAGACAUUACUGCCAUUUUGGAAAAAAUUAGUCUAAUAGGACAUAAAGUAGUAUAGAUUAGUCUAAAGGGACAUAGUUACCAUUUUUUUGCUCUAAAAAAACAGAUUUCCCAAUUUAUAAUUCAAAGGUCGAAAUGAGUAAAGAAGUGUUGGAUUGAAAGAAUCCGGUAAAUGGAGUUCUGAUAAUCGAUUGUUUUGAGUGAGAAAACCUAAUUUCAUUUUCAUUGCCUUAAUGUUUGAGUGAUAAAAAAAAGGAAAAUUUGGAAAUAAGGAACAAAAAAACUUAGCUAUUGUCCCCUUAGAAUAAUUUUACUAAUCUUUGUCCUCUUAGUACAAACUAUAAGGAAAACUCACUUUAGUCCUUGGUGUUUACUAUUUAGAUUUAUAAAUAUAAUAAAAACAUAAGUACUAAUUAAAUAUAGUUAUAAUAUGAUAUUAGUAAGUUUUAGAGUAUAGUAAAAAGUAAAUAAAGUUAAAAAGGUCCAAAAUCCAAUCGUCUCCAACCCAGGCUCUCUGCGAACAUCACCAGGUAAACCCCCUUUUUUUUUUUGAACGACCAUCACCAGGUAAACCUAAACUCACUUAUGUUGCUGAUAGAUUUGUCUUUGUCUUAGAUUUAGUUCAUCAAUUGUUAACUAAAGGCUGAAGCUUUUAAUCUUAUAAAGCUCAACUCUUCCUCAAUUACCUGAUUUGAGUGCUUGAUUCAUGUGUUAAGGUUCAAGACAGAAGAGAAGAGUUAGAAGGAGAAGAUGUUGUACAUCAUAGGUUUAGGUUUAGGAGACGAAAGCGACAUAACCAUGAGAGGACUCGAGGCCGUCAAGAAAUCUCAGAAAAUAUACAUGGACAGGAAAAGUUUUAUGGGAAACCAAUCACACUUGCUGAUAGAGAGAUGGUUGAAGAAAGGUAGGGAUUAUGAUUGAAGAAGCCAUUGAUAAUGAUAUCGCUUUUCUCGUUGUUGGUGAAUCGGUGAUCCCUUUGGGUAAUGUUGAAUCUAGUUAGACGGUGUCGUUUAGUUAGUUAGAUACUGUCUGAAUUGUUUUGUUUUUGUGUGUUUUUUUGUUUGUUGCAGAGCUACAACGCAUAGCGAUCUUGUUGUUAGAGCUAAGAAACUCGGUGUAAACGUAGAGGUGGUGCACAACGCAUCUGUGAUGAACGAUGUUGGGAUUUGUCGUCUGCAGCUUUACCAUUACGGAGAGACGGUUUCGACCCCUUUCUUUACCGAGACUUGGAGACCUGAUAGCUUUUACGAGAAGAUCAAGAAGAACCGUGCUCUUGGACUGCACACGCUCUGCUUGCUUGAUAUCCGAGUGAAGGAGCCUACUUUCGAGUCUCUUUGCAGAGGAGGGAAGAAACAGUAUGAGCCGCCGAGGUAUAUGACUGUUAAUACGGCCAUCGAGCAGCUGCUGGAAGUUGAGCAGAAGCGUGGAGAUUCUGUGUACUCUGAAGAGACAGAGUGUGUGGGUUUUGCGAGGCUUGGCGCUGAGGACCAGAAGAUACUUUCGGGGACGAUGAAGCAAUUGGAGAGUGUUGAUUGUGGAGCACCGUUGCAUUGUCUUGUGAUAGUAGGCAAGACACAUCCCGUGGAAGAAGAGAUGUUGGAGUUUUACAAAUACGGAACUGCAAAUUAAAAGACCACAUGACUGAAGAAGGCUCAAGGGGGAGGCAGGAACGAUCAAGAUGUCUCUCCGAGUAAGAGAUUGAAACCAGGAACAUUUUUACGAGCUAUUUAUAUCUACUUUCAAUAAAGCUCUAGUGAGCCCAAUCUAGCUUGUUAAGGAUUUGCUUUCAGACUGUAUGUUUGUUUUCCCUUAAAACUGAGGAAAAAAAUUUAUUAUCCAACUUUGGUCUUGCUGAACACUACCACAAAUUUUAAAACCUGACUUUUCAACAAGAGUAUUCCUUUCCAAGUCAUUUUCAAAAUUUGAAAAAGAGAAAGAAACAAAGAAGACUAGGAUAAGGCGUAUGCGUACGUGAUGCACAUAUAAUGACGUAUGGUUACUUGCGUAACGGAGGCUGAUGGAUAGUGAAAUGCAUCACAACCCGUCCACUAUUCAGAAAAGACAUGGAAGAUUGUGUCUGGCUAAAAGUCCCUUGACUUUAAGCAGCUAAAUAUUAGCCAUACUUAUACUAGUUUACAUAUGACCUUACAAAACAGCCAAAAACUAAUGAUAAACAUUUAAAAAAGGAAAUAAAAAAAGAUUUAGGGAAUAUUUGGUAACCGUUUUUUUCCUGAAUUUUCGGAUUUUGUUUACAAAUCUAGUAGAACUUACUUUCUACCAAAGUUCGAAAAAAGAUGAAGUGGUAGAUGCAAAAAACUGAGAUCGUAGAUAAAGGAAAAGUGGGAAGAAAAUAUGUUCUGUCAGGACAGAUAUGAGAACUUUUAUUAUGUCGUAUAAUCUACCAAAUAUACAAAACAUAGAAGAAAAUGUAGAUUUGUUAUUCUGCUUUAGUAGGUCAAAAUGUUUUAGGUGUAUUGUGCCUUCUAUGUAUUGUAGAUCAUUUUGUCUUAGGUAGAAUGCAUAUUCUAAGUUGUCGAUGGUAGAUUUGAUAUUCUAACACAUUUAGUCCAUUUUUAAAGUUACUAUUCUAAAUAUUUUUUUAAUCCAAAAAUAUUUUUCAAAUAUGCACAUGUUUGAUAACCUCAUGUUUUAUAUUUUUAUUUAUUUUUUUGUAUUGUAAAUAUAUUGAUAUUAAUUUUUAUUUACAAGAAGAGUACUGAAAGUCCAAAAGUGACAAAUUUUAAUUUUGUAGUAAAGAGACGAUAGCUAAGUUUUUUUGUUCCUUAUUUCCAAAUUUCCCAUAAAAAAAUGAAUGGAAUGUCAUAGUCAGACAGAACAAUCGUCUUUUAAAAGUUUGGUACAAUACUUUUCAAAAAAAAAUUUGGUCUGGCUAAUCACUAAUCAAAUUUUAUGCUCUUUAAAAAACAGUUGCAAUGCUUUCAAUUUACUGAGUAAUUAUGUACGUACUAACCGAUCAAAUAUAACAUAUGUUUUAUAUAAUGAACAAUGUACUCCUUUUGUUUCAUAAUACAUAUUUUAUUUAAUGAAAAAAAUUAACAAAUUUAUUUUUCUUUAUAAAACAACUUUAAAAAUAGAAUUUAAAAAUCAUUCAACCAAUUAGGGAAAUGACUGAAAAAUCUAUUUGAUUAUCGAUUUUUAAUAAAAUUAAAGAUAAUAUAAAAAUAUUAAAAAGUGUUUUAUUUUGUAACAACAAAAAUCUUCUAAAACAUAUAUAUAUAUAUAUAUUUGAUAAAAUUUUAAAUUUAUUGAUCAAUCAUGAGAAAGAAUUACAUUUACAAAAAAAAUCAGGCUAUGAAGAAUAUACUGAAGUAAAAGAAAGAAUAAGAAAAACUAUAGAAAGACCACAUUCUGCCUAACCCGUGAGCUCAAACCAUCGUUGUAAAAGUCCAUCAAUUCUAUGCUGCAGACCAUACUUCAGCGACACUAUUCUGUUUCUCAUCGAUCUAUCAAUAACCUUUUGCAUAUGGUUUGUAGACGUCCAUUUGCACUGAUGCCGCAUGGAAUUUCUUUCUCUCCAAAUAUGAUAAAUGACUGUUUGGAAGAUCAGAUUUCUUAGAAUGGAGUCAAGUCUAUUUACCCUCUCGCGUUUGAUUGCAUUAAGCGUAAUAGACCAGUCAGGGUUAGUCCUUCGGCCAAAGAAUCCUCUCACCAGACCUUCCCAAACAGUGAAAGAGUAGGGACAUGCAAAGAAGAGAUGAUCUCUUGUCUCAUCCCUUUCUCCACACAGUCCACACUCCUGCGUAAUAUCCCAACUCCUCAUCCUGUCUCCAGUAGAAAGCCGGUUUUGUACUGCUAGCCAAGUGAUAAAGGCGUACCGAGGUGUGCUCUGUGCGAACCAGACGACCUUAUACCAAGCUACCUUCGGCUUCUUUGGCCUAAUAUGCUCCCAAGUGUUUGCAGUAGAGAACCUGUCUUGGAAAUCAUCCUCUCCUUGCUUCCAUAAAACCAGAUCAUCUCCCCUAUCUGCAUCAGGGACCGGCUUCGCGAGUAUCUGAUUGUAUAAAGACUGGAACUUCCUGCUGCGUUUAUUUCUCAGAAUCCAGCCAUCACUUGAGACCGCUUCACACACCAGUGCUCUGCGAGGAAGACCCAGAUACGUUGUGCCGAUGGCGCCUGUGACAUCAAUCAGUUUCCAUGCACCCAUCCAGUUAUCGAACCAGAAAUACGUAGUUGAUCCAUCUCGAACCUCUAUUUUCAUAAACUCAUAAGCCAAAUCCCUCAGCUUAAGUAACUUCCUCCAAAUCUAGGAUCCCUUAUUAUCAUCUCUCACAUCCCAAAAGAGCUUUGUCGAAGCAGAUAGUGUUUGAUCCAGCAAACCCAUAAGAAAUUUUGUUGAGUAAAGAGCCGCCAUAUAAGCCUCAAAGCAUAAACUUUAGAAGUAUCCCUCAGCCUCCUCACUCCAAGCCCUCCCUCUUCCUUGGGAUAACACACAUCUUCCCAACUCACCUUAGCCUUGUGGGGUUUGCGUUGGCGAUCCUGACCAAAGGAAGGCGCUGCACAUGCUUUCUUUUGUAUCCAGACACUUAGCUGGAAGGAUAAACGCAGAGCUCCAAAAGUUCACCAUGCUUACUAUAACCGAUUGAAUUAACUGGAGCCGACCGGCAAAGAACAAGCCCUUGUUAGAUCAGCAAAGCAUCUUCCUUCUGAUCUUGUCUAUCAAUAGCUCAUAGUCGUUAGCUGUUAAAGAUUUGGUGGUUAAAGGCAUACCUAAGUAUCGGAUAGGUAGGUUUCCUACUCCAAUUCCCAAAGCUUCCGCUUCAGUAAUCAUGGGCAUCUAAUCACUUCCUGCUACAAAAAUUUGAGACUUAGCUGCGUUUAAGUGGAGGCCCGACAUAUCUGCAAAUUCCUUCAGAACCUCUAUAACCCCAUUUACUGAAUCUAUGGUACCAUUAGUAAAGACCAGGAUGUCGUCAGCAAAACUAAAAUGAGUGACCCUGACUCCCUGACACUGAGGAUGAUAGGCGAACUUUCCAUCUUCGGCUGCUUGAUUUAGCAGUUUUUAAAGCACAUUACUAAGAAUGAUAUACAUAUAAGGCGACAACGAGCAUCCCUGCCUUAUCCCUCGUGCGCUGGUGAAGAAGCCUUCAAGACUUCCGUUUACUGAGACCGAAAAGGAUGUUGUAGAGAUGCACAGUCUUAUCCAGUUGACGAACUGUGAUGGUAGUCCCAUCGCUUGGAGUACCGAGUUAAUAAAGGACCACUUGUCUAUGUCGAACGCCUUAGAGAUGUGAAAUUUAAUAGCACAUCUUGCUGAGCAGGAAGCCUUGUGAUAUUCAUUUACCAACUCAGAAGCCAAGAGCACAUUUUCCAGCAGCAGCCUCUCUUUUAUAAAAGCGCUCUGAUUUGCCUCAAUAGCUCCGGGAAAUAUGAGCUUGAGCCUGUUAGCUAACACCUUCGAGAUGACCUUGUACAGUAGAUUACAGCACGCUAUGGGCCUGAAAGUCCUUCAUCUUCUCAGAAUUUUCAGUCUUCGGGAUCAGCGUUAGACUUGUUGCAUUGAUUCCGGUUGGAAGAAAACCAAAGAGGAAAAAUGAUUGAAUCGCCGUAAUAAAAUCCCUGCCAAUCACAUGCCAAGCCGCAACAUAGAAUUCUUUUGUGUAACUGUCGGGUUCAGACACUUUGCCGUUAGGUAGUGAGAACAGGGCAUCAUUUAUCUCACGUCCUGAGACAGGAGCAACCAGCUGUGCACAGACUCCUCCUGGGCAUCUAUACAUCAAAAUACCACGAAGCUCAUCGCCUGUAACCUCAACUCGAGUUACAUCUUGGGAUUGCAGGAAUCGUUGAAAGUGAGAAACCGCUUCUCUCUUAAUGUCGACAGCCGCCGUGAGAACUUCUCCAGUCUCUGUAGUGAGGCUUCUAAUGGCGUAUCUAGCAGUCCGAGUUUGAACGUAACGAUGAUAGAAGACUGUAUUUUGAUCUCCAGCUUGCAACCAUCUUAUACACGACUUCUGUAGCCAGAAUUUCUCCUCUAUUUUUGUGAGCUUGUGCCAACGAUCAGAAGCCGCGGACUCUUGGGCACAGUUUUCAGGACUAGGAUUCCCAAGCACUCUAUUCUGGCAUUCGUAGAGCUCCUCGUAAGCUUGUUUGGUUCUGUUUGGCAAAUCGCCAAGCCUGGAACGGUUCAGAGCUCUCAAAUUGAACUUAAGCAGCUUUAUAUUAUGGAACAAAUAGAGUAUAUUGUUUACAAUGUUUCACCCCGGGAAAAGCAUGGGUUUUUGUUGGUAUAAACAGGGUGAUAAAAAUUUUAAGCCCAAAUCGAUCAUGCUCAUCAUAAAUUCAAAAUAGGUUUCGGUCCACAGCUACAAUUACAAAUGUUCGGCCUAAUGUAUAGACGAUUAUCUAAAGAAAACAUAAUUGUAUACAUAUAAAUAAAUUAGAACACAUAUAUAUAUAUANNNNNNNNNNNNNNNNNNNNNNNNNNNNNNNNNNNNNNNNNNNNNNNNNNNNNNNNNNNNNNNNNNNNNNNNNNNNNNNNNNNNNNNNNNNNNNNNNNNNCAAAAUCUAACCCUAACAAUACAUACAAUACUACAACAUAUGUUUGCCAAACUCUUAAACCAAAGUAUUUCAUGAUUCACUACUUCCACUCAUCUAUCUUCAAAACAAAUCAAUUUUAUCAUAUCUUAAUUUAUAUCAGUUAAAACUGUUUAUAAUUACUUGAUUUUUAUUUUUUACGCAUCAAAAUAUUUUUUUACAAGAUUUAUAAAUUAUUUUUAAAAUAAACUGGUACCAGACGACUUACACUUCAGUCGUCCAGACGACUUCCAACAUCUCAGACGACUCAGACGAUUUACUGGGGCUAUAUUCGUAAAAAUGGCUUCUGUUUUUUUGUUUGGUCACAAGGGGCUGAGCUGUAAUUUCACUAGGCUUUUAGGUUAGUUUUGCAUUUGAUUCAAGUUUGGGUAUAGGUUUGGAAUUAAAAUCAAGUUGUGGGUUAGUUUUGGCAAAAACCCCUAAUAUAUAAUACAUACAAUUGGACUUGACUCUUUGUGACUUCAAUCUUAAUGUAUGUUCUAGUAUAUAUGUCAACUCCUAAAAUCUAGAAAAGAAAAAGCUGAGUAAUGUUACCAUAAUUCUGUUUGUUUUGAGUUUUUUUUUGUGUGAGUUAUAACUUAUAACAUGUUGACUAAAUUUCGGCAAUCUCUCUUUUCAGCGAAAAUUUCAUUAAUGCAUUUCAAUCAUCUUGUUAUUAUUUUAAUCAAAAAAAUUGUAUAAUGACAUCUUUUUUUUAUAUCCAAAAAUUUUGAUUUAGGAGAGUUAUUGAUUUGCACAACAUGUGAACCAAAGACUGAUGAUGAAAAUUCUGUCGAACCACCAUGUUUGUGCUAUAGGAGCAGGAGUAGUUGUGGUUAAUGACUUAUCUAGAAGUCGAUCUCGGAAUGUAUUUCUCUUUCUCUUUCUCAUGUUGUUCUUUCUUCUUUUUGAUUUUGCCGAAAAACCAAUCGCCGUUUCAAUGGUUGUUUUCACUCUUUGCUUCUCGCUGGAACAAACGACGGAGACGGAACCAGUUGGAAAAAAGGCGAACACGUGGUGGUAGGUAUCAUUUCCUUCUCACCUCUUUCUUCUUCGUGUCUUCUCUUCCUUUCUUUUUCCUUCUAUUCUAUUUCUCUCUUUUUUCUUAUCCUUCCAAAGAAAUCAUAACUUGUUUCAAAAUCAGUCAUCCUUGAAGCCAACUUUGACAUGAUGAUUUUGAAUACAGAGAGAACCUUAGAAGCCAAGAAAUACAAGACCGUUGCUUUUAUUAGUUUCAGAAGUAUCGACACUCUGCGUUUCAUUAGAUUGAGAACAAAUGGGCCUUUUACAGAUAAAUGGGCCAAUAACCUUUUUACGCCGCUUUAUUGCUACUUCUAUCAGCGUACUCUCUCUCAAUACCACUAUAAGUCGCAGUUUAAAUCUUCCAGUUUAGCUACCUACCAUACUGUAGAAUUCACAUUUAUUUUUAUUUUUUGAAUCUUGCGUUCCAUGUAUAUUUUUGACUCUGAUUAGACAGUUGAUAAAGAGCUAGGCUUUCGCAUUUUGUCGAAUAGAUUAUUUGAUGGGUCGAUUUUGUUUGAUAGAUACGCUAAUUUUAUGCAAAAUAUCACUUCCAAAAUCUGGUUAAUUACCAACUCUUAAGUGAGUUAUUGAUAAAUAGUAAAGUUGUCUAUUAAUGUCUCUGUUUCUCGUUAUGUUCAUGUAUAUUUCACAUCUUUAUUUAUUUUCCAAAGGAUUAAAAAGAUAGAGGCCAAGAUGGUUCGGACCCAUAAGAAUAAAGCUAUAGGUUUUCUCUUUUACAUAUAGACCAUCAGUUUUUUUUUGUUCAUUCAUUCUUCCAAGACGGAUAUAGCAUAAAUUAUAAAUUUAAUACUUGUGUAGUAAUUACAGUAGAUAAAUUUUUGAGCUUUUUAUGCCAAGCGGUAAACAGUUCGUCGUGUUGACAAAGCCCUAUUGACAUAUGAGGGCAUGGUAAUUUCCAAGUAUUGGGAGCAAUCUGGACAUUUUACUCUAGCCUAGCUCAACCACCGUUAGGAAAUCGCUUCGGGCCACGCCUAUUAGGCCUCCAAAAAUUUUGAAAAAGUUUAUAUACACAUAGGUGCCCAAAUUUGUAAGAAAAAAAUUUUAGACCUCCAAACUAUUGAAAUUUUUAUUAAAUCAUGUAAGGUCCCCAUCCCCAAAAUCCAAAAUCUGAGGCCUGCCCUGCUUCUAAUUUCGUUUUAAUAAGCAGAACAACUGACAGCUAAUUGAUUAUCUUUUACUUGAUGGCGCAGAGUAUCAUCUUGGUCAGCUCUAGGCAAAGAUUGCUAACCUCAGCCUCUAAAAGUAAUCCAGUCUCUUUGUAAAAUACUAGCCUAUCCAAUUAUUUCUAUCUAGCUGUUUGAGUAUUUUCUUACUAGGCCAGUCGUUAUAGUUUUUCCCUCGCUGUUUCUGAAUGGUUUACAUCUGAAAGAGACUCUGAUUGACUCCAUUGUUUUGUCACCUUAGCUUGUUUUUUUUUGCGGACUAAAAGUCUACUGUGGAAUUGUUGCUCUGUGACCAACUUGUACAUAUGUUAGAGUGAGGGCCACAUGCAAAUUCUGACUAAGGAACUUGAAGCAGUGGGCUUGCGGCUAAACAAAAAGCCUCCACAGGUAAAAGCUCCAUUGAGUAGGUCAAAUUAAAUAUGUAGCUACUUUUUUGUGGUUUAUUACGAUGUGUUCCACUGAGAAAUUUGGUUUCUUUGUCCCCGGAACUUGAUUUGCAUUUUUGCUUUGUUUUCUCUAUACAAUAGAUCUUCUUUAAAAAAUAAAAAGACUGGUGACAGGUGGUAUCUCUUUCAACACCACAGCACCUUUGACUCACAUUGAUGAGAAGCUCUGUUAUCAAAUCCUGUAUGAAUACAAAAUCCACAAUGGUGAGGUACGAUGUUCCAACUUUCAUCUUGUAUCCGUUCAGUCUCAGACAAGCUUCUCGAGGGUUUUGUUUGAGUGUUACAAGUAGAAUUCUGAAAUAUUUCAGACAGACGUCUAAUUGAAUUUGUUUCCUCGUUAAUUUUAUUAUGUGAUUCAGUUAGUGGCUAUAUCUAACGAACCAAAAAUGGCAGUUUUGUCUAUUGUUACACAAGGUUUCAGGGCAAAAGAUUUUGUAUAACUAUUUCAUUUGUAAAACUUGUUAUAUGAGUACACAAAUACAUGAAUUUGUCAAUAGUAAUGGUCCGAAGAUGGGAUCAGAUGUGACUCAAAGUCAGAGACUGACUUAUGCAAUAAUGAUUGCCUCUUUAUUUCAGGAAAACGGUAGUGGGCUUUUACUAAACUCCUCAACAGCCCAGAACAUUUCAAUCUCAAGGCCCACUAAAGGCCCAGAAUGUAGGAUGUAACAGAGUCCGGCGACUCGGCAGCAACCCUGGUUCUCUUUGAAAUUUUGAAUUAUAAUAAAGAAACCUGUUUAGAAUCUACGAAGAACCUCUUAGCAUAUAUUGUUAUCCUCUGUUAAUUGAUUCCAUAGGAUCGAAUCUCAGGGAAUGGGGAUCGCGUCAUCCAUCCAAUUUCCGCCGGCAAAACCGGAGCAAGAGAAACCGGAAGAUUUCAGUGAUUGGCCAUAUCUGUAACACCCGUAUUUUCCAAAAUAAAAUAAACAAAUAAAAUUCUGAAAUCUCCAUUUAUUACUUCUCAAAAGUCAACUCCAAAGUCGUAAAUCCAAUAAAUAGCCAUAAAUCCAAAUAACAUAAUAAAUCUCGAGAAUAUCGAUAAAAGCAUAAAAUCCGCAAGUUUGAAAAAGAAAGAAAUAAAACUCCCAAAGCACCAAUCCGAUAGCAAUCACUCAUGCUCGUCAGUCUCACCUGAAAGGGGGAAAGAAGGAGGGGUGAGUAACAGGGGAGUUACUCCGUGAGGUAUGGGAUGCUAAACCACAAACCACUGACUCAGUACAUAGCACUACGACUAUGUAGGCCUAGUUCUAGCAUAAAACAAACACAGUGUCUAAUACACCACAUAAAAACAUCAAAUGCGCUGAUAGUGCAUAACUAGAUCACACACCCCGCAUUCUCCUUAUACGGAUAUAAAUAUAUAACUCUAUGCGCCGCUAGUACAAGAGUCCAUCCUUGUACCCCGCAAUCACCUAUGCGCCGCUAGUACAAACGUCUUUGUACCCCGCAAUCCCUCAUACAAUGCGCCGCUAGCAUAGACGUCCAUAUGCCCCGCAAUCUCCAUACAAUGCGCCGCUAACACAAACGUCUCUGUGUCCCGCAAUCUCCACACAAUGCGCCGUUAGCACAACAUCUUUGUGCCCCGCAAUCUCAUAACAGACUUAUGUAUAUACAUAUAUAAAUAACAGUUCUUAAUUCAUUCAAUUCAGUCAACCGUUGAAUCCUCUAUUAUCCUAUUUCCGGUUUAACAAUCAAUAGUAAUAAUAAACAAACAAGACUCUCAAACAGACUCAAUUCACAGAGACGGAUCAUGUUUCGAAACUAAACUUUCCAUAAUAGUAGUACUAAACUAGCUCGGGAUUUAAUGGGAUAGCCCUCACCUUAGCCACAGGCUGAAAUGAACAACGGAAGAUGCGGUCAGCUGAGGUCAACUGCAACACGAGAAUCAACGACUUAAGCUCAGCUUCUCUGGAAAUAAGUUUCCUAAAAUGGAAACUUUCCUAAAAUGAAACCUCUCCUAAAAUAGAAACUUUCCUAAAAUAGCAACUUUCCUAAAAUGGCAACUUUCCUAAAAUAGAAACUUUCCUAAUAUAACUUAUUUCCUAAAUUAGAAACUUUCCUAAAAUAUUCCUAUAACUAGAAAUAAGGAGGCAACAAACUUACUAGAAAACCCGCCGGAAGCUCGUCUAGAAAUCUCACCGGAAGCUCGUCCAGAAAUCUCGCCGGAAGCUCACCCGGAAAUCCCACCGGAAAAUUCACUAGUGACUGGUCGUCGAAUAAUUCAACAACAACUCGUCACACGCAAAGAAAUACUUUGACUUGAUGAGAAUAAAGAGAAAGGAUGGAGUUUCUUAUAUAGGAGAAGGGAAGGGAGGUAGGUUUUCUAAACAUCCAAUGUGGGACAAAGUAAAAAGAGAGAAUUAGACUUUAAUUUUUAAUAAAGGCCAAACUGGCCCACCAGAAAAAUCUGGGUCGUUACAAUAUCCGAUGACAGCUAAUGCAGAGUUGUUGAUAAAGAACAUCAAUGGCUUGUUCCCACCGAGAGCGGGAGAAUCAUCAACUGAUGAAGCCGUAGAAGCUAGGUAUUUCGAGUUCUUGAGAGGAGGCUGUUGCAAAGAUGUGGUUAAGGCUCUGGAAGAUUGUGAAGGACCUCGUAGCACUAAGUGUAAGCAAAUCGCUGGGAUGCUGUUCAAUUGUAUGUAUUCUCACCCUGAUUACUAUCAACCGGUUAUUGCUGUGUUUGAAGCUUCUGUCGAACAGUUAGACAAGGACCUUAAGGUCUUUCGUGCAAAGAAACAAAGAGAGGAGAGCUUUGAGAAAGCUAAUCUCUUUAAGGGCUUUAAGAGAUUCUAGGGGAUGUUUUUUUCUUCUUCUUAAUAUUGGAUUUCAAUACUUGUUUUGUUUGUUAAUAUUGCUUCAGAAACAUAACAGCUUAACCAGAGAUCAAUUAAGCUCAAACCAAAACAUUAAUCAACUUUGUCAUUCUUAUCAGCCUCCAUACAUGGCCAUAUGAUAUUGUUUACCCUUUUUAAUGUAUAUUUGACCUUAUCUACUAACACAUCAACUCCAAGAAAACCAUCUAUAAGAAGAAAAAACUAUGGACUUUCAUUUGUAACUGUCUAUAUGAGAACGUAGCUGGCGCUUUUGUAUUGAAGGGCCUUUUAGUAGUGUGUCAUAUGUACAUGUGAGGACCGGAUGGCUGCGAAACCAAUUUCUCUUAACUUGGUGAUGGUCUUAAGAGAUGUGGGUUCACCAUCACUUGUCUAAUAGUUUCCUUGGAAUUGCUUGCAUUCGUCUCCUGUUUUUAGGAUUCCACUAGAGCACCCAUCUGGUGACCCAAAAAUUGAAAAAGAUCCACAAAUUUGAAUGUACAGAGAAUGAUGUAUGGAUAUAAUUAACUUGUGAGAGCUAAUGGAGAAUUGUUGAUAAAGAACAUGCAUGGCCUAUUCGCGGGAGAAUCAUCAACUGAUGAAGAAGCCGCAGAAGCUAGGUAUUUCGAGUUCAUGAGAAGAGGCGGCUGCAAAGAUGUUGUUAAAGCUCUGGAGCAUUUUGAAGGACCUCGUAGCACCAAGUGUAAGCAAAUCAUGGGGAUGCUGUUCAAUUGCAUGUAUUCUCACCCUGAUUACUAUCAGCCGGUUAUCGCUGAGUUUGAAGUGUUUUACAAACUGUAAGACAAGGACCUCGAGGUCUUUCGUGCGAAUAAAACAAAGAGAUGAGAGCUUUGAGAAAGCUCAGCUUUUUAAGGGCUUUAAGAGAUUCUAGGGGAUAUUUUUUUAAAUAAUGGAUUUCAAUAGUAGCAUAAUAGUUUUCUUUGUUAAUUUUGUUGAUGCCCAUGAAUGUUCUUUAGCUAUUUCCUCACUUGAAUAUGAUAUGUUGCUUCUGAAACAUAAAAGGUUUAGACCUUUAUUAAUAAUUUACAUCUUUGUUCUUUCACUUUGUGCUUAAGAUUUAUACUAGAAUUUGUUUUACCACUACAGUUUGAUGUGACUAACCCAAAAUUAUUUCAUAUCACAUUUUGUGAAACAUUAGUCAACUUUGUCAAUCUUAUCAGCCUCCAUAAAUGACCAUAUUGUUAUGAAAAUAACUGAAAUUUUAUUAUAUCGCGAGAAUUUGAAUAAGGGCAAAAUUUAUACCCGUAGAAUUUUUAACACUGAUAGAAAGAGUUUAUUAUAGAGAGAAGAGAAGGUUGAGGGAUGAUCUUCUAAACGAUCGAAAUCGAUCGUUUAUAUAGAGAAAAAAUCUACUGUGCAAAUAGUGCAGCGGGCCCCAUAUCUUUUUAUAUUUCAAACAUUACUGCUCCUCCUUUUGACUUUUGUAACACUCCCCCUUGGGGGCCGGUGUCACUAUCCGCUCUCGCUUAACGUCUUUGUUGCCUCGUUAAAAACCUUUCCAGGAAAACCCAAUGGGAAAAACCAUAGUAAGGUAAAAAGAGUACAACCACGUAAGAUCCCCCUCGAAUGAACAGUCAUAGAUCCUUCUGAUGGCGCAUCCCAAUGUUAUGGAUGUGUUUCCUGAAUACCGAGGUAGGGAGUGAUUUUGUGAAGAGGUCGGCUGCAUUGUCGCAUGAUCGAACAUAUCUUACUUCAAUCUCUUUAUUCUUCUCGAGCUCUUGGGUGUAUGAGAAGAACUUCGGAGGUAUAUGUUUGGUUCUAUCGCUUUUGAUAUAUCCUUCCUUCGUUUGAGCAACACAUGCCGCGUUAUCUUCAUAUAGAAUAGUUGGCUCCGUAUUUUCGUCAAUCCCNNNNNNNNNNNNNNNNNNNNNNNNNNNNNNNNNNNNNNNNNNNNNNNNNNNNNNNNNNNNNNNNNNNNNNNNNNNNNNNNNNNNNNNNNNNNNNNNNNNNNNNNNNNNNNNNNNNNNNNNNNNNNNNNNNNNNNNNNNNNNNNNNNNNNNNNNNNNNNNNNNNNNNNNNNNNNNNNNNNNNNNNNNNNNNNNNNNNNNNNNNNNNNNNNNNNNNNNNNNNNNNNNNNNNNNNNNNNNNNNNNNNNNNNNNNNNNNNNNNNNNNNNNNNNNNNNNNNNNNNNNNNNNNNNNNNNNNNNNNNNNNNNNNNNNNNNNNNNNNNNNNNNNNNNNNNNNNNNNNNNNNNNNNNNNNNNNNNNNNNNNNNNNNNNNNNNNNNNNNNNNNNNNNNNNNNNNNNNNNNNNNNNNNNNNNNNNNNNNNNNNNNNNNNNNNNNNNNNNNNNNNNNNNNNNNNNNNNNNNNNNNNNNNNNNNNNNNNNNNNNNNNNNNNNNNNNNNNNNNNNNNNNNNNNNNNNNNNNNNNNNNNNNNNNNNNNNNNNNNNNNNNNNNNNNNNNNNNNNNNNNNNNNNNNNNNNNNNNNNNNNNNNNNNNNNNNNNNNNNNNNNNNNNNNNNNNNNNNNNNNNNNNNNNCUUCCGAUCUUGUACUGAUGGUUCUUGAUGCCUCAAAGGUGAGUUACGGUGUGGCUGCCCUUGUGAAUUGUUAUUUUGUUGUCAUGCUGCACUCAUUUAGUAACCUUAUAAUUUACUCUUCAAAACAAUGUUAGAGUGAAGGCCACAGGCAAAUUCUGACUAAGGAACUUGAAGCAGUGGGUUUGCGGCUAAACAAAAAGCCUCCACAGGUAAAGCUCCAUUGAGAAACUUGGCAAAUUAAAUAUGUAGCUAUAUUUUUUUUGUGGUUUAUUGAGAAACUUGGUUUCUUUGUCCCCAGAACUAUAUUUGCUUUGUUUUCUCUGUACAAUAGAUCUACUUUAAAAAGAAAAAGACUGGUGGAAUCUCUUUCAACACUACAGCACCCUUGACUCUGCUAUCAGAUCCUGCAUGAAUACAAAAUCCACAAUGCUGAGGUACGAGGUUCCAACUUUCAUCUUCUUUGAAUACAGGCUGGUGGCUUUUCAUGUCUUGUUUUGUUUGAGUGUUACAAGCAAAAUUCUGAAAUGCUUCAGACAUCUGUCGGUUUAUUUGAAGCCUUUCUAUAUGUUAAGUAGAAAUGAAUAUUUCAGACUUUCACAUUUGUCAAUUUUUUUAAAGCCUUCUAAUGGUAGUUUUUUUUUUGCCUUCGCUGAUAAACGUCUAAAUGAAUUUAGUGGUGCGUAUUGCAGGUCCUAUUUCGUGAGAAUGCCACAGUGGAUGACUUCAUCGAUGUCAUUGAAGGCAACCGCAAAUAUAUUAAGUGUGUUUACGUCUACAACAAAAUAGAUGUUGGAAUUGAUGAUGUGGAUAGACUAGCACGCCAGCCAAAUUCCAUUGUUAUUAGCUGCAAUCUUAAGGCAAGUUAGUCUUUUGGUCUGCAAGGAUGGCAAAUGCUAAAACUUCACUUUGGUCCUGUUUUGUUUUCCUUUUGCAUUGUGAUCCCUCACUGGUCUAACGGUGAAUGACUGUUGCUUGAAACAGCUGAACUUAGACAGACUACUUGCAAGGAUGUGGGACGAAAUGGGCCUUGUGAGAGUUUACUCGAAGCCUCAAGGCCAGCAACCUGAUUUCGAUGAGCCUUUUGUCCUCUCAUCUGUAAGUGUGUUUCUUUUUUCCCCUCAUUGCAUGAUAACCUUUCAAACUUGUCCAUAUCUGAUUUAUAUAUCUUUGUUGCUCGUCUGAUUCAACAGGAUCGAGGUGGCUGCACGGUUGAAGACUUCUGUAACCACGUCCACAGAACUCUGGUGAAGGAUAUGAAGUAUGCCCUUGUGUGGGGCACGAGCGCUAGGCACAAUCCUCAAAAUUGUGGUCUUUCUCAGCAUCUUGAAGACGAAGAUGUUGUUCAGGUUGUCAAGAAAAAGGUACAUAAAACGGAAAUAUUCCUAUCAACAUAGACUAAUGACUCAAGUUUAUAUAAUAUAAAUCUCUUAACCAUGAUGAUAUAAAUCUCCUAACCAUGAUGAUGAGACUAUCUAAACUAAACGUAUACUGUUGAUUCUGGAAUCUGUAGGAGAGAGACGAAGGAGGAAGAGGCAGGUUCAAGUCACACUCUAAUGCCCCUGCUAGAAUUGCAGACAGAGAGAAGAAAGCUCCUCUUAAGCAAUAAACUCAGCUGAUGAGUGAUCCCAAUACACACAUCUUCACCAUUGUUGGUCAUGGAUGGUUUUAGCUGAGUAGGAUGUACUAUGCUGUAUCUGAAUCAUUGUUGCCUUCUCUCGCAAUAUAAGUUUUCGAACCAUUUUACUUUUUGAAGAAUUACAAAUUUACAACAAGUUCCUUUGUACCCUUUUUCACAAAUUAUGUUUUUGAUUUUUGAAAAGUCUGCCUAGAGAAAUGUAAUGAAAUACUCUCUGUUUUUGAAGAACCAUACUUUUCUAGAAAAAGACGCAUGAUUUCAGAUGAAGUCUUACACUAACUGAUGUACAUGAUCUUUGUUUGUAUGAUAUUCUGGGUUAUUUUUGUUUGUAUCAGAAAACAGAACUAUAAAUAGAUUUUGUGUAUCAAAAAAAAAAAGAUUUUGUGUAUAUUUAGGAAGGAUUGCAACAACAAAAAGUGUGUCACAAAACAACCACUGGGGUUUGAUGUCAGAACAGUGAGAAAAAUCUCAGAGCGGAACAAAAAAAACAAAACACACUUUUCGUUGUUCUGACAUCAAACCUCAAAGGUUGUUUUGUGACAGAAACAUGCAGAAAAUGUUUAGUGAAUCAAAAAAUUUAAACUACUUGAGUCACAAUCUUACACUAGGAAAGAAAUUUAAAUGUUAUUUUUUGUCAAAACAAUUUGGUAUAGGAAAAAGAAACAAGAGAAUGCAACCAAAUAGCCUAUUGCUACUAGUAUAUAUACCACAACAGAGUGAUGAACUCCAAAGAGAACUCUAUGCUUCUUCUUCUGUUCUGUCAACCCUCAAUUCAAAGCCACAAUCUUCCCCUCAGAACCUGUCAACAAAACAAAUCUUUAAAACAUCAGACGCCCAAAGACCUUGUAAGAUUUUUAGAGAAAGAAGAACACUGAGAAUAGAGGUGUUAGUUAUUUACAUUCUUUGUGCAACUCUUCUGCCAACAGUAGAAUCAACUCCGCUUGUUCCGCCAGCUCUAUCAUCCUAUCCCUUUCUUCAACAGCUGCAUUGAGCAGCUCUAAUUUUUCGUCCACCUCCACGAACUUAAACGCUGCGGUUCCUGCAGCGUGAUCAACCUUCUCCUGCGAAACCGUGAGUCCUUGACUGUUCGCCUGCCGAGGUUUCACAUUCACCUCUUUUGGCCUCGCUACAACUGGCGUUCUCAUCGCCAUGAAGCUGUGAUUAUUCAUCUUGUAGAAGUUCUGCGUCUGUCGUGUGUAUUGUCGCAUUGUUGAAGAACCAAACACACAGAAAAGGCAAACAGAAAUCAACACAGAUGGAAAGGAAGCUCUUGUUCAAAGCAAGGCUUUCAAGACUUACUCCUGAUUUUAACUGGCUAACCUUUUCAAGUUUGCCCUGAGAAGCAAGCCUCCUCAAUCUUGAACCCAGGAUCCUUUUAAAGUUCGGUGGCACUUCAUGUCCUUUUUGCUAUACACACAUAACAGACCAUUAUCAGGAGCUUGAUCGUUACAUCAGUACAGCUUAGCUGCUAUGACAAUAACAACGAAUAACCUAAUGGAGCUAUGAUAAUCUUUUCUAAGAUAAUCAUAAUGGAAUGCAAUAACUAAGACCAAACUAUAACAACAAAGAACAGUUAACUAGUUAUAUAAUUCCUUUCUUAAGAUGAGAGUGAAGGAUUGGUUUUAGCUACCUUUACAAAUCAAAAGAUUUAAACUACUUAGUCAACUAUAGUCAGUGACAAAUGCAGGAUAAAGGGAAAGGUAAAAUAUGACUAACCACGAUGAAGUUGUAAAUUGCAGUGACAUCAGAUCCAUUAGCAUCCGUCAACGAUGAAAGAGCUUCGAAUAUCAUCCCAUCAUACCUUAAUAAAAAAAUAUUGGCUCAUCGGAAGCGUCACAAUGCAAGUAGACUAGCAAUAUACAGCACUUGAGAAUCAACAGAGGAUUAAGUGGGGUGGCUCGGAAAAAACAACAAACCUGGGAGCAUUCUUUGCAUCAACCAUAAAGUUACAACUGUCAUCAAUGCUCAAAUCAGAUCCACUACGAGGAAGGGGAGGAACUGGAGAAUGGUUGGAACUAGGAGAUGGAGUACUGGCAGCUGCAACCGCCGCCAGCUGAAAGGCAGCAGCUUUGAUCUUUGGUGUCCGUACCUUAUCCUUUGAGCCUUGAAUAUCAGGGGCAACACUUAAAUUACGCCAUUUAUCCUACAAAACAAUGAAACAUCGAAUAUUUAAGAUUCUUGGCUAUAAGUUACCAAAUAAUGGAGACACAUACAACACUAGUAACAUUCAAAUCAGAAAAAUUCCCUCUCAAAAUUCAACCACAACAAGGUCUGAUGAUUUGUUCCCCUCUCUGUUUAUCAGAUAUCAAACAAUUUCUAUGACAUAAGAGUCAACCUUCGCCAUAGGCAACCAAGAAACAGAGCAGACAAUAAACUAUAAUUAUGACUUAAAACCAUGGCUAGAUUUAAGACUAACGCAUUGCAGCAUUACUUGCACUAGAUAGUGUCAGAGACUGCCAUUAUAGUGUCAAUCUCAAGUAAGUUCAAGACCUUCUCUAAGGACAGCAGAAAGAUCAAUUGCCAGGCAGCCAGCAUAGACAACCAAAAUAUAUAAUCAGACACACUUAACGAAUCUCAGACGCUACAGACGAAACAGAGCAGCCAAUAAACUCAAAUUAAGAAAACUCUUAAAAGUUUUAAUCUUUUCAACAGAUAUCAACAAAGCCACUAAAUUUAAAUUCUCAGACCAAACAUCAGAGAACUAACACUUACAAAUUUUCUAUUACCGAUGUCUCAAGAACUCGAUGAAAUUAACUUUUUUCUAUGUAAGUGAUUGAGGAGAAGAAGAAAAGUGAAGACCUUUAAGUCAAUAUUGGAGCGAUUAGAGAGCUGACCAGCAAACUCAGGAUCUCGGAGAAUAUUCUUCCACUUCCCGGGACCAUGCUUCCUAACACCUGCGAGCAACGCCUCUUCCUCCUCCUCCGUCCACUUAAGCUUCUGGUUUCCCAUCGAAUCAGCGACUCAUCCGCCGACCUUUCUCCUCAAAAGCUCCCUUCCUUUGUGUUCCCAGAAUAUUUUCCAAAAAUCCAAACAAAAUCGCGACUUUUACAAAAACGGGGGUCUUAUGGUAAGCUUUCCAAUUUAAGAAGCAUAUCGUAUAAAGAUCUGAAAACCACAGGUCAAAAAAGGAAAUAAUCAAAAAUGUAAAAGAUUUUGGGUUUAAUUGAUCAUAAAUAAAACAUCAGGGGUCAAAUUCGAAUUAAACACAAAGUGUUAAAAAACCCUACAAAAAUUCAUAAACCCUGUAGCUACACUACAGAUCAUAAACCCUUAACACAAUGGCGACGACCGAUCACACCUCCUCCGACGAAAGCUCCCGCCUUUACCAUCCUUACCAGCACUUCAACGUCCCGAUCAACGCUCAGCACCUCUACAAGCUCCCCACCUCCCCCGAGUACCUCUUCACCGAAGAGUCCCUCAAAAAGCGCCGAUCUUGGGGGGAGAAUCUCACCUUCUACACGGGCACGGGCUACCUCGGCGGAUCCCUAGCCGGAGCCGCUUCCGGGUUCUUCUCCGGCGUCAGGAGCUUCGAGUACGGAGACACGGCGAAGCUGAAGGUGAACAGGAUCCUGAACUCGUCUGGCCACGCGGGACGCUCGUUGGGGUGUAGGAUUGGUGUUGUGGGUUUGAUCUACGCCGGGAUUGAGAGUGGAGUCGUGGCGUAUACGGAUAGGGAUGACGCGUGGACGAAGGUGGUGGCGGGGUUUGGAACUGGGGCGGUGUUUAGGGCGGCGCGUGGGGUGAGAGCUGCGGCUGUGGCGGGUGUGCUUGGAGGGAUGGCGUCUGGUGCGUUUGUGGCGGGGAAGAGGGUUUUGAAGCGUUAUGCUUACAUAUGAGUGAUGUUGGUCAUUGUGGGGAUGAUAAAAAUCAUAGCUUUUUGUUUCUAGCGUAGUAGCUCUCUUAUAGCUGGGAAAAGUUCUUUUAUAUAUUAUACAAUGACAAGGUUGGUUUUUAUAGCUGGGACUUCGUUAUGGUCUUGAAACGUGAGAGUAUCACACAUCUUAUUAUCUGAAUCCUAGUUGAAUUCAUUUUUUUACCUUUCUUACUUUGUCUUCUCUGUAGUUUCUUGAGGUAGUGACUUCCAUAACAUGUUUCAUGAUAUAAUGUUGGAUCUGUUGUGAACUUUUGCUUUGUCUCACAAGACUCAAGUAUGUCUCUAAGCUAGUGUUGUCUCGAAUUGACAAAUUGCCUUGUCAGCUAACAUUACUCAUAUAGCUCCAUCAAUUUUUAUUUCUUUGUGCGCAACUGUUUACACCUUUGCAACUAUCUUCUCAAAUAAUUUCCAAUUUAAAGCAAUUUUUAGUAUGCAGUUGCUCAAUAAGAUUUUUAUGUGCCACAGAAUAAAUGUUCUUUGCACAAAGGUGACUUGGUUUUGCAAGGACUAGACAGCUCUUCUGUAAUGAAAGUGAUUUUUUUUUUCAUGAGACCAAAGAAUAAAGUGUUUCAUAUACAAUAAAUAGGAACUUCGACACUAUGAGAGAUCAACAAUGAACUUUUUGGUGGAGCACAAUCAGAGAUAGCCAACGUCGCUUCACUUUGAUCUAAAGUCGAAGUUCCAAUUGUUGGUGUCAGUAUGCAUCCUCUGUCUACAUUGCAGAAUAAAAUGAUUGAAAUAAACACUCAUGAAUCAAAUAUUGGAGAUCAGUUACUUCAGGUUCUAAGAAACCAACCUGAGAGGAAGAAGAUAUUGGGGAACGAGGAACUGAAUUGUGAGCACGUGACACAGAAGAUGUCCUACCAGAGCUAUGUACUUCAUGAUCCCCCGUUGCAAACUCUCUUAGCUUGCUCAGUGCAGGCAACAGAACGGUAGCAAGAUCAGGUCUGUCCUUUUUCCGCAACUCGCAGCACUGCAAAGCCAGUUGAGCUAGCACCAGCGUCUCUUCUUCAGGCCAGUCUGAUAUUCUGGGAUCCAGAACUUCUCUGAGUCUAUUUUUCUCGAUCCCUUGCUCUACUCUAUGGCUUAAUCCCAUUGCUGGCAUCGCUGUGAGGAUUUGCAGAAGCACCACACCGAAUGAGUACAAGUCUGACUUCACUCCAAGCAUUCCCGUUUGCUGGUACUCAGGGUCAAUGUAACAGAACGUACCUGUUUCAACAAUUUGUUAAGGAUAUGCAAAGAUUAAAGUAGGGCUGGGAUUUUUAGCUGAACAUAACCCGCGAACCGAACCAAAAUUUCGGUUAUUUGGUGAUAAUGUCAGUUCGAUUCAGCAGGUUUAUAAAAAAAAUCGGUUUUGGCAAGUGGUUAGUUUAAUUUUCAAAAAAAAAAUUGUUAACCAAAUUUUGAGUCGAACUAAUCGAAAUUACCCAAAAUUUUGAACCGAACUAACUGAAUUAACUAAAAUUUUGAAUCGAAUUACCGAACUAACCAAAAUUACCCGUAUUUAACCGACUUUACCCAAAUCUUUAACCAAAAUAUAAUCAAAACUUUGGUUAGUUUUUUGGUAAAAAAUUUAAAAACCGAACUACCCGGAUACCGAACUAAACUUUUUUACGGUUCAAUUUGGCAAGAUUUUAGUAGAACAUAACUACUAGAAAAACGAACUACCCAAACCCAAACCGAAUUACCCGAACUACCCGAACCAACAGGCCUAGUUUAAAGGUAGAAUGAAAAUACUAACCGGCUGCAGCAGUCAUGUGGUAAUGGGUGAAGCUAUCAGCAACAGCAGGAGGCACCAACCGAGCCAAACCAACGUCACUGAUUUUGCUAAUCAUAUGCCCGUCUAGAAGAAUGUUUGCCGGCUUCAAAUCUCGAUGCACCAGCGGCUCAGGUUUAGCCUGGUGAAGGAAUAAAAGUCCCGUGGCAAUCUCAGCAGCGAUCCUGAACCGUGCUCUCCAAGACAACGGUGGAGUAUUGUCUUUACAGAAUAGCCGGUCUUCUAACGUUCCGUUCUCCAUAUACUCAUACACAAGGCAACCAUACUCGGGACAAGCACCGAGGAGGAUCACCAUGUUAGGGUGUCUCAUGCAGCUUAAAACCUCAACCUCUUGUUGGAACUGCUUAAGGCCUUGUGAGACGUCUGACUUCAAGAUUUUGAUGGCCACGGAAGUGUUUUCAAGAACGGCUUUGAACACGGGUCCGUACCCUCCUUCCCCGAUCUUUAGAGCGUCUGAGAAGCCGUCGGUCGCGUCUUCGACGUCUUUGAUGCUGUACCGUCUGUAGGAUACGGUGUUGGACAUGUUCUGUUCGUUGAACUUGGCUUGCAUCUCCACGAGUCUUCUCUUCUGCUUCUCUAUUUCAGCAAGACGAUGUGCCGCUUCGUUUGCGUGGAUGGCACUCUGUGUUUUCUGCUUAUCCAUCUCAGAUAAUUCCCUAAGCAUCUCUCUUGCUACCUUUGUUUCCUCCAGCUUUUCGGAUUCGUGGGCAGCUUGAUGAUGAGGGGCCUACAAGCAUUUCAUACCGUGUAUGGUAUAUUAGUCAUAGUCAUAUACAGUAAAAAUGUAGGGAAUGUGACAUUUUAUUAAUUUAUAAAAUUAUUAAUUUACAAAAGGUUUUUUUUUAUAGAUUUUCUAUUUUAAAGUAUAUUUUUAUAUAAAAUAAGAAAUAUUUAGUUCUACAAAAUUAUUAUCUUAUUAUUUUAUCGAUUUUUGUAUUUUGAACCGAUACAACUAAAAAAUUUAUUAAUUUAUAGUGUAUAUUAAUUUAUCGAGUAUCAAUCUAUAGAUUUUUACUGUAUCUAUGGAAUGUUGUCGGUUGUCUACAUGGAAGUAAGUAUCUUACAGUGUCUCUCCCCAUGGUUGCAUUAAAAUGUUGCAGUUCGAGUCUCAAUCUUCUCACCUCUAGUUCAAGAUUUUGAUUCUGAGCAUAUUGAAGAACAUUAGAACACAAACAUGUCAGCACUUUACAUUCUGAAAACACCAAGUCUACUUUUCUGAAACGUUCUUUUACCUCUUGUUCAGUGAUGUUACCCCCAGAUAGGCCUUCUUCGUCUCCAUCGGUUAUAUCAUACUAGAAAUACUAACCGGCUGCAGCAGUCAUGUGGUAAUGGGUGAAGCUAUCAGCAACAGCAGGAGGCACCAACCGAGCCAAACCAACGUCACUGAUCUUGCUAAUCAUAUGCCCGUCUAGAAGAAUGUUUGCCGGCUUCAAAUCUCGAUGCACCAGCGGCUCAGGUUUAGCCUGGUGAAGGAAUAAAAGUCCCGUGGCAAUCUCAGCAGCGAUCCUGAACCGUGCUCUCCAAGACAACGGUGGAGUAUUGUCUUUACAGAAUAGCCGGUCUUCUAACGUUCCGUUCUCCAUAUACUCAUACACAAGGCAACCAUACUCGGGACAAGCACCGAGGAGGAUCACCAUGUUAGGGUGUCUCAUGCAGCUUAAAACCUCAACCUCUUGUUGGAACUGCUUAAGGCCUUGUGAGACGUCUGACUUCAAGAUUUUGAUGGCCACGGAAGUGUUUUCAAGAACGGCUUUGAACACGGGUCCGUACCCUCCUUCCCCGAUCUUUAGAGCGUCUGAGAAGCCGUCGGUCGCGUCUUCGACGUCUUUGAUGCUGUACCGUCUGUAGGAUACGGUGUUGGACAUGUUCUGUUCGUUGAACUUGGCUUGCAUCUCCACAAGUCUUCUCUUCUGCUUCUCGAUUUCCGCAAGACGAUGUGCCGCUUCGUUUGCGUGGAUGGCACUCUGUGUUUUCUGCUUAUCCAUCUCAGAUAAUUCCCUAAGCAUCUCUCUUGCUACCUUUGUUUCCUCCAGCUUUUCGGAUUCGGGGGCAACUUGAUGAUGAGGGGCCUACAAGCAUUUCAUACCGUGUAUGGUAUAUUAGUCAUAGUCAUAUACAGUAAAAAUGUAGGGAAUGUGACAUUUUAUUAAUUUAUAAAAUUAUUAAUUUACAAAAGGUUUUUUUUUAGAUUUUUCUAUUUUAAAAUAUAUUUUUAUACAAAAUAAGAAAAUUAUUAAUUCUACAAAAUUAUUAUCUUAUUAUUUUAUCGAUUUGUUUCAUAUUUUGAACCGGCUCAACCAAGAACAUGAAGAAUAUAUUAAUUUAUAGUGUAUAUUAAUUUAUCGAGUAUUAAUCUAUAGAUUUUUACUGUAUCUGUAGAAUGUUGUCGGUUGUCUACAUGGAAGUAAGUAUCUUACAGUGUCUCUCCCCAUGGUUGCAUUAAAAUGUUGCAGUUCGAGUCUCAAUCUUCUCACCUCUAGUUCAAGAUUUUGAUUCUGAGCAUAUUGAAGAACAUUAGAACACAAACAUCUCAGCACUUUACAUUCUGAAAAUACCAAGUCUACUUUUCUGAAACGUUCUUUUACCUCUUGUUCAGUGAUGUUACCCCCAGAUAGGCCUUCUUCGUCUCCAUCGGUUAUAUCAUACUACAUAUUUUGAAAGAAAAUGUUAAGAAAACGUCAGGCAACUUUGGAGGCAGUAACGUGGUUGAGAAUACUACUAACCAUGGAUGUGGAAGAGUGGGAGCUUCCUCCAUAGGUGGAUCGUCCUAGGAUGCUGUAGAAACUCGCAUUCGAUUCAACACUGUGACGGUUGGAAGACAAUUCAUUGCUUAACUCUCCUGGAGAACUCAUAUUAAGACAAGGCUUGUAAUGACGUGUAGGUGGUAAUGCAGAAGAUGACCUACAAGUAUAGCAAAAAGCCAAUGAUUCAUUCACCAGACAGAACAGGAAGAAAAAUUUAAAGUUAAUUACCUUCCAGAUUCAGUGGAAAAAAAAAAAAAAAAAAAAAAAAAAAAAAAAAUUAAAUCUUUUUGAGAAAAUAUUAGCGAAGACUUGACCUUUAAGAGGAAAGGACACGUGGCAUCUCUCUUGCCAAUUAUUGAACUGAUGAAAAAAAAAAUGAAAAGUUUAAUUAAAUCUAUUUGAUUGGAGCAACGUGUUAAUAUCAAAGUCGUUGACGUUGUCCCAUAAACAAUUUAAUUAAAUGUUGUUUAUCUUUUUAGUUUAGGUAAACCCCAUCAGAUCCAGGAGAACUCAUGUUUCGUUUUGGAAAGAUAAAGAUAAAGGUUUCGCCUUUUUAGGUCUUUUGUGUGAUUCAUGUAACGUCCUUGCUCUUCAUUUUCACCUGAUCCUCUGUUUUUGUUUUUGGAUAAAGUCUUGAGCUUUGUGUCCUCUCUUUGUGAUAUCUUUAAUCAAAAAGGUUGAAACUUUGAGGGUUUCUAAUUAGGUUUUGGCUGAGAAAUUGAGUGUCUGCUCCUUCCUGAUUAGGUGAGAUCAAAACCCAUCGGAUAGAUCCGUCAGAUCUGUUAACCAAGAGGUACUUCUUCAUCUUCUUGAUUUUGAUACUCUUUGGCUAAGUUAGUGUUCAAGAACGGCGGCGUUUUGGUCUCUGUGGAUAGCUGAAUUGGAUAUUGGUAGUAUCACUGAAGAUCAUUAGAACAUAACUUAGAGAUGAAGAAGAAGAUUGAUUUGCUCAGUUAGGGUGUGGAAGCAGCAUAGGUACGAACUCAUGGAAGAGAUUUCACCAGCAGUUGCACUAACUUUGAGUCUAGCCAACACUAUGUGUGACUCUGGAAUCUCAUCAGCUUUAGAUAUCACCGAGCUAGAGAACGUUACUGACGCAGUUAACAUGCUGUGUGAUCAGAACGGUGAGGUUGAGUAUACAAUGGAAGAAGAUGUUUCAGCUUCAGAGGUAGUCAUUAGCUUGCCUGAAGAAACUCAUCAUCAUAACGUAGCAAGAGGAGGAAGCAGAAGCGUCUACGAGCUAGACUGCAUACCUCUCUGGGGCACAGUUUCAAUCCGCGGCGAAAGAUCAGAGAUGGAGGAUGCUGUUAGAGCGUUACCACGUUUUCUCAAAAUACCAAUUAAAAUGCUUAUGGGAGGAGAUCAAGAAGGGAUGAGUCCAACUCUCACACACCUCACAAGCCACUUCUUCGGUGUAUACGAUGGCCACGGAGGCCUCCAGGUUGCUGACUACUGUCAUGAUAGAAUCCAUUUUGCUUUGGCUGAAGAGAUCGAAUGGAUUAAAGAGGAGCUCUACGAGAGGCUGCAGGUGCAGUGGGAGAAAGUGUUUUUUGACUGUUUCUUGAAGGUUGAUGAUGAGGUUAAAGGGAAGAUCAACAGACCUGUCGUUGGUUCUCCUGAUGAGAUGGUUCUUGAGGCUGUUUCUCCUGAAACCGUUGGAUCAACUGCUGUGGUUGCUUUGGUUUGCUCUUCGCAUAUCAUAGUCUCGAACUGUGGUGACUCGAGAGCGGUUUUGCUACGUGGCAAAGAAGCUAUGCCUUUAUCAGUUGAUCACAAAGUAAAGAAUCCAUUUCCUUUAACAUGAUCUUGAGAAUGUUUCUUACUUUUGUUACUAUCUUUGUUGCAGCCAGAUAGAGAGGACGAGUAUGCAAGAAUAGAGAGAGCUGGAGGAAAAGUUAUACAAUGGCAAGGGGCUCGUGUCUCCGGCGUUCUCGCCAUGUCCAGGUCCAUUGGUGAUCAGUAUCUGGAGCCAUACGUGAUACCAGAGCCCGAAGUAACGUUUAUGCCACGGGCAAGAGAAGACGAGUGUUUGAUAUUAGCCAGCGAUGGGCUUUGGGACGUGAUGAGUAACCAAGACGCUUGCGAGUUUGCGAGGAGACGGAUCUUGUGGUGGCACAAGAGGAAUGGAGCGUUGCCUUUAGCUGAGAGAGGUGUAGGGGAAGACCAGGCGUGCCAAGCCGCUGCUGAUUAUCUCUCGAAGCUCGCUCUUCAGAAGGGAAGCAGGGAUAAUAUCUCUGUCAUUGUGGUUGACCUGAAAGCUCAAAGGAAGUUGAAGAUCAGGUCUUGAAACAGUGUACACUCGAGCUCCUUACACUAUUAUAAAUUUCUUACUAUUUUUUUUUUAGUUUCCACAAGUUUAAGUAAAAAAUAAGAAGUUGAUUGAUGAUGAUGCAUAGCGAAAAGUCCAUUCCUUUUACUCAUGGACUUGAAUGUGUAUGUUAUGUAUAAGAAACAGAAGACAGAAAUGUGUUUUUUUUUUUAUAUGUUGUGUGAUAUUGGAGAUGUGGCCUAAGGAAAAUGUAAUUGAUGUUUGUCACAUCAGCCUUAAUACUUUUCUGUAAUUCAUCUUCUUCUAUGUAUAUAAAAUAUUUAUAGUAUUGUAUUUUUAUUUUGUUGUACAGAAAGUAUCAAACUGCUUAAACUAGGAUGCUAUAUAAACUGAUUUAUAAAACAAACAGUGGGGCUUAUAGUGAGAGAUGGUGGUACUUGUAUCGAUUAACUGGUGAGAUAGUGUGGUGUAUUGUCUCAAACAAGGUGUUGAGCUAAAGUAAGGAUCUUGAGCUGUUUCUGUGCUGCAUGAACAGGAACAAACCGUCGGCUGGUGACAACCACCAACAUAAUUCUUCUAGUGUUCUUAAUGCCGACAAUAACGACCGCGUUGUUAUUCAGUUUGAAGAUUAGUGUUCUCAUUACAAUGAUAAAAAUAUUUACUUGUGAUGGUUAGAAAGUUCAUAAGUGGGCGUGCCGGAGUGGUUAUCGGGCAUGACUAGAAAUCAUGUGGGCUUUGCCCGCGCAGGUUCGAAUCCUGCCGCUCACGUUUUGUAAUUUUUAGUUUCAUCUCUGCUUUAAUUUUUCAAUUAAUCACCUAUUUAGUAAAUUAUUUCUGGUCUCGGAUCAUUCCAUAUAUUUCUUUCUAGCAUGUGCAAGAUGUAUAUGUGAUUAAUUAUCAUAAGCAUGUUUGUGGAUGAGAGGAACACAAACUCUUACGAAGGAAUCAUUGACUUCUCCUUUCGUUUGUUUUUGUUUGGGUCAAUACAUAAGCACUACAGCUUAAAUGCCAAGUUUACGAGCAUUACACGUUACACAGUUUACUUAAUUUCAUAAAUUGGUGGGUAAACUAAAACACACGCACAUGGAGAUAUUCUCUUAAUAAUUCAACAUUUCAUAUUUUAUUUUAUCUGUCAUGACUUAAAUUUAUAUCUAACUAUGCACAACUAAUUAUUUUUUAACACAAUGCUAAGCUAAUUAUUAAAAGAAAAUUGUUAUAGAUUUUUAUAAAAGCUUAUCUUUGCUAAACGCUGGUUGGAACCUAAUAAUACGGUUUAAUUUUUAAUAGAAAUAUUUAUAAUUUGUCUGAAAUGGUAGAGGUGUAAACUCACAAUAUAAAAAUGAUUUAAGUUUAAAAUAAUAAUAUAUUUUGUAGAAUUCCAUUUGAGUAUACGUUGACUUCGAAAGUGUUCAUAGUGGGGCUUUCCCUAAACAUUCAUUCACCCUUUUGAUUGGUUUGUUUGUCCAAAGAGCGAGAGUGAUCAAAUGUCGUCGUGGUGCGGUCCUUCACGUCGUCAAGUCAAAUACGAUGUCUUCCUCAGCUUCCGAGGCGGAGACACACGUAAAAACAUCAUUAGCCAUUUGCACAAAGAACUUGUGAGACAAGGGAUACGUACAUUCAAAGACGACGAGACGCUGGAAACAGGAGACCGUUUCCCCGAAAGACUCCGUGAAGCCAUCAACACAUCGAGGUUCGCCAUUGUGGUUAUCUCGAAGAACUACGCUUCUUCGAGAUGGUGCUUGGAAGAGCUUCGAAUGAUAAUGAAGCUUCAACGGGAGAAAAAGAUUGCUGUGAUUCCUGUUUUCUAUGAAGUGGAUAUCUCUGACGUUAGAAAUCAUCGAAGUGGUUUUGGUUUAGUACAACAUCACAAAGAUCCCAAGAUUCCAUUCUGGAAAGAUGCACUUCGGGGAAUCGCAAACACACAAGCCACCGAGUCAAGAAAAUGGUAAUUCUUUUUACUGUGCUAGGGAAUGGGUUAAACCCACUCCGGUUGAUGAUUUUUUCUUAUUAAAAAAAACGAUUUAGCUAUAGUUCCCAUGCAUGCAUCUAAUUGGGAGUUGCCUCUGGAAUCCGAAAAGCCACGAUUUAUCUUAAAAAAUCAAUUUCUCUCUAAACUUCACUGACUGCAACGUCAGAUCUGGACAUGUGUGGAGCUAAUCUUGUAUUAUUGAGUCUUUUUCUAAUCUUUUCUUGAGGGCUCUUUAGUACCUAUUUGCUUCUUAGGAAAAUGUGAUACAAGUUAAUUGUAUCUUUUGAACAUUACAAAGUAAUGAAAUUAACGUACUUAAUUGUUUUUUUUUUACUAAUUUUGUUAGCAAGGACGAUGCCACGUUGGUUGAGGGAGUUGUUGAACUUGUUUCAGACAAGUUGUUGUCUAUGUUGCCAAUGGACCUCGGGGAUAUUGUUGGUAUGGAAGCUGACAUGGACCAAAUCGAACAUCUCUUGGACAUGUCCUUUACGACCAAUGAGGUUCGCAUGGUAGGAAUCUGGGGUAUGGCAGGCAUUGGCAAAACUGCCAUAGCCAAGAAUCUUUAUCAAAAACAUAAACACCAUUUCAAGACUCAUCAUUGUUUCAUGGAAAAGGUUUCUUCUCUGAAAGCAAAGAGUCCCUUAGAUCUACAGAAACGGCUUCUUUCAGAUAUUCUUCGGAAAAAAGAUCUCAAGGCACUGAACCUUGGCCAGGGAGCUCCUUGUAUCAAGUCAAGGCUCGUAAACCUAAAAUCUCUCAUUGUUAUUGAUGAUGUGGAUGAUGUGAAACAGCUGGAUGCCUUGGCAAAAGAGGCUAGUUGGUUUGGACCAGGGAGCCGAAUCAUCAUAACGACACGAGACAAGAGCUUGCUCAAGUUGUCCUCCUGUGCCGUGUACAAAGUUGAGUAUCUGAAGGAUGAUAAGGCUCUCCAGAUCUUUCAGCGGUUUGCUUUCCAAGGAGCAGAACCUCCUAUUGCCUACAAUGAUCUUUCUAUAAGUAUCUCUCAGCUUGCUCAAGGUCUUCCUUCUGCCCUUGAGGAUUUCGGCACUUAUCUCCGUGGCAAGUCCGCAGUGGAGUGGCGAGAUGCUUUGAAAUCAUUUCAGGAAGCUCUUCCCGAGAAAACCUUAGUGGACUUGAAAAGUAGCUAUCAUGGUUUAGAUGAACUUGGUAAGACAGCUUUUCUUCAUGUCGCAUGCCUUUUCAAUGGAGAACCUGUCCGGCGAGUCAGGAAACUUCUUGGUCAAGGUAAAGCCGGAAUGAGGGUUUUAAAGGAAAAGUCUCUCAUCAAGGUGUCUUCUGAUAGGCGUAUAGCUAUGCACCGUUUGCUGGAGCAAAUGGGGAAACAUAUUGUGCGUCAAGAGUCAAACAACAACCCUUCUCAGCAACGUAUCUUGUGGCACCAUGACGACAUCCUUCGAGUACUUGACACCAAUACAGUAAGUUACACGCAAUGUUCUUAAUUUUUUGGUUGGCUAGGCUCUGCCACCAUUCCUCUUCUGCUGAUAUAACUGAAGCUACUAUAACAUAAAAGAUCUUAUUUAGUCUUUGAAUACUCUUCUUAAAUUUGUUGAAGAUCUACCAAAAACAAAAAGUAAAAAAAAAUUCUUAACUUUUAUUAAUCAAAUAAAAAUUGAAUACAAACUUAAUCCUAAUCGACUAUAUCUAAAAACUCAUAAAAACCUAAAAUAAUAAAGACAAUUAUCUAAAUAAAUAAUAAAUAUUUAAAAACAUCUCAAAUAUUUAUCUGCAUUAUCUUCUUAACAAUAACAAUAAAUGACACUAUCGAUAUCAUAUGUCAGAGUAAGCACUUAAUUGAAGGAGUGGUGCUAGAUGUUUGUAAAUUGCGCGCUGGAGUUCACAUCAACUGGGAUGAUUUCAAGCCGAUGUAUAAUCUCAGGUUUCUUAAGAUAUAUUUCUCUAACCAAUCAGGAGGUGUACAGCCAUGGAAGGAAUAUAUGACGCUAGAGAACAAUUUCAGUGUACAUAAGCUUAGGUUUCUACAUUGGGAUGCAUAUCCUUUUACAACCUUGCCUACCAGUAUCAGUCCAGAUUGUCUUGUUGAACUAAAGCUGUGUUACAGCAAGCUCAAGACCCUUUGGCGUGGAACACCGGUAUGUAUAUAUGCUCUACUUUUCUUAUCCCUUCAUAUUUUUAUUUUUUAUUUUUUUUAUUUGCCUUCUUGUUAUUAUAACAUUUCCCUGUGUUUGUGUCACAUACUUUUCAGAAACUUGUGAAACUGAUGAAACUAGAUUUGACCGGAUCUAAGGAUCUAACAAAACUUCCAAAUCUCAAGGAAGCAAAGUCUCUAGAGGAGUUGAUACUGAAAGGUUGCAGCUCCUUGGAACGGAUUCCACACUCCAUAUGCAAACUAUCUAGACUCCAGAAAAUUGAUGUGUCCAACUGUGACAGGCUGGAAAAGCUGAACAUCAGUAUAUCGGAUUCUAAAGAUAUUGGUUUUGAAGACACAAGCAUGUGCCUAAGAUCAGUCCACAUGUUUUUCUUUGGCACAGAACCGUUUUUGGGCAAUACUCAGGGAUGCUCUCUUACAGACCCAUCAAUCAGAGGCAACUUACAAAUCUACUUGAAGCUUCUUGAAGGAUCUGCAGAUCAUCUAUCUUUUGUUUCUGAGGACCACGUCUGUCGUGAAGUGAACCUCAAGUCACCUCCCUAUGGUUUUAAAUCACUGGACAUCAUGCGGUUUAAGUGGGUUGAGAAGGGUAGUGAGUCCAAAUGUAAUAGCUUCUCAGGGUUUCCAUGGUUACAGGAGUUAACUCUCAUCAACCUAAACAUCAAGAAGAUUCCAGAUGACAUUGACCAGAUGCACGUCCUAGAGAAGUUGGACCUCAGUGGGAAUCUCUUUGAGAAGUUACCUACGACAAUGAGUCAUCUCACCAAGUUGAAACAUCUGACGCUUUCCAACUGCCGCAGCCUUGAAGAACUGCCAGAACUAUCUCAGCUGGAGAGUCUAACACUUUCUGACUGUACCAACCUCCGAACUCUGGUGAAGAAACAUCAAGGAACAACAUACAAUAUGCUUGAGCUUUGGCUUGACAACUGCAAGAAAAUCGAGUCAUUACCAAAUGAGCUUAAGCAUUUCACCAAGCUGACAUGUUUAGAUCUCAGCAGACACGAUUUCAAGACAAUAUCGUCAAAGAUGGUGGGCGACUUAACCUCCUUGGCAACUCUCAGCCUCAAUUACUGCAACAACCUUGUAUCACUGUCAGGGCUUCCACUGAGUCUCAAGUGUUUGAAUGCACAUGGCUGCAAGUCUCUAAAGACUUAUUCCCUUCAGGCCGCGCAUUCUAUUGAUCGCAUAGAUCUUAGCCCUUGCCCCAAUGGGAAGGACUAUAGUACAUUCACUAGGUUUCCAGCUGGAAGACGCAGUAAAGAGGUAUACAAAAUCUUCUGCUAUCUUGUCUCUAUAUAGUGUAUGCAAUUAAGAGUUUAAUCUCCUUUUUCUUUAGGUACCAGUAUGUGCUUGUCCUUGCUUCCAGGAAACAACAACACGUCGUAAGGUUAAACAUGCGACUUGUAGUCACAUGUCAAUCUUCUUGAGGUGUUUAAAGUCAUGGUUGUGGGAUUUCUUCCUGUGUUUAUUGGCUGUGGUUGUCGGCAUUUUUCUUGCGGUGAUAACCGAUCAUGUCAUCGCAACUACAUUAUUAAUGACUAUUUUUAUGUAUCUGAGGUUGUAAGAAACUACAUUAUAGGAGAUGUGUAAGUGUUUCAGUAACAUUUUAUUUUCAGUUGCUGAAUCAAAAGAGCUAUUGAAUGAUUCAUUUCAUUGGUUUCUAUACUCUGACAACUUGGGAAGAGUAGCAACAAAUGUGUUAACCAAAGUGAUCCGAUAUAAGUUGUGCAAGGCUACAACUCUUUAGGCAAUCUCUCUGCUUGCUUGGAGGGGAAGAAAUUAACCAAUGAACAUGUAGAGCUUUCUCUUACACUGAACCGUGUUGUGUAUUGUUAUUAAUGUAAUGAAGAAGCCUAAUUUCAGGAAAAUGAAACCGUGACCGUUGAUUUUGGACCGAGGACCUUUAUUAGUUAUGGACUAGUUGGUUACCACCUCGACCACGCUCCACCACCGGCUUCACGCGGCUUGUCCUAAUCUACUAGUAUGUUUUUGUUGCUUACACACCUUUUCGUUGAAACGCACAUUAUUCUAUGUACUAAUCAUUAAAAGUCAAACGAACCUACUGCAUUCAAGUAUUCUUACAUGGAAAUGCAGUGACAAAUGCUUGUUUUCUCUAGUGUGUAAAGUAUGAAAUAAAAAUAAUUUAUGUAUUAAAAGGAAUUCGUCUUUUACGUCACGUAUUUCAUGUCUAAAUAAAUCCAGUUGUAUAAAUUCAAUAAACAGUCUUCUUAGCAAUGCUUGAUUAAUAUGAAUUUGCUUGUUUUAGAUCAGAUUUAAAAUGGAAAAGGACUAAGCAUCUGUUAUUUUUAUUUCAAAGGGACUUUCAUAUAUCUUUGCUUCAGUACAAAGGAAAUUAUGUUUGGUGUUCGAUUUCACGUUUCAACUCAAAACUACAUAAGUUUCAAAAAAAAAACUCAAAACUUCAUAUAUCAAUUAUUACAUCUUUUAGUCAAUUGGAAAAUGUAUGUACUAACAUUUUAGGUAAUAAAAUUUUAAAACGAAUCAUAAAAUAUAAUAAUUCACACUUUGUUUUAUAGUUCUAGUUACAACAAUAUUUUAUAUUGACAAAAAAAAACAAUAUUUGAAAAUGCUUAGCAAAUAACAACUGGACUCUCGUGACCAUUUUUUUGCACCGUUUAUUCCCACGUCGUGAUAUAUACGCGCUGGUGUGACGCGUGUAAGCUCUCUUUCCCGCGUUGAGCUGUCACUCUCUUUUGUCUGUCUCUGUCUCCGUCGCUGUUUCUUUGGCUUCCUCUCUCAUUCUCCACCACCACUAUCAUUAAAUCCUUUUUUUCUCCCCACUAAUCAACCGUUAAAGAGAAGCUUAAAGCUUAAACGUUCACUUUAAAAUCUCUUAUAAAGAAAGAAACACGCAUCUCCUAUAAACCUUACCCUUGUCCUUCCACUAAUCACUAUUUUCAUCUCUCUCCGACAUGACAGACGACAAAGUCUACCCCGCCUCCAAACCACCCGUCGCUGUCAACGGCGGAACAACCGCUAAUCCAACUUUCCCGGCGACUAAAGCUCAGCUAUACAGCGCAAACCGCCCCGCUUACCGUCCGCCAGCCCCCCGCCGCCGUACACACAGCCGCGGAUGCUGCUGCCGCUGCUGCUGCUGGACGAUUUUCGUAAUCAUCUUCUUGAUCCUCCUCGUCGCCGCCGCGUCCGCCGUCGUGUACCUGAUCUACCGUCCUCAGCGUCCGAGCUUCACCGUCUCUUCCCUCAAAGUCUCCUCUCUCAACCUCACCUCCGCCACACGCCUCGCCACCGCCAUAUCCCUCUCCGUCGUGGCCAAGAA
This 168984-nucleotide long non-coding RNA is filed under the name Brassica napus (rape). RNAcentral describes it as "long non-coding RNA (BNAP_LNC021691)". The stretch from base 2943 to 3014 matches the Rfam family "tRNA". The record is from RNAcentral. Lineage: Eukaryota; Viridiplantae; Streptophyta; Magnoliopsida; Brassicales; Brassicaceae.